This 90160-nucleotide long non-coding RNA is filed under the name Vitis vinifera (wine grape). RNAcentral's name for it is "long non-coding RNA (VVIN_LNC000757)". The record is from RNAcentral. Lineage: Eukaryota; Viridiplantae; Streptophyta; Magnoliopsida; Vitales; Vitaceae.
AAAGUAAUGGUAUUUUCUUAAUAUAUCCUUCAUGAGGAAAAUGGCAUCUUUCCCAUGUGAGCGAGGAAGUCAUCCAUUGAUAAAAUUCAUGGUUGUCAUGUAAUAUUGCAGCCUAGAGAGAAAAAUGUACAACUCAAGACCAGGGAACCCUUGUACUGUAGUUGAUUUUGCAAUAUCGCCAAGAAUACCCCCAUUUGGCAUUUGGCAUUUGGGUCAACAAUAUUAAGUCUUUGUAUUAGUUAUUGUAGUUAAGGGUCUUGCUGCUAUUUUUCCUUGGAAGUAUAUCAAGCCAAUUAAUAGUAGACAAGGAUAGGGUCAUGACUUUCAAUAUUGAACAUACUCUAUAACGGACAAAGCCAGAGAGAAAUAAGAGAAUUGUAUGAGGGUUUAAAUGUUUAUUAAAGAUAUUUGGUGGUAGAAAUUAUCCUUUUAUUCUCACAAUCACUUGAAGUUGGAGCAUGUGACACGGCAUGGAUCGAUGUGUUAGGCAUGGCCCCCACGUGCCUUCGAUGGGAGAUAUCCCUUCCAUACCUUCUCAGGUUAUAAAUGAGGAAAAAUGUCUCUUCCCAUAUGCUUUUCUGUAUCUCAAAUAUAUCAAUUCUAGAAGGAUUGAAACUCAACCAAGCCUUUCAAAUAGGUGAUCAUCCAAUGAACCAGAUUUAAGGCCAUUAGUCCACCCAGUACUUGUUCCUGCAAUGAUAUCCCACAAUGAUGUCUUCAAAGUUGGCCAUAUCCCACUACUUGAUCUAGACUCUCAGAUUUAUUGUGCUGUGAUAUUAGAUCAUAGGGGAGCUAGCUAAUCAAAUUUGAAUCCUUUUCCAUAUCCUAAUUUUUUUGUCAAUUCCUUUGUAUUGACUUUUAAUUAAUAGGGUUAAUUUAUAGUCCCGAUUUCCUUGAACAAUGAAUGUUAAUGAAAAUUAUUACCUACAUAUACAACAAAUAAUCAUAUUUCUUAUAAUACUACUAUGUCCCUUUUUUCAUAAGAUCAGCAGGAUAACCCUGGAAAUUAAGACAAAGAAAACAAGGAGCCGACAUGCUUUGAAGUACUACUAUGAAUUUAUUAUACUUGGAAAUUAAGCAUCUCUCUUGAGUAUUUUUGAGUACAGAAGGAGAAUAAAACAAGAUCUUACUGAAAAACUACCUCAAUUAUAUCUUCCUUGGUCAGCUAAAAGCACAAAGUUGAUCUUAUUUGCACUGACCCAUGGUAUAUAUGCUGAUCAGCUUAUUACAUAUAUGUAGUACUUGCUUAGAGGUCGUUUCAUAAUGUUUAAUAAGGCCGUUGUCCCACAUAGUUGCCCGGUGGAUCGUAGUUGCAUGUGACGAACCACCACCCAUUGUUGCACUGAACCCUGGCGCACCCAAGGCGAACUGAGUUGCUCCAAACAACCUGAGUAUAGUGCAGGCACUCCCCACCAACGCAUGAGUUGGAGUUGUAGUCAUAAUUAGGCUUCUCCCCCACCCACAAGUUCACCGCAUCGGUGCCUGUCAAUGAACCACUGCCCUUGGCCAGGUUCUCACCAUAAGGCCCACCUGAGUGCACUAGAUUGCAGUCGCUAAUCCUCUUGUUAGCAUAGUUCUGGGCGUAGGCAGCUACAGUGUCGUUCCAUGUCAUAGACCCAACGCCAACUUGUGCCCGUGCUGCAUUGUGAGCAUUGACGUAGUCCUGUGGAGAGUUCUGGGCACAACAGACGUGAGCUAGGGCUAAUCCCAUGAGACCAACAAGAAGUGGCAAUGAAAUCUUACACAACCCCAUCCUUUUUAGUUUCUUUGAUGAGAAGUGAGGUUAUUGAUGAGAAAUGAGGCUUGGUUUGAAGGGUAUUUAUAGGGGAGACAGAAGCAUCAUAAUCUCUAAGUCAUGCCCUCCCAAACUUCCCCCUUGGACACAGUCUUUGUGGUCGCCUUCACACGUAAAGAUCAACGACUGAAAAAAUAGUUAGCACUAAGAUCAAAAUGACUUCCAUGCAUGUUCAAUUUUUUCUUAAGGAGUAAUCAACAAUAUUGAAAAUUCUUUGUGUUUUGGAUAUCUUCUAGGGUUUACCCCUGGCGGCCAGACCAGUUUGAUCAAGACUCGUGAACUUCCUUCUAAAAGAACAUGUAUAAAGAAUUAAAAGGGAAAAACAAGUGUUGAUGUUAAAUCAAAAUUAUUUUAACAAUCUUAGAUGCUGAAAUUCUUGACAUUGAUCAGCUAGUAUUUUUUUUUUUUUGAUUCAAAAUAAAACAGCACAAUGGAAUCACAUUUUUUCAGUUCAAAAAAUGGGUAUUUAAAUAUAAUUUAAAAUCAAUAAACUUUUUAUAUCCAGAUAAAUAUCUAAAAAUAAAAAUUUAACUUAAAAAGUAAAUGAUGUUAAAAAGAUUGUAAAUAGAUACAAAUAAAAACUAGUAGGGCCUUGUAAAACUAUUUUUAAUUGAAUUUCUUUUAAGCAUUUUAACUUCCCAUAAUAUGAAAAACUUCUAGAUCCAAAUUUCUCAGUAUUAAAAAUAUUUAACAUGUGAUAUUAUAUUUGGUUCCUAGGAAAUGCAAGAAGGAAAAAAACAAAAAGUCUAAUUAUUUUUUUAUUUUUAAAUAAUGUGGACAAAAAUAAGCAAAAUACAAAAUAAGUUGAUCAAAUGGUUAUAGAUAUAGAAGUCUUGAGAGCGCCCUGAUAAUGAGGCUACAACUUAGGAAUUACGUUUCCAAUUGCCAUGCUUGGAAAAGUCAAAUGAUGGCUUUGUUGGAUGAAUCUAGAUGAAGUUUGGCCUACAUAUAAGGAAGAAUGACAUCAUGGUCACUGGUUGUAGGCGUCAAUUCCGGGACAGCCAUGAGCUUGUGAUGGAAAAUUCACCAGACCCUCCGUUAGUGUAAUCUCUUAACUACCUCAACUUACUCAACCGCUCUCCAUAUAAAGGCAAAGACUGGAGUCAGUAGUAAGGGAUUGGGGUAGACCCAGAGUUCAGCUCAGUCUAGGGCCCAUUUAAAGUUCUGGAUUGGGUUGAGUCUUACAUAAAAGCGGAUAAGCUCUAUUUGUUAAUCUGUGUCAACUUAAUUUAUACUAUUGUUACUCAUUUAACCUAAUUCAUAUCUUAAAUCUAAUCUAAAUUACAAUUUAUUCUAAUAUUUUUGGAUGAUGCACAUCAAAAAAUGUUUCAUACUGUAUAUAUUUUCUAUCAUUUGAAAAUUUUUGGAGUGUAUCAUAGCCCCUAAUAGCUCAAAUUUAUGUUACAUUCCUAUUCAAGACUUUCUCACAAUUUUCAUGUCUGUAGUGUUUAUUAAAAGUAUGAUGAGCUUUGUGAGCACAAGUACAGGUUAUAAGGGUCAUUUUGAGCAAUUUUAGUAACCUCUAUGGGUUUUGGAAGGAGAGGGGAGGCCAAAAGUAAGAGUAAAUAUGCAAGAUAAGUAAAACUCAAUUAGCAUCUCCACAAGCUCGAUUCUAACUAGUUUUGAGUUUGGAGUUGUUUGAAAGGGUUAUAUGCAUCCAAAUAGAGUAAGGUAAAUUUUAUCAAGUUCUAGACUCUAAUAGGGAAGAAAAGGGGGGUUAGGAGAUUUUAUUUUUGAAACAAAGAAAAUACCAUUGCAAGAUAACAACAUAAAGUUCCACUUAAAUAUGAAAAAGGGAAUAAAAAAUAGCUAAUCUACUAUUGCUUUGUAAUUACAUCAAUUUGCUGACACUUCCUAUAAGUGAGCCAACUAUAUUAUUAUUGGAUCAUCUCCUGAAAUUUCUCUCUUUUAUUUUGAUAACUAAGUCUUAGAUCAAGUUUUGACCAUCUCAUUUAAAAAUUAAUUGGUUCUAAGUUUUUUAUGACAUCAUUGUUAUUUGGGUAACCCAUUCAUUAGAAAGUGAUAUGAUUAGACCCCAAAAAUCCCUCCACCAAUAGAAGGCUUUCAUGGCUCUAAUCCAUGACAUUGACUUUGAUAUCAAUUUUAGAUUGAACUUUGAUCAUUUCAUCUUAAAACCAAUUGAUUUUUAGAUGAGAUAAUCAAAACUCGAUUUAAAACUUAGGAAAUUACUUAACCGUUCAUUCUUCUUGAAAAAGCCUUAUUCUCAAGGUUUGAAGUGAGUAAAACAACUAAUAAGCCUAUGCUAAUCUUCCUAUCUAGCAACUUUUGGGAAAUAAUUAAAAUAAUGACAAAAUGCCACAGCCUUAUUAUUAGGGCUACAAGUGCCGUUACCCCAUAUCUGCCACAUCAAAAGACCUUUCCAUAUGAUGUUGAUUAGCUUGCCUACUUAUAUGGUGUUGAGUCUUCUCUAAAUUUUCUUUCAAUAGAAGUAAGAUGGCAUGCAUUUCAAUCAUCAAGCGCUUGCCCUAUUGAUAUCACCUUGGUGUCACCUCCCCCAUACAUAGGCAAAGAAGAUGAACUCUGACGAUAAUCUAUUUUAUAUAGAAUGAGCUCGAUGGCAGUGUGGAAGGAAGUUUUGAAGUUUUUAGGAUGAUUGCCCAUUACACAAUAAAGAGAAUUUUUUAAACAAUGAUUAAGGCUGUAUUUGGAAAUUGUUUUUUAAAACACUUUUUAGGUAUUCAAAAUAAAAAAAAAUAGAAAAACAUAUUUUACAAUGGGAAAGUAGAAAAUAUUUUUUAAUUAUUUUUACAUAUUUUUUAAUGAUUAUUUUAAAAAUAACAUGAAAAGUGAGUUUUAACUUACUAAUUUAAAACCCCAAAUUUUAUAAAUUAUAUUUAGUUUUUAUUCAUUUAAAAAUAUUUUAAAAUACAUACAUUUUUCCAUUUGUCAAAUAAUUAGUUUCUAAAAUGACCCUUUUAUUUAUUAGGUUAAUAAUACCAAUUGAUGAAUUUUUUUUUUUACAAGAAUUGUUCUGACCUCAAUAAAAUAAAAAAUUUUAAAAUUUAAAAUUAAAACUAAAAAAACUUUAAAACUAAAGACAUAAAAUAAAAUAUUAACUUUCAUUUUGAAUUGUGACAAGUAUGCUUGAUACGAGAUAAGUCUUGUGGACAACAGAAUGACCUCCAAUGGGGCUAUCAUGGUUGUCAUGUAAUAUUUCAGCCUUGUACUGUAGUUGAUUAUGCAUUAGCCAAUAUACCCCCUUUUGGCAUUUGGGUCAACAAUAUUAAGUUUUUGUAUUAGUCGUUGUUGUUAAGGGUCUUGCUGCCAUUUUUCCUUGGAGGUAUCGAGCCAAUUAAUAAUAGACAAGGAUAGGGUCUUGACUUUCUAUAAUAAACAUAUUCUAUGACGGACAAAGAGAGAGAGAAAUAAGAGAAUUGUAUGGGUGACUUUCUAUUAUAAAUCUUUAUUAAAGAUAUUUGGUGGUAGAAGAAAGUUUUAAGUAAUUUUUUUAAUAAUUAGUCUUUUAUUCUCACGAUCACCUGAAGUUGGAGAAUGUGACACGGCAUGAAUCAAUGUGUUAGGCAUGACUUCCACGUGCCUUGGAUGGGAGAUAUCCCUUCCAUAAGGAAAAAUAUCUCUUCCCAUAUGCAUUUUGGUGUCUCAAGUACAUCGAGUCUAGGAGGAUUGAGGGAAACUCAACCAAGCCUUUCAUUUGGGUGACCAUCCACUGAACCAGAUUUAGGCGCAUUAGUCCACCCACUACUUGUUCCUGCAAUGAUAUCCCCCAAUGACGUGUCAAAGUUGGCCAUGUCCCACUACUUGAUCUAGACGCUCAGCUUUGUUGUGCUGUGAUAUUAGAUCAUAGAGGAACUAGCUAAUCAAAUUUGAAUCCUUUUCCAUAUAUAUAUAUAUAUAUAUAUAUCCUAAAUUCUUUGUCAGUUCCUUGUAUUAACUUUAAUUAAUAGGGUUUAUAGUCCCAAUUUCCUUGAAAUUUCUUAUAAUACUACUGUGUCCUUUUUUCAUAAGAUCAGCAGGAUAACCCUGGAAAUUAAGACAAAGAAAAAAGAGAAGCCAACAUGCUUUGAAGUAUAACUAUGAAUUUAUUGUACUUGGAAAUUAAGCAUCUCUCUUGAGUACAGGAGGAGAAUAAAGCAAGAUCUUACUGAAAAGCCACCUUAAUUAUGUCUUCCUUAGUCAACUAAACGCACAAAGUUUUAUUUGUACUGACCUAUGGUAUAUAUCCUGAUCAGUAUAUUACAUAAAUGUAGUACUUUGCUUAGAGGUAGUUCCAAGAAGUUUAAUAAGGAUGUUGUCCCUGAUAGUUGCCCGGUGGAUCGUAGUUGCAUGUGACGAACCACCCUCCACUGUUGCAUUGAACCCUAGCGCACCCAAGACGCACUGAGUUGCUCCAAACAACCUGAGUAUAGUGUCGGCAUUCCCCACCCACGCAUGAGUUGGAGUUGUAGUCAUAAUAAGGCUUCUCGGCCACCCACAUGUUCACUGCAUCGGUGCCUGUCAAUGAAGGGCUGCCCCAGGCAAGGUUCUCACCGUAAGGCCCACCUGAAUGCACUAGAUUGCAGUCGCCAAUCCUCUGGUUAGCAUAGUUCUGGGCGUAGGUAGCCACAGUGUCGUCCCAUGUCAUAGACCCAACACCAACUUGUGCCCGCGCUGUAUUGUGAGCAUUGACGUAGUCCUGUGGAGAGUUCUGGGCAUAGCAGGUGUGAGCUAGAGCUAACCCCAUGAGACCAACAAGGAGUGGCAAUGAAAUCUUACACAACCCCAUCUUUUUUAGUUUCUAUGAUGAGAAGUGAGGUUAUUGAUGAGAAAUGAGGCUUGGUUUGAAGGGUAUUUAUAGGGGAGAUAUAUAGAAGCAUCAUAAUCUCUAAGUCAUGCCCUCCCAAACUUACCCCUUGCAAUUGGACACUGUCGUUGUGGUCGCCUUCACACUUAAAAGAUCAACAACUGAAAAAAUAGUUAAUUAGCACUAAGAUCGAAAUGACUUCCAUUCAUGUUCAAUUUUUUCCUAAGGAAUAAUCAACAAUAUUGAAAAUUCUUCUAUGUUUUGGAAAUCUUCUAGGGUUAAACCUGGCGGCCAGACCAGUUUGAUCAAGACUAGCGAACUUUCUUCUAAAAGGACAUGUACAAAGAAUUAAAAGGGAAAAUAGUGCUGAUGUGAAAUCAAAACUAAUACCACUGAUGUUUAACUCCAAAGUAGAUAGAUUUCAGUGAAUUUCAUUAAUAUGCAUAUGGGAUCUGAUCAAAUUUUUUAGGAGGAUAUUUAUCUCAAUUACAACCCAAAAAAAAAAUGAUUUUUUUUUUUUUUUUGGAGAUAAUAUUGGGGUGAUUCUUUCAUUCAAUCAGUUUUUAGUGGAGAUUUUUGGAAAUUUUUUUGUUAAAUGGAGGCCUAGAAGUCAGAAGAGAGAUUUGCCUUUAAUGAUGGCCCAAUUUAUCAAAUCAAAUUUGAAUUGAAGGGAAAGAAAAGAAGGAACUAAUACCAUGUUUGGAAGGUAUUUUCUAAAAGAAUUUUGAAAAAUAAUUUUUUAAUAUUUUGUAAAGCAAAAGUUCAUUUAAAAAUCUACCAUUUUUUAACUUAUUUUUUAUAUUUUAGAAAUAAUUUUUACAUUUAGUGUUUUAUUUUUAAUCAUUUUUUAUAUUUAUAUAUUUAAUUUUUAAAACUGUAUUAUUUUUUUAUUUUUAAAAAUAGAAAAAUGUUUCCUAUUUUUUAUUCCCAUAUGAAUUUAUUAUUUUUGAAAACCCUUACCAAACAUGCAUUGUGAGGAGUACUUCAUGGAGAGUUGAUCUAAAUUCAAAGAAAAAUGUAGGGCUCCUCCCAGAACAAUCAUUUUAACUAGGUCGUCAAGUAGCAUCUGCAUCAACCCCCCAUAUUAAUAAAAAGGCAGUGAAUGCAUGCAUUCAAAUUGUUCAUGUCUUUAGAUGCUGAAAUUCUUGACACUGAUCAGCCAAUAUUUUUCUUAUAUUAAAAAACAAGAAAAAAACAGCCCUUUUAAAACCUUUGAUCACGGACGAAUUUACACGUGGUUCUUCAGAUUCUGCAAAUACAUGAUACAAAUUAUCCUAACCGGUUUGAAUGCUUGACUAAAACAAGGUGUUUGGUCUUUUAAUGUUAGAUUUCGAGAUUCCGUGGAAAGUUGGUUACGACUUAAGAGACACUUGUGGGUAGGCCAUGAAAGUUGAAUAAUUUAUCGUGUAACACAUUAUUUGAGCAAGCAAGUAAUGUGUUACACAUUAUGUGAUUUAAUUUUUAUGAGUUUGAAAUGGUGAUACAAUAUGAUUUUAUUCCUUAUUCUUAUUCUUGGCUAUUAUCGUGACAUCACGAUUGGCGGACUAAUGGUAGCAAAGGAAGACAAAAGUUACAAGGACUUUUAGCUCCUAAUUUAACAAAAAUUAUUGAGGAUGUAGAGUUAUUCUUGAAAGACUAGAAACAUUUUUUAACAUUUAGAAAUUUUUUCUUUAUAGAAAUUAAGUAUUUGAUAAGCAUUAAAAAUUUAAGAAAUUUGGAAUUAUCACUUGAUAUGAUAUUUAUUCCAAAAAUUAUUAUUAUUUUUUGUUAUGUAUUCCAUUCCAUUACUAGAAAUGUUUUCAAAUUUAUCUUUUAAAUUAGAUUCAAACAUUAACUAAAUCUCGAUUAAGUUUUUAUGAUAGAAGUAUUAUCAACAAAAAUUUAAAAGUGCUUUUACAAGAAUUGCCCCCGAGCACAUUGACAAAAUCAUGAUGAUUUUGAGUGAAAAUUUCCAUGGUAUUAGACUUAGUUCUUUUCUAUUGUAAGGUUAUAUAUGUUAUGCUAGAAUAGGAGAAUAUCAUGACUUCUAAUGAAAUAUAACAUCUUUGAAUAUUAUAUUUAUAUCUAAUUAGAUAUUAAAUCAUGCUCAUGUUUGAUUUAUAGAAUGAAUAAAUGAACUGAAAAAUAUACUACAUUUUAAAGUUAAUUAUUUUUUUCUAAAAUAAAAAUAUAUUGCAUUUAAUUGCUUGUUUUUAAACAAAUAUAAAAUCGUUUAUUUGUUUAUUAUUACUAUUUGAAAAUCAUUCUAUAAUUUAUUAUUUGUGUAAUUAUUUUUAUUUAUUUGUUAUAACAUUUAUGAAUAAAAUUAAUAUUUAAAUAUCACAUAAUGUCUACUAUUAGUAUAUUUAAGUUGUAGUAUCCAUAUUUUUUAAUUAUUUUUUCAAAAUAAAAUUUUAAUUUUUCUAAUUUAAUUUAAUUUAAUUUUAUAAAAUACGAUAUAUAAAGAAAUUUUAAAAAUAAAAAAAUGUAUGACAUGAAUAAAUUGACGAAACAUGGAAUCUGUAUAUAUCAUGUCUCAACUUAGAAUUAUUAUAUCUCAUGAUAUAAAUAUGAGGUUGGAUGAGUUAUCCUAUUGUAUGUAUGAUUAAAUAUGAGAUACAAAGAGCAUUGAGAUAAUUAAUUCUAUUCAUCCCUAAUCAAAUAUGAAAUAAAACAUGUUUUUCUAUUCUUUAUCCAAUUAUAAUAACUAACCAACAUAAUUUAAGUCUAAACGAAAAACUCUGUGGUAUUUAUUUAAUUUGAUUUUGUUUUUAUUUAUACAAUUCUUGAUAGAAAUUAAUAUAAAAAUAUCAUUUAAAAUUCAAAUAAAAGUUAAACUCUUUUUAUUUAGAUAAAAUAUCUAAAAAUAAAAUUUAACUUAAAAAAUAAAUUAUAUUGAAAAGAUUGAAAAUAAAUAAAAAUAAAAAUAGUAGGGCUUUGUAAAACUACUUUUAAAUUUAAAAAUAUUGUAAGCAUUUAACUUCCCAUAAUACCAAAAACCUCAAAAUCCUAAACUUCUUUGUUUUAAAAAUAUUAAGAUGGGAUAUUAGAAGUGUGUUUGGGAUUGUUUCUUCUUAGAUGUGUUUUUAGUGGAAGUGUUUUAUUUCUAAAAAAACAUUACAAAUAAUAUUUUAAUGCUACAAGUGAUUUUUCAAAUUUUAAAAAAAUAUUUCAUAAAUUUUAUCAAAUAACUAAUGUUGUUUUAAAAACACUUUUUAGGUUAAAAAUAUUUUCUAGAAUUAUUAUCAAGCGGAUUUUUUAUUUGGUUAAGAAGUUUAGAAGGAGGAAAACAAAAACUCAAUAUAUAUAUAUAUAUAUUUUCCUAUGUUUAAAUAAUAUGGAAAAAAACGUGUGAAAAAUAUCAAGGAAUCCAAGAACAAAAUAAAUUAUAAUUUUCUUUAUCUUUGUCUUUUCUUUUUCUUUUUUUCCUUCAAACUUUUCACAACCAGCCAUAUGCUCAAAGUUAACGUAUAUAUUAUAACAAUCUAAGUUGUCUAGACGGAUUAAAAGCUUUGCCAAAUUAAUUGGGUCUUGGUAGACUUUAAGAAAAAUACAAAACAAAUUGGUCAAAUGGUUAUGUAGAAGUCUUGAGAGAGCCCAACUUGGGAAUUACGUAUCCAAUUAUAAUGCUUGGAAAAGUCAAUAUGAUGAAUUUCUUGGAUGAAUCUAGAUGAAGUUUGGCCUACAUAUAAGGAAAAAUGACAUUAUGGUCACUGGUGGUAGGCGUCAAUCACGGGACAAACAUAAGCUUGUGAUGGAAAAUUCACUUGACCGGAGAUUAAUGCUGUAGGAAUAAUAUCAUUGGACUAAGGAUUUUGCUAAAGAAUUUUCAGAGCUCACAUGGUGUGGAGUAGUUUUCUAAUUUGUGACUCCGCUUGAUUGGACAGCUUAGAAAAAUUGUUUAGUUUUAGUUUCUAAUCUCUUCGAUCUAUUGUGCCAGCUUGGGAGUAGCUUAUAAGUUAUAACUUUGAAAAUUUGAUGUUAAACAGUAGUCAAUUUUGUCUUUUUUUUUUCCAUAUGUCAAAAAUAAAAAAGUAUUUCACUGUUCAAUAAAAAGUGUGUAGGAGUAAUUUUAGUAAAACUAGAUGAGAUUUUUAAGGUUUAAAAAUGUUUGUAUUGCAAUAAUUAAGAGUGUGUUUGGUACUUAUUCUAUAAAACGUUUCUAGUUUUUAUAAUACUUGGAUGAUAACAUUUUUCAAGUGUUAAAAAUAUUAGAAAUGCUUUCUAAAAUUAUUGCCAAAUGAGCUCUAAAGAUUUGACAAUUCCUUGAAAUGAUUUUUGAAUGGAUGCUUGAGAAAUAUUUUUAUAAGGGGUAAAUAAUAGAUAAAGAUUAUUGGAUUGUAAAAUUUGAAUCAAUUUUGUUAUGCUUUUUAUAGGAUCCUCACUAAGUUUGUAGAGAUUGAACCACCCUGUCAGCUCACUGAGGUUGAAAGAGACAACAUCUCCUAGAAAUUUUUUUUUUAUGUGAUGAAUGAUGAAUUUAUCUUUAUUGUAUAUUUAACCUUAUUAUGAUUUAGAGAUUUUUUAGACAAUGUGAUUACAAUUGAAAGGUGUGUGGAAGUUUUAUCGUUGUAACUUUUCUUUUUUAUUUAAUUAGUGGAUUUUUUUAGUGUUGAUACAUUUUAUGAACGUAGGAUCACAUUGAUCGUUAAACCACAUUAAAACUCUAGUGUUUUUCAUUUAUUUUUCUACUUAUUUGUGUGGUUUGAUUUAUAAAUAAUAACUCAAUAAAAUAGGAAUAGUUAACACAUAUGACCCCACCGAAAAAAUUUCUUUCACUUCAAUAAAAAAGAGUGAAGAGAUUUAAUAAUGAAACUUUCCCAAAAAGAUUGAUGAAGGAACUCUCACAUUCACAACCCUAGAAUAAUCCUAGAAAAACAACCCUUAUUGUUUUCUCCAUUUUUUUUCCAUAUCAUAUGACACUUCUCAGUUUUUUGGGCAUCCACAAAAGAAACCCUACUUGCACCUUAUAUUUUAGCUUAAAAAAAAGAGUCUAAAUAUGGGCUUGAAAAACUUUUCAUGACAGAAUAAACCUAACCUAUCAAUUUCUUCCAAAAUAAUUACUUUUUAUUACGGAACACAUUAUCAAAACACUCUAGUUAGAGUUUUUGUAAUGUAGGCACCCUUUCUACUAUGAUUAAGGUUUAAAUUAUGAGGUGUUAGAUUAGUUUCAUCAGGAGUAUAUAGUAAUUCAUUAUUGUUGAUGGUUUCGAUUUUACUUGGAAGUUACUCCAUUGUAAUAGUUCAUAUAGAAAUGAGACUUUUUUCUUACCCAUAAAGGAUUGUGCUCGGAUCAAUUAAGACCCUUUUACAAAUGUCAACCAUUAUUUCUAUUUGGAGCGCAAUUGGUUGAGUUGUGUUGGGUUUUCUAUUAAUGGGUAUACAUUCAAAUAAAACUAAUUCUCGAGUUUUAGAAUGCGUUGAUUUUAAAUAUAGUUUUUAGCAUUUUUAAAACUUGAAAGAUAAAAUUCAUAAAAAAAAUUAAAAACUAAAAAUAUUUCUUAAACUUACUACCAAACAGACCCUUAAAAUGCUUUAUUUAAGCUUCAUACUACCUUAUUUUUUGUAAAGAUCAAAUUUGAAUUAAGUGACAUUAGAUUGAAUUCAAACCAUUUAUAAUGGUUUCUCUUACUUCAAUUUUUAUAGAUUUGUAAGAGGAUCUAAAUAAUAAAUGUGAUGAUAUUUUUAAAAUAUUAAUAGUAUCUUUUGGACAAAAUGAAAUAGUACAUAGUAUAACAAUUAUAAUAUGAAGCCAUUUUUCUUAAAAUUGUUUUAGAAAUAUAUAAAUUAAAUUAAUUAAAUUGGGUUUGAAUUAAAUUUCCUAAAAAUCAUCAAAACUUUAGCUUGAGGCCAAUUUAAACUUAAUUUAUAUUAUAAAUUACAUAAUAAUAUGAAUUAUAAAUAUUAAUUUAGGUUUGGAUUAAGUUUUUGGACAAUUACCAAAACAAGGUAAGGUGAACUCCAACUUAAUUCAUGUUAAAAAAAAAAACUCAAUCAAUUAACUAGAAAACAAAACAAUGAAUGCAUAGCGAAAGAACUGAACUCAACCGCUCCUAACUAGGGUCAAGGCUUGGUUUAAUAGGUGUGAAGAAAAAUAAAACAUUUUUAUCCUUUACUAAUUAUAUAAACAUAUAUUAUGUAUAAAAUAUGGAUGAAUUUAAAACUCAAAAAAGUCAUUUUCAUGCAUUAAAGUAUUAACUUUUGCGCAUGUUUUAAAUAUUACCCUCCAACCAACUAAACCCUCCAUAUGUAUGGAAGGAAAUUAGCUUCCCUCCAAAUAUCACUCGAAAAUCCCAACAAAUCCGAAAUUAUUAAAAAAAAAUUCAACAAAUCGUGAAAAUUGAUUGAAAGGGCAUCGUGGAUAUUUCUCCAUGUGUUGUGUUUGCUACCUUUGACAAACCAAAUUUCAUCAAAAUUUUUGGAUAUUUUCAUCAUUGCUUAAAACAAAACUCUUGUGGCUGAGCCCAAACAAGAAAAAAAGUAUUUAUAUUAAUACUUAAUUUACAAAUCUACCGAGAUCUUAGGUUGGUAUUCACUGUGAUUAUGGACAUUAAAUUUUUUCCUUAUAUGUAUCAAAAGAAAUUUUAGAAAAAAAAAAAAUUCAUAUUUCAAUUGUUACUUUGCACGUAUAAGUUUCAAUAGAAAUACGAAGACGUGGUACAUUUUCUCCUCCGGUGGACAAAAGAUAUGAAGUACAAAAUUGUGGUUGCUUGGGUGGGGCUUGUUACACAACUCAAACAAAAUGAUCUACCGUAUAAAAGCAUAAACAUUUCACUUUAUUUCAUUAUAAUCUUCUAAUACAGAAGUGAUUUUAUUAGGGACCACUCCAACAAGUCUUUAAUCAAAGUUCAUGUAGAACCUUUCUUAAUAUAAGGACGUUCUCCAAAAUAGUUGCCUGGUGGGUCUUAGUUGCAGCAAACAAUCCACCAUUCCCCAUUCUUGCACAACAAUCUUGCACACCCCACAUUCACUGAAGUGUUCUACACAACCUGAGUGUAGUGUCCACACUCUCCUCCAACGCAUGAGUUAGAGUCGUAGUUAUAAUAAGGCUUCUCAGACACCCACAUCUUCACUGCAUCAGCGCCAUCAAAGUCAGUAGCACCCCCUGCAGCCAGGUUCUCACCAUAAGGCCCUCCUGAGUGUUCAAGAUUGCAGUCACCAAUCAGCUUCUCACUAACAUAUUGCGAUGCGUAGUUAGCUAACUUUUUGUCCCAUGUCAUGGGCUGGACUCCAACCUCUGCCCGCGCGGCGUUGUGGGCGGUAAGGUAGUCUUGUGGGGUGUUUUGGGCAUGGGAGAGAUGCGCUAGGGCUAAGCCAAGGAGGCAUAGAAGGGCCAGUGAUGUCUUGCCCAUUUUGGCUUGGAUUCUAUGAUGGAGGACAAGAGCCUUUGAUGGUUAAGAGUAUUGACUUGUUGCAGAGAAUUUAAUGGUGCAAGGUGUUCUUUCUUGAUAUAGCUUUUAAUCAUUAUGAUAGAUAAUCCAAAGAAAUCAAUAAAAAGUGCUCAGCAAUUAAUUGUAGUGCAAUUAUAAAAUAUUAACUUAAUAGAAAAAAAAAAAGGUGGGGUGGGGGGGAAUUUACACGAGUAGGAGAUAAGGAUUGAUAUUAAUUCUCUUGAAGAUGACUACAGCAUGUUAAGAAGGGAUGAUAGUCAUCUUCACAUCUAUUUUAUUCCUUAGGCACGAUUUUUUUUUUUAAUACUGUGGUUGAUGAAUUUUGAGGAGCUCUUCAAUUUGUGAAGUUCUCAUACCCGAAUUAAUGCAUAAAUAUUUUGUUUUGAUUGUUGAUGUAAGAAAACUGGCAACAUCAACCACAAAAUAAAUUUUCAGCUGUAAUUAAUAGUUACAUUAUGUUUGUUUCCUACGGGAAGAAAAAAAUGUUUGUUAUUUUUGUAACCCUGAAAUAACUAAAAAAAAAAUACAAAUAAUAAUAAUUUUCUCAUGAUUUGUUUGUACAAAAUAAAAAAAAUAAAAAAUAAAAAAUGGUUAAACUUAUUUGUUUUUAAAUUAUUUAAUUUUUAUAUAAGAUAAGAAAAAUAGGUGAAACGAGUUUGAAGAAAUGUAUAAAAUUAAUUUAUUAACUUUAAUUUUUUUUUCUUAUUUUUUUCUUCCCAUUUUCACCUUAUUUUAUUUUUAUAUUUUUCUUAUUACAAACCAAACAAAACCUUAAGCUAGUUGAGAUGAUGGAAACUUUUAAGAAUUUACUGUGGGGUAUAUUUUUGGAAAGUAAAGCUGAAAGUCAAAUAUAAUUAAAACUACUAGAAAAAAAUUAUAAAGAUGCAAAUGACCCUCUACAUAAUAAUAAUAAUAAUAAUAAACCAAACAAAACCUUAAGCUAGUUGAGAUGAUGGAAACUUUUAAGAAUUGACUGUAGGGUAUAUUUUUGGAAAGUAAAGGUAAAAGUCAAAUAUAAUUAAAACUAUAUAAUGAAAAAGGUAAAAAAAAAUUAUAAAAUUUUUUCUUGGUUGUUUAUGGGAAUUUGAAAGAGAAGAAAAUUAAAAUGUAAGGAAUAUCCAUGAUAAGAUAAUAGGUUUAUAGUCAUUGCCAAACCACAUUUAUUCUGCAAUUAAAAGGAUUAGUAGUUGAGGUUGGUAAGGGUUUAUAGUCGUGGAUUUUUUUCUGAUAUUUUGGGUGGUUAAUGCAGGUUAAUAGGCGGUCAACGUGGGGUCGGGGCAGUCAAUAUGAUGCUAUAGUGACCGCUAUAGUGAAAGCUCAAAAAUGCCUUUUAAUUGAUGGUGUUUAUUUUUUUGGCUUUUUGCUGAAAGCAAUUUACUUUCAGAAUUUAGGUUUUUUUAAAAAAAAAUUUUAAUGACUUAUUACUGUUUUUUUAAAUUUUUGGCUAAAUGUAAAAAACUAAAAUAUUUGGCUUUUUUUAAAUAGAAAAAUGCAGUUUUUGAAACCUCCCCACAUACGAUUUUCAACCCAACGCCUGACCCUAGCCCACCCAUCCCUUGUAGCUUUCUGCAAUUGGCAUCCUCAACCCUCACCUCAUCCCCAAAGCGGUAAUUUCUUCAUUCUCAUCCUCCAUCCGAGACUACAUAGUUGGAAAGACGCUCCACUUUCAUUCGACAUUGUUGAUCUAAUCGAAGGUAACCCUCAACCCAAAUUUAUUUUGGGUUUUAGGAUUUUAAUAGAGUAACCGAGUCUCAUUUCUCAGUACUUCUCUCUCUAAAACUCUCAUUCUCUAUUUUGGUUCACAAAUGCAAGUGCUCUGUUUAGGGUUUUUGAGUUCACAUGUUGCGGGUCCUAAGAUAAUUUUAGGAUUUCUAGGCUCUAUUAAAAGAGCUAUGUGGGUGUUUUUUUUUGUUUGAGUUCAUUUUUAAGAAAAAAUUUCUAGGCUACUGAUUUUGUUUGAGAUUACAAAGAAUGUGGGUAUCGGGUAUUUGGGUUUUUUGUCUCAAUGAGACCAAAUCAGGAGUAUUCAAUGGGUGGUUGGGAGUUUAAUUUCUAUCUUUUGCAACCCUUCCCCUUUUGCAGGAAUCAACUAAAGCAUAAAAUAAUUCAUGACUUCUUGUCUGUUUAUUGAAAUAUAAGAGAUUAGGUAGAUGGAAUUCUAGGGUGGUUUUGAAACAUUACCAUGCUUUGAGUCUGCUUUGCGUGUGUCAAUGUUAUCUAACUUGGUCCUUGCCCUUCAAACGUUUGAAGGUUAAAUUUUAUCUUGGACCUUUUCUUUUCCUCCUUAAACAAUACAAACUUUGAUGUGCUUCUUGGUCCAAAUAAGAAUAUUGUGUUGGUUGAAUUUGUGUAACAUCUUUCUCUGUUCCUUUGAUGACUAUAAAAUUUCUGGAUUUUGGUUGAAUCAGUAGCUAUGCGGCUAUGCCAUGUUACAUAACCUAUUUUAUUUGGCUUGAGUUUGGACACAUGAAUUGCCCUGUUUCGGUGAUUCUAAAGAAGAAAGUUAGGGAAUUGUCUCUGCGGAGAUUGUAGUUUUAUGCCAUGGAUUUUGAUGCACAAAGGGUUGUUAUUUUGAUUGUUGAAGUUCUAUUUUGUGUUUCAUUUAGUACUUUGGAGUCCCUGGAGUACUGUUUGAAAGCUAUCUUCUGCAAUUAUCCGAUCAUUUAGUGCUUUGGAAGGGAAAGUAAUUCAUGUUCCCACAUGAGAACAAUGAAUUCUAGCUGCAUGAGAGGCCAUUUGCAUCAUGGCUGGAGUACUUCACUCCUAAGAUAGUUUUCUAGGGUGCCUUUUAAUGUUCUUUUGUGUUUUUCAUUGAUUUCAAUACAAUGGAUUCUGCUGGAAGAAAAUUUGUUUUAUCGGAUUCCAGUGGGCAUAGUUUAAUGACCAACAAUUCUGUAAUGACUGUACAUUUACACAAUGAGACUAGAGUAGUUUAGUAGCAAUUCAAUGCAUCUUGUGAGAAGUUUAGUAGCAAUUUAGUGUAGUUUGUAAUUAUUGAUUCGGAACUAAGAAGCAAUAACCCUUUUCAUAGGUUCCCUUAAGAUUUAACAACUAGACUAGAGUAGUUUGUAAUUAUUGAUUCAGAACUAAGAAGCAAGAACCCCAAACAGAGGUGGAAGUUCCAAACAUAAAAUUCUAUAUAAUUCAUCAACCAUAGCAUCUGAUGGGGUCAGUGCAACCCUUUUCAGCAAACUGGCAUAAGCCUUUACCUCCACCAUUUUCCAAAUAUUGCUGAUGGUACUCCUCUGUUCUGUAAAACCUCUUUGCUGGAAGAAUUUCAGUUACAAUGUUCUUAUCAUUCAAAGGUCCCUUAGUCCUAUGAAAAUAUUCUUAGUUAUAAAGCCAUACCCUACUAAAAACCUGAAAUCUCAGGAACACUUUCGCCAGCAUGAAUUAAGUCUGAAGCAUUUUGAUCCAAAGGGAAGUGUUCUGAUGUUAUUUGGGAAGCAACUUUCAACAGAAAAUCAAUCAAAAUGCAUAUUUACUAUAGCAACUCUUUAAACAGAGUCAUCAAGCACUAGACAUGAUUGCAAGAGUCUUUAACUCAAGAAAGCAUGAUCCUAAAACUCAAAAUCCAUUGGAACCCAAUAUGUUGGCAAAACUGCAAUCAACAGAGAUAUCUCGCUCAUCAAUCUUAAAUUCUCAACACAUUUUCCAACAACCAAACAGUUAAAACCAAACCCUUUUCUUUAAUCAAGAAAAUAAAAACACCCUUUUUUUUAUAAGUAAUUUCAUCGUUUUUUUACAUUUCACCUUUUUUAUUCUCUAUUUAUUGUUGGGUCUUGCACUCAUCCUUUAUUGUCAAAUGUGGUUUUGUUCCUCGGCAGCGUGAUUGAGCUGCGUGGUUGGCACAUCCGAAGGAUUCUUUAGUUGACACAGUUGCUAAGAAUCUUUUGGAUCGAUUGGAGGUACUAGUUUACUUUGGAAUUCAAGUUUUUUAGUGCCCAUCUACACUAAAUUGCUACUAAACUUCUCACAAGAUGCAUUGAAUUGCUUAGUAUCAUUUUUUUUUCCUGUAUCAAAAGGAAAAAAGACAUAAAAGAAGCUGCAUAGGUAUUAUGGAAACUGCAUAUUGCUAACAUUUUCAGUUUUUUUUUUUUUUUUUUUUUAAGGAAAAGUAUAUCUUGAGAAUGGAACCAGUGGCUUUGAGCACUACUUUGAUGAUAUAUUUUAAGCAAAUGGAGAUUAAUGUUUUCUAGAACUUUUUUUUUUAUAGGCAAUGCUUUUCAGAACACAAAUUAUAUUAUUGUCCAAUUUGAUGAACGGUUGUCUUCCACUGUUAUACUUUGAGAUAUCACUUCCUAGGAAACACUUCAUCCAUCUCUUGCUCUUUUUGAUGUACAGAAAUGCACGUGCACAUGUAUGUGAGCAUUCAUGUAGACAUGUGUUGGCAUAAAAAGUAGUGAAUAGGCUGGGUGUAAAUGAAUAUGCUAAAAUAAGAAAUAAGAGCCAAUGAGAUAUAAUCAAUGAAAUGUAAAUAGAGUUUAGCCUCAAAUUCACAUAAGAAGGUUACACUAAGUAUAAAGCAAGCCAUACUCAAACUUUAUAUUCAUGAAGAUUUUUAUUUUAUUUUAUUUUAUUGUCUCUAAUUGAAAAUUGAAAAUUAAUCAUUAAUGUUGGUUGGUUUUUUGUAGAGUAAUGAGUCAAAAUGUUGAGAUUAGUAGGGCAAAUUGAACUGACCCCAUCGAAAGAAAACACUUUAUUGAUCUUUGUCUUCAAGAGGCAAACAAAGGCUUUAGAUCAGGUGGAGGUUUAAAGUCUAGUGUUUGGCCUCGAAUUGUUGAAGAGUUGGAGAAGUUACUUGGAAAACGUUAUACUUUAAAACAACUUAAAAAUGGGUGGGAUUACAUGAAAAGACAAUAUCUCAUUUGGAGUAAAAUGAUGACUAUGACAGGACAUGGUUACAACUCUAUAACCAAAACUUUUGAUUGGCCAGCUAAAAAAUGGGAAAAAUAUCUACAGGUAGUUUUUUUAUGGAUUUGAGUGAAUUUUAAAAAUAAUUGUCUUAUAUAUGUAUACAUGACUAAUUUGUUGUUUAUCUUAUAAAAUAUAGAUAUCCAGAAGCUAAACAAUUCUAUUUUAAACCAUUAGCAAAUGUGGAAGAAUUAGAGGCAUUGUUUGGAGGAGUGUUAGCUACUAGGUCUAAAAAUUGGAGCUCUGGAGGAGUGAUAGCUUCUGGGGCUGAGGAAUCAUCAACACAUUCUACAUCUAUGCCUAGCGAAACUUCAAUUAGUUUAGAAGAAGAUGAGGAUUUGCCAAGAAAUACUAAUGAUGAAGCAGAAGGUUCUAAGAAAAAACAAAAGAAAGGAAAGAAAGAGCAAACUCAAGAAGAAAUGAAUAGAAUAAUGAAUGUGUUGGAGAAUUUUGAAGGACCCUAAGUCAAAGAAUUUUGAAGAGGCUCUUGACUUAUGAGGAUCCAUUAUACUAUGUAGCAAUUAAUUCAUUUUGCAAGAAGAAAGAGUAUAGAGAGGUGUGGAUGGAGAUGGAAAGUGACGAAGAGCGAAUGGGAUGGAUUCAAAGCUUGCGAAAAUAACUUUUUGAAUAUUUGUUUUAGAUUUGUGGAAUGCAUAGGGUAUAUGACUUAUAUGAUGAUUUUAAUUUGGUACAUUUGGUUUGUUUGUUUUGGAUAUUUGAUACAUUUAAACUUUUCCAAUUAUAAAGACUUUCUCUCUACAUUUUAUUGAUAUUUGUUUUGGAUAUUUGUUACUCAUACAUUGUUAUAACUAUUUGAUUAUAUUGUUAUGCUUUUAUUUCAUAACUAUUGUUUUUUUAUAAUAGAUAUUCUUAUGGAGAAUCCUUCACAUCACUCAAAUAGUUCAAGUUCAUCAUCAUCAAGUGAAGAUGAAGAUACAAAGUUAGAAGUGACAAGAAUUUUUUUUAAAAAAAAGAUUGGUUGUGUUGUUGCUCAAAUUAUUAAGUGACUCAUCCAUUAAUAAGGAACGAGUCUCUACUUCAUCAUUUAUAGGUUCACUUUUCAUUCAAGAGCUUUUAAAUGGUUCAUCUAGCACAUGUUAUGAACUAAUGCGGAUGGAAAAACAUGGAUUUAUUUCUUUAUGUCACAUGUUUCGAGAAAAAGGAUGGCUUGUUGACAGUAAACAUUUGAAUGUUGAAGAAAAAAUGGUCAUGUUUCUUAUGACUAUUAGUCAUAAUCUUCGGAAUCGAUUGAUUAAGAAUAGAUUCCAACACUCAAGUCAAACAAUUCACAAAUACUUCCAUGAGGUUUUAGUGGCCAUGGUGAAUUUCUCAAAAGAGAUGAUUACUCUUCCAUUAUUCAAUGAUAGUUCAAAUGGUAUCUCCAAUCGUCGGCUAAGACAAAUUUUUAAGGUAUAUUAUUUUUAUUUCUAAUUAUUCAUAUCAUAUUUGUAUUAUUCUCAUAUAAAAAUAAUUAUUUAUAUUUUAAGGAAUUAUUACCAUGUAGAAUGUUGUUGGUGCAAUUGAUGGAACUCUUAUCCAUGCAUGUAUUCCUACUAAUCAACAAGUACCUUAUCGAGGUCGUGGGAAAGGAGAAUGUUUUCAAAAUGUUAUGGCAGUUUGUGAUUUUGACAUUAUAUUUAGGUUUGUUGUUGUUGGAUGGGAAGGAACAACUCAUGAUUCAAGAGUCUUGACAGAAACUAUCCAUUACCCGCAACAUAAUUUUCCAAUGGCCCCAUCAGGUAAAUAUUUUAUUUUCAUUUUAUUUAAUAUAAUUUGUAUUUAUUCAUUAUAAUAAUAAACUCAAUCCUUUUUUUCUUCAGAAAAAUAUUAUUUAGUAGAUGCAGCAUACACACACACUCGAGGUUUUAUGGCACCAUAUCGUAAUGUGCGCUAAUAAUUGGUUGAGUGAUUUUCGUAGUGGUGGUAAAGCUGUAGGAAAAAAGGAGAUAUUCAACCAAUGCCAUACAAGAUUAAGAAAUGCCAUUGAAUGUGCUUUUGGUAUUGGGCGCAUUUCCCAGUAUUGAAGAGAAUGACACCUUAUUCGUUUACUACUCAAACAAAAAUUGUCAUGACAUGCUUCUCCAUUCACAAUUUUCUUCGACAAAUCUCAGUUGUGGAUAGAUUAUUUUCUAAAUAUGGCAAUGAAGUGGAAUUGGAAAGUGUUUAUGCAAAUCAAAAUCAAAACUCAACUACAAGCAGUUUUUUUGCAGCAUCUAAUCAAGAAUUCAUGCAACAAUUCUGAGACCAAAUCGCAAAUGAACUCUUUCAAGUGUUUAGUUAACUUGUCAUUUUUAGCUUUUUACCAUUGUAAGAAAUGCAAUGUUUAGAUAUUAGCAUAAAAUGUGAUGUCUUCGAAUAUUUGAAAAUAUGUACUUGAAUUGUUAUGUUUUUUCUUUAAUUUGAUUUAGGUUUUGUCAAUUCAUUAUUUUUCAUAUUAUUAAGUUUAAAUAUUUUAUUUUAAUUAUAUAAAAAAUAAAUAUAUUAAUUAUUUUUUGUAAGAAUGAUAAUGAUAUAUUAUUUAUUAUAACAAUUUUAUUAUUUUGAACUAUUUAGAAAUAAGUUAAAUUAUAUUUUUUUAAUACAUUAAAAUAUUAAGAUUUAGUUUUUAGUAUAUAAAAAAACAAACAACUUAAUACUUAAUAGAAAUAAAAUAUUAAAAAAAACAAACAACUUAAUACUUAAUACUAUUAAGUAUUAUUUAGUAUUAAGUUAAAAAUAAGUUCUAUUUAGAAUUAAGCAAAAAAAAAACAAACGCCACCUUAGUCUAAAGCUUAAAGAUAUUGCACCAAACAUAUAUAUAUUCAAAGUCAUCAUAUAAAUAAAAUAUUAAAAGGAUAUAUGAUUAAAUGAAAAAGUUUCAUUUAAUUGAUUACCAAAAAUGUAAAAACUAUUAUAAUAAAUUUCUUCAUAGUGUUUUUAAUAUCAUUAAUAGAUUAAUUAAAUAUUAAAAAAUUGUUCAUAUAUCACAAUUUAUUUUAUAUCAUUUAAUACAAUUGAAUUAAAUGGAUCAUAAUUUUAAUAUUAAAUAUAUUUUAAAAUUAGGUAUAUUAUAAUCAAAUAUCACAAUAUUAUUAUGAAAUAAUAUUUUAUGUAAUUUAAUAAUAAAUGUGCACUUAUAAAAUUCAUAUUUUUUAUUGACACAUACAAUAUUAUUAUCAAAUAUGAUAAAUCAUAUUAUAUAUAUAUAUAUAUAUAUAUAUAUCAAAAUCUUCAACAAAACAAUUUUUAAAUGUUUAUUAUACUUUUAAUUACAUUUUUAUGAAGUUUUCUUACAUUUCCAUGAAUUUUCAUCAAUUUUAGGCCCACCGAUAUUUUUUUUCAAAAUAUCCACCAAUAUAUCUCCGAUAUAUCCGUAAAAUUGAAGUACCAAUAUAUCCGUGAUUAUUGAUAUUUUCAUCCUUAGUGAUGAGUGCUACUAAAAGUUCUUUUAGCCAAUGGUAGAUUUUGACCCCUACUAAAAGUUGAGAUAAAAAUAAGGGAGUUUGAUAAGUUGUUUUGAAAAACAAUUUAAAAGUCAAAGAUAAAAAAAAAUAAAAAAACUUGUUAAAUAAAUUGUUUUUGAGAGUAACUUUUCUAUUUUGAUUUUAUAAAAAUAUUGUAAAUAUAAUUUAUUAAUAUUAAUUAAAUUUAAUUCAAGUCUUUCUAAAAAUGAAAUUAGUUUUUUUAAUUAUAAAUAGAUUUAAAAAGAAAUAAUUUUUAGAAAAACAUGAACAAUAAUAAUAUUAUAAUAAAAUAAAAAUAUUUUUAUUAAAAAAAACUAUUUUCGUAUAUGUUAAAAAAUUAUAGAUAUUAACAUCUUCACGAAAAUAUAAUUGAUUUCUUUUCUAUUAAAAAUGAAUAAUAAUAAUAAUUGUUAAUAAUUAUAAGUUUAUAUAGUAAAUUUAGUUGACACAUGCACUUCCAUUCAUCACUUAUUAUGAAGAAAAGUCAUAAACAACCUAAAAAAACUCCAAAUAUUACAAUUUCUAAAUGAGCCUGAUACAAUUCAAAUUUGAUUGAAGCAUUUAGAACUUGUUUUGAUGUGUUUUGAAGGUUAAAACUCGAUCACCAAUGGCUGAGUUUGAAACUAGAGUGAGUUUAAAAUCAAUUUCAAACUCGUAAGUGUGGGAAAAUGCUUAAUUUUGAAAUAAAAAAAGUUGUGAGUCCAAUGCUUUAAAUGAUGUGCAAACCAUAUCUAAAACGAGGAAGUUACUUGCAUUUGAAGUGAACUAGGUAGAAAAGAAUGUUGAGUUCUUGAUACCUUGAAUUUGAAAUAAUUUUUGGCCAUUUAGAACUCAGAGGAAUGCAAGGAUGCUUUGGCAAAGGCUAAGUUCAAACCCCUUUACCUAUUUCAAACAAAAGACGCGCAUUUUAGACCCGAAAACAUGGUGAAAUGGCUUGGGCAAUAAGUGAGUUAGAAAUUCAUAAUGAAUUUCGAACUCGCUUGAAUUUUGAAUUGAGCUUUUCCUAUACUUAUGAGUUCAAAAUUAACUUUGAACUUGCUCGAAAUACAAACUCAGUCAUUGAUGAUUGAGUUUUGAGCUCCAAAACACGUUAAAACGAGUUUUAAAUGCCUUCAUCCAAGUCAAAAUGCAUGAUACUCAUUUAGAACUCAUAAUAUUUGGAGUCUUUUAAGUUGUUGAUGACUUUUAUUUGUAAUAAGUGGCCAAUGGAAGUGUGCCACAUGUUAGGUUAUUGAAUUUAUUAUAUAAACUCUUUUAGUUUUAAGAAUGGAGGAUGAGAGAGGGAACAUAGAGAGGGAUUGAUCUCUCUUGUUGAAAGUCUUUAAUAAAGUUUGAGGUUUUUUUUUCUUUCUUUUUCCAUCUUUUUAUUUUAUUUCUUAGUAGCCAAACAUGGGUUGUGAGGAGAAAUCCUCCACCAUAUUUGGCUAACUUGAUUGAUCCAGAGAUGCUAGCAUGAAGGUGAAAAAUCCAAAGAAGAGUAGUAAGAAACGAUAAUGUAUGAAAUGGUUUGAUUAUGCUUACAAGUUUUAAUUGGUAGAAAUAAAUCUUCUAUGUUAGUUCCCCUAGAUAAAUUACAAAGCAUUCUUAUCAAGAGACUAGUGAUUCUUGGGAAUACCUUGAUCACUAAUUACUAUAACUUAAUCUUAUUAUUAGCGAAUUUAAUGAUCAAAUCUACAGAGAUAGAUAUAGGCUUUUUGAUUGAAUAAAAUUGAAAAUCAAAAUUAACCAUCAUUUUUUAAUUAGUUUAAGAGAUUUGUGUUUCAAAAAUAAAAAUUUAAUGAGAUUAAUGAAUGGUUUGCAUUACAAUUUAUGCAUCUUUGGUCCUAUCAUUGUGAGUUGUUUUAGGAAAUGAUAUCGUAGAUUAUUACCCGAUACUAGUGAUUCUUUGUAACUCCUGAUCAUUAAUUAUUUUUAUCUAUCCUAUCAUUAUCUGCCUCAAAAUAAAGCUAAAAGGAGUAAUAAGGGUUUAAAAACCUAACCUUGAACUAGUAAUCAAUCUCAUUCACUUGAUGGUUUUAGAAAUCUAUUUCAAAAAGGAAAAAUCUAAGUUUUGGAUGCUAUAUUGAUCUUACAAUUAAAUUUAGCCAUGGAUUCACUUUGAUCCUAAAACUUAGGUUUUGUAAUGCUCUCUCUCUAAGGAUUUGACACUAGAUUGUGAAACUCUCUAGGACAUUCUUUCUUUUGUUUUAUUUUAUUUUAUUUUAUUUCACUAAAUAUUUUAAGAAAUCCUUAUUCAUAUUUUAUCAUUAUUUAUUUAAUUUGAUGUUUCAUUAACUUUAGUAAAUAAUUAACCAUUCUAACCUAAAAACAAUCGAACACAUUAGAGUUGAUCCUAGAAGAUGAUAACAUAAAUACUAUAAAACUGUGGUAACUAUAUCUAGCUUUUCUUGGGCAAAGUUACCACAUAUUUACACUUAAGUAUUUUUUUUACAAUAGAAAUUUUCAGUUAGUUAUCUAGGGAGAAAGCUCCCCCUCAAUAGGUGCAUUGAAUAUUAAGUUAAUUAGACUCAAAACUAACUGGACAAAAAUACUUAAAUUAAAUGAAAUGAUCAUUCCAAAAUUAGUUAAGUAUAGACCAAUGCUAGCUAAGAAGAUCAAGAAUCCCAUGAAUAGCAUGUAUAAUCCAUGAGAAUCAUAUAUAAGCCAUAUAUGCAUAUAUCAAGUAGUAGUGAAUGGAGUACAUGGAAAUGGUAAAAACAAAGCACAUCCGACAUAAUAGCAAAAUAUGAUGUCUAAAAUACAACAUCUAGAGUAACAUCAAACAUGUCCAGAAUGCCUAUAUGAGAAUAUCUCCCCGUUUGGUAACAUAAAGUAUAAAGGAGAAAUCAUUGCAACUCAAAAUCAAGGUUAGGAAUGUGGAGGUAGAAAGACCAAACGAAGAUGGUUCAUCAUCUGAUCGUAUUAAGCCUAAAGAUGAGUAGUAAAAAGUACCUGACACUAAUCUAACUGAAUAGUUAAAGUCGUCUCAUACUGAUCCAUAUGGUCCUUAAUCAAAUAGAAACAAGUACUAUUCAUGAGUAGCUCCUUUACCUAAGUACUGAGCGAACUAAUUUGUGCUGAUAUAUCUACCUAGAGUUACUAAUUAACUAAUGGAGAUGAGUGUGGUGUAGUAAACAUAACAACUGAAGCCGAACACAUCUUAGUGAAGACAAGAUUAGAAUGGAAUGUCUUCUUAGUAAGUAUUGUUGGCUCAUGUUGAAAGGUUUAAAAGGUUGCUUUUGGCUACUCGGUAUGGAAAGGCUCCUCAAUCUACAUCUCCUUAGUCCCAUUGCCCUAUGAGAACUCUUUACCCUUCAUAUCAAGUUCCUUGAUUUCCUCCUCAGCAUAGUCCUUACAAACCUUCUGUCCACCCCUCUUGUGAACCCAGGACCCAUCAAUAAGGUGCUCAAAGUGCAUAUGACCUAUGGAUUUCACAUUGUAAAUAUCAUAUGCUCUAAGAGGUUUAAUGUCAUUCGUAGUCCUUAAAUCCACAUUGAAUGCCUUCAAAAUCUAAGUCAAUAGGCAUCCAUAGUAAAGUAUCUUAGACUUAAUCUCACAACACUUCAUUAUGUGCUAAAGAAUAAUGAAUCCAAGAUUGAUUCUCUUAUCAACUAGGAUGGAAUCAAUCAGAAAAGCUCAUAAUAGGAUACCUCAUCUUGAUGUCCUCCUUUAAGAAUAAAUAUAUGACUAAUCAUGUGAUCUAGGACUCGACUAAUCAAUGUGAGAACAUGAACAUGAGGCUUGGUAGUUGUAGUGUCAAAUAGAAGAUUACAUAACUUUUUUUUCACAAAUCAGAGGGUUGGUCGAGUCCAUCAACUCCUCUUGUAUUUGAAUGUUGUGGUCGUUUGGGCGAAUGUACUAUAAGGCUAGGGUGUACACCUUUCCUGACAGCAAUUGCUUUUAGGAGAGCUAGUAGCAUCUGAAGUCCUAUAAGUGGUAUCAGAGUUAAGCCUCUUGUUUAAGACUUAACCGUUUAAGAGGAAACGACUAAUUUAUCAAGUUCAUCUCAUAUUGAAAGUUUUGCAACCAAUAGACCUCCAUUUUUUUUAUAGGAACUAAUUAUUCCUAUUGGAAAAAAAAUGAUUUGGUUUUUAAAAUCUACUAAUCUUGAUCUAUGGGAUAUCAUUGAAGAUGGUCCUCACAUUCCUUCAAAAUUAUAAAAUGGAGUGAUGGUUCCAAAACCUAAGCAAGAAUGAGGUGAACUUGAUAAAAAAAAAAUUCAAUUAAAUGCCAAAUAUGUUUAUAUCUUUCAUUGUGCUACUAAUAGAAAUGAAUUUAAUCAUGUUUGACAAUGUAAAUUGACUAAAGAAAUUUGGAGACUAUUGGAAAUCACUCAUGAGGGAACCAACCAAGUUAAAGAGUUUAGAAUCAACAUCAUUGUGCAUUAUUCUAUGAAGGAUUUUGAAUCUAUUAUAGAGAUGUUUUCUAGGUUCAUGGUGAUUGUGAAGGAACUUUAAGCCUUGGGAAAGACCUACACCGAAGUAGAGAAAAUCAUGAAGAACUUAAGGUCUUUACCAAAGAAAUGGAAAACAAAAGUAAUGGCUAUUCAAGAAGCGACAAGAAUGGGAAUAUAUAUAUAUAUAUAUAAUAGAGAACAUAGCUCUCAAAGCUACAACCAAGGAAGAAGAAGAAGUUGAAGAAGAAAAACAAAGUGAAGAAGGUGAAAAGUUAGCCCUCAUCACAAGAAAGUCUAACAAGUUCAUGAGGGGUGAAAGGUUUAGAGGAAGAAGGUUCACUUCCAGAAGAGACUCUUCUAAAAAGGAAUCUUCAUCCCAUGGUGACAAUGAGAGAUGGGAGGAGAAAAGAGACUUGGUAUUCUUCAUGUGCAAGAAACUGGGACACUUUAAAUAUGAUUGUCUUUUCUACAAAAGUGAAGCCAAAAGGAGAAAGAAGAAGGCAAUGAUGACCACUUGGAGUGAAAGUGAAGAUGAAUCAUUCGAAGAAAUGAGAAAAAAGUGGCAAACAUAUGUUUCAUGGCAAUAGAUGAACUUGAUGAGGUAAACUCUAACAUUAGCUAUGAGGGUAUACAUUAUGCUUUUGAAGAAAGUUCAACAACUUGAAAAAGAACUUGGAGAAGUAAACGGAAAAUUUUCAAAUGUUUAAGAUUCUAAAACUUGUCUUGAAAAAAAGAAUGAGAUUUUAAGAAAGAAAAAUGAAUGGUUGACCUCCUCUCUUUCAAUUUUUUCUUGUGGACAAGAAUAUUUUGAAAUGAUCCUAACUAACCAAAAAUGUAUUUUGACAAACAAGGGUUAUGAUUCAAAUCUUCAAAAAAUCAAAAGUGUUUUAAGAACUAUUUUGUAAAGGAAUCCACAAGUGUCAAUCCUUCCACCACUUGAAACUUUUGUGGAAAAGAAUGACACAUUAGUAGCACACGCCUUUUAAGAAAUGGUUCUCAAAAGAAUUUACAUGCAAAAGCUAAAAAGAAUUGGGUUGAAAAAUUCAAGGUCACUAACCCUCAAGGACCUAAGAAGACAUGGGUACCUAAAUCAACUUGAGUUAUGUGUUUUAGAGUUCAAAGAAGCAUAAGUGGUUCUUGGAUAGUGGAUGCUCAAGACACAUGACCGGAGAUGAAUCCAAGUUUGCUUUUCUUUCAAAGAAAAAAUGAGGAUAUGUUUGUUACCUUUGGAGACAAUGAAAAAGGAAAAAUCAUUGGUCAAGGCAACAUUGGUAAUGACACAACCUCAUUGAAAAUGUUUUACUAGUAGAUGUUUUAAAACAUAAUCUUUUAAUCAUUAGUCAACUUUGUGACAAAGGUUUUAAAGGGAUUUUUGAAGCAUCUCAUUGCAUUACAAAGGAUAUUCAAAAUGACAAUAAUCUUCAUGGGCCAUAGAUGUGAUAAUGUUUACACUAUAAAUAUUUCAAAAUAUGAUGGUCAUGAUGUUUUUCAAGCAUGCAUGAUCAAAGUUGGUUGUGACAUAGGAGAUUGGGACAUGCUAACAUGGACCUCAUUUCCCAACUCAAUAAAAAUAAAUUUGUUAGAGGUCGUCUCAAAAUUAUUUUCAAAAAGAUAAAAGCUUGUGAAGCUUGUCAACUGGGAAAACAAAUAAAAAACUCUUUUAAAAACAAAAACUUCAUUUCCAUAACUAGACAACUUGAGUUAUUGCAUAUGGAUUUAUUUGGUCCCUCUAAGACACCAAGUCUUGGAGAAAAGUCUUAUGGUUAUGUUAUUGUCAAGUGGGCACAUAGCUUGAUGGUCAUUAGUAGAGUGCUACAUCAUAUGUUAUGCUUCAUUUUCCUACCAUGGGGUGGGCACCGAGAUGAGGUUUCCUAUUACAAGGCAUUCCUUAUAGAUUCCAUUUUGACUAGGAGACAAAUCCAUUUAGGAUAUCUGAUGAUGAUGCACAUGAUUGCAUGUUGCGAGAACACAACUCGAGUAUUCCCCUAUGGUCGCUACCUUUCUUGAGUAUUCAAGGAUAAAGGCAUUAACCUUAGUAAAGAGACAGAAUUUGAGGUCCCUAAUACAUAUGAGACAUUGAUGAUCAGUUUAUGGGGGGGAUGACAUUUGAGAAGGCUCCAGAUGGUUCUUGGAUUAGAAAAGCAGAAAGAACACAACCACGGGGAUAGGGAUAGACACACUUUGGAGUUGAGGAAGAGACAGAGAUUAGAUAGAUGGAGGGUGGAGUAAACCCUCAGGGUGGCAUAGACCUUCAGAGUGGCCACCAGCAGAAAGGGCCUGAGCUUGAUAUUCCCCCACUUCAGACAGAGAUUCUUUCACAGACUGAGGGUUUUCAAUUUGAGUCCACUUUCUUUGAGCCGAUUAUGACAUAGCAUACUUUUAUAGAGGGGCCAUCUACUUAGUCAUCAUACAUCGAACCCUCCUUAUUUGGACUAGUAUUCAUCGAGCCCACCUAUAUUGAGAUACUACCUCCUCAGACACCUCCUGCUCCUAACCAUGUUCCUUAGAUAGAUUUAUCGGCUCAAAUUAACUCCCUUAGUACUCGUAUGGAGGAGCUUGUAGUGGUCAAUGAUACACAAUUUUACUUUAUGGAGGAUAUAAUGGACUAGUAUCAGAUUGGGUUCACUACUCAGUUUGAGUAUCUCUAGUAGAGGAUUGAUCACAUGGAGCAGAGGAUUGAUCACAUUGAGGAUCACAUGGAGCAUCAGCAUAAGGAGAUGAUGACCUACUUGCAUUUCGUGUUUCCACAUCCAUCUCCUCAACCUUGAUGACUAGUUGGGAACCCCCUUAUUCUUUUUUUAUGUUGCCAAAGAGUGAGAUAGUUUAGGAUCUAGGAAGAUCUAGGAAGGUAGAUAUAGAAGACUCAUAAUCAUACAUGCAUAUCAUUUUUUUGUUUGGAUCAUAUAUUGCUUAUCUCUAAUUACUUUAGCUUGUUGGACAUAUAAUGUUCUGACUGAUACAUUUGACAUGAAAUAUGAUAUGCUUAUAUAUUUGAUGACUUACAUUAGAUGUUCCUUGUUGCAAUACUUUCUAACAUGUCUUGAUCAUCGUGUUUUUAAUUUCUUAAAUAUUGAUUGUUGGUCCAUGAUUGGUUUGAGGGGAGAUUAUUUUUUUCCUAGAUAACCAAGGUUUUUCAUCACAAAAAAUAAGAGAUUGUUAGCCCAAGGAUUCUCAUAAUCAUGUUUUGAUGAUAACAAACCAUGAUUAAGUUGCUAAUUGGUUUAAAUUAUAAAGAAUUUUAGAUAUUAGUUUGAAAAUUCAUCAAAUGACCCAAUGGAUGUAAGAUCAAGGAAAUUGGAAGACCUUUAAUCAUAAAAAAAAACAUAUGUAGGAUGAAUGCAUUGUUGCACUUAGGAUUUUCAUAUUUUUUUCAUGCAUCUUUAAAAACUCAGUUUAUGCAUUAAAGUUACAUUUCCAUCAAAACUCGAGUUUUACCAAAUGAACCUUAGGCAAAUCAUUUCAAAAUUGACAUAAUAAUUAACCUAAAGACCUUGAUUAAGUGUUAGAAGAGAAAAUAAUAGAAAAAUAUAGGUUUUUGGGCCAAAAAUGGUGAACCAGUUGAGGUACUAGCCAAUCGACUCAAUUGGCUAGGGUACUGGUUGACCGGUUACACCUAUCCGGUCGAGGUCCGGUUGAGAAAUACAAAAAAUCUUUUCUCUAUUCCAGAAUGCUUGUUUAACCGGUCAAAGUUUAACCUCAAUUGGUCAAGGUUGAACCUCAACCGAUCGAGGGGCGGUCAAACGGCGAUCGAGGUCCAACGGUCACCUACCAAGCAUUAAAUGCUAACGACUAGUCAACCGGUUGAAUCGAAACUCGAUUGGACGAACCCCUAAUGACUAGUUUGGCAUUUUUCCUCUAUAAAAAGGCUCAAAUCUUCAUUAUUUCAAGAGCUUAACCUUCCUAAACAUUUCUUGAAUAUAUUUGAGCCUCAUGAGAGUGUUUUUGAGUGCACAAUUGUUCUAAAACUUGCAUAUCAUUAGUGCACCAUUCAAUCCUAAUUUUUCUUGUACAUUUGAGCCUAAAGUUUUGCAUUGGGAUUUUAUGAGAUUAUUUCUUCAUUUGUAAAUCUUUGAAAGGAAAAAUCUAAGUGUGAGGUAUCACUUAAGGGGCUAUUCAAGAGUGAGGUAUCUCUUGAAGAUUGUAAAGGGUGCUUGGAGCCUAAAGUCCAAGAGGGUGGAUUGGAACCAUAAUCCAAUUGUAUUGCUUGAAAGCUUGGUUUGGAAGCCUUGAAUUAGUGGAACCUCAAGCUUAGGAUUGAAGGUAGAGGAGAGUGGAUGUAAGCUGGGUUGCAUCGAACUACUAUAAAAUUUUGUGUUUGCAUUCUCUUUUCCCUACUCUUUUACUUUAUAUGCAAUUUGUCUUUAUAUUAUUUUAUUAUAUAUUUGAAUAUAAUUAUCUCUUGUAUUUACAUAAUUUAAAUUUGUAAAAAAAAAAACCAUCAACCUAUUCACCCCCCCUCUAAGGUGAUUAUUUUAGGUUAGAUUAGCCCAAUUUUUAUAACACCUUUGUAUAACUUUACCAACAUCAAAGUAAUCUUGGCUCAACCACCCUUUCGUCUUAAAGAGACAAUGUAGCUUUAUAUGAACUCCUUUGACUAGUGAAAUGAUUGGGCCACCCAUCUCAUAUCGCAUGUUUGAAUAUAACAUGUAUACCAAGGUCAGGCAAAAAAACUCUCAACAAGUCACCACAGAUAGCUAUCACAUCCUGGCGAAUAACUCCUCAAAUUGAAAAUAUGAUAGUUAGCCAAAAUAAAUAUUACAACUCGGAACCACCAUCUAGGCUGCAAACAAAUGAGUGUAUCAUUGGUAGUACUCCUCCAUGGAUGCUAAGCUCUAAGUGUUAAAUCAAGCUUUUCUCCUAGCCUCAACCUUAAAACUCUCUAUAUAUAGGACACUUGCCUUAGACCUUUGAUGUUGUAGUAACUUUCUGGGGAGCCAUGACACUUUAGUACAUUCACAAGAAUAAGGGGAAAAGUCCAAGAAAGUGAAAAAAAAAAAACAAAGGGAAAAGUGGAAAACGACCACAGUUCAAGAAAUGAAAGGUAAAAACAUAGAGUUCCAAGGAAAUAUCUCUCAAAAUGGCCUACAUAAGAGUUUUAGAGAAACCUUAAAGAGAGAAAUUAGUUUAGACCCUUAGGGUUCAGACCCUCUGCUGGUUGAGCAAUUGGUUCAACUGGUCCUUAAUCGAUUGAGGCUUUACCUUAACCAACUACACCACAACUAUUGUAUAUUAAGGGUGCACAAAGUGCGUCAUGAUGAGUCAAUGCCCAAUUGGCUCAACUAGUUCAUUGGGUCCUCAAUUGGUUGCAAUGUGAAGUGCUUAAGAGACUCAAUUUGAGGUAUGGAACCUUUAGAAACUUGUGUAAACCUUCUUAAAGAUAAGUUUAAAAUGAAUUUGGCUUAAGGUUUUAAUUUAAAACAAAAAUUUAUCCAAUGCUUUGGUAAAAAUGAUCAUUUUAAGUCUAAGGAAGGAUGAAAUUGAAUUUUUAAGUGCAUGAAAAUGAUUUAGACAUUUGAAAGUUGAGUUUAGGUUUGGGUAUUGAUCUUCUUCCAUUAUUCUUUGGGUUUUCUUUGAAUUUUUGUAAGUAAACCUGAAAACUUAAUUUGAUCUAAAUCAUUAGUAACUUUAGUCUUAUUUUGUAAUCGCCAAAAUUCAAUUAGAAUAACCUUUGAGCUAACACCUAUGGUGAUAGCAAAGACAAAGUUAUCUUGCUUAUGGAUAUAUAAAUGACCUUGAUAAAAGGGCAUUUGCAUGUUGUAAAAAGGUAGUAGCAACCAAGGGUCUUUGAAUGAGUCAAGGGACAAGUGACAAAUGACUAAAACUUUCAAAUAUGCUAAAGCCAUUUGAAACUAAAACUUAAGUUUCAAUUUAAAAGAGUUUGAAUUUGAAUUGAACGUUUGUUAUGAACAAACAGACAUUGUCACCAAGGUUUGUUGAAAUAGGCUUUCACUCACCCCUAAGGCAAGAUGGGUCUCCGUGCACUAGCAUUCCCACUUAGCUUGAGCGAGGUGUUAAUGAAGAUAAUCUUAGUAUUCACGAAAGAACAUGAUUGACAAAUCAUACCAACUCAAUAACCACAUUUAUCGACAAUUCAACCAAGAUUAUAAAAAACAAUUCAAUGUAGCAUGUGCUAAUUCUAUUCUCUUUACUGUUGUUAUCAUGAUAUGUAUUCAAUGUAUUUUCAUAAUUUUCCUUUUAGUACAAGAACUUGUUUGUUUAUACAAAUAAGAUUGUACAUUCUUGAUAAUAUAAUUUAGAGCUUCCAUAACCAAAUUCUGAAAAAACUUUUCAUUAUUUCGUGUUAUGAUGGAUUACUGCAAAACUAACUUAUAUUUUAAUAUUUUUUCUAGUUUUUUUUUUCCUUUUUUUUUAAUAAUUUGGUCCAUUAUGUUUUAUACUUUUAAAUUUUCAUGUUAAAAAUUGUUUUAUAACUUGUUUGAUUUAUUUUAACCAAAAAGUUAAAUUCUAAAACCCCUUUACAAAAAAUGUAUGUUUGAUUUUUUUUCCUAUUUAGAAUGUAAGAGCAUUUAAAUAUUAAAUCAUCUUUUUAAGAGCACUUAACAAAAGUAUGUUUUUUCAACUUGAAUAAAGCUUUGAUAUUCCAAUCAACUUCUAUCACAUUUUAAGAUUGGCCAUAAGGAACGUAGUGUUCUUCUAGGUAAGUUGAUUGUGUAAAAUGGUUGCAUACAUACGAGACUUUAAUUUCGUAUUGAAGAUUUUUUUUUUUUUUAAUGUGAUUUAGGUUUAUUUGGAAAUAUUUUUUAAAACAAUUUUGAAAAAAAAAUGAUUAUUGAAAAUAGUUUUCAAAAAAGGUAUAUGGUAUUUUUUUUUUUAGAAUAAAAGUACUGUAGACCUAUUUUUUUUUUUUUAGUUUUGGUUUUCUUGAUAUAUUUAUUUUUUUUAGUCUUUCCCGCCACUUUGGGGAGCACCCGGAAGAAGACAUUUGGAUUGGGGGACCGGCUUCUAAAAAACUCCAUGCAUGAGGCGCGUGGCUGUGGAGAGGACUACAGCCAUGGUGGUGGUUGGGACUACACGGAUGCUGAAUAGGGAACAGGAGAGCAGGUGCUAGCUUUCCGGAUCGGGAGAGGGAGAAAGGGCAGGAAGGAGGCUGGGGGGGAGAAAGUCUAGCGAUGGGGGGGUAUAUUUUUUUAGAGAGAAAAGCAGGAGAGAAGAGGCAUUUCAGGGAGGGGGGGAAGAGAAGAGACUUCCAGAUCAGAGCUACAUUCUUCCUGCUUCUCUUAGCGGCGGUCCAGUCGUGGGUCCCGGUGGCUGGAGUCGGACUUCCCAGAUGUCGAAAAUGUAUGUUACACUUGAUGUAUUUAUCUCAUUCAUUUUAUUAAUUUAUUGGUUUUGAUUGUAUGAUUAAUAUGUUUAUGUUUUCAGUUUUUAUGCUCUUAAUAUUUAAGCCUAUAUUUUAAUUUUUUUAGAUAUUUAAGGGGUGGGAAAAUUGGUUUUGUAAGGCCCUGUUCGGCCUAGAAGAACAGGCUGUUAUAAAAAUUCAGCCGUGGUCACUUGGGCAUUAGGAUGUGUGCGGGCUAUGGUGAGAGCUCAAGCUCAGCACGCAUGGGACAGGUCCAGAUUAUUGGAUCAUCACGUUCAAGUGGCAAGCCUUCCCAUUUCCACCACCUGUCCAUAAUGAUGGACACUCCAUCAUGAACUCUUUGACUUAACCCAGACAACAUGGAAAAUUGAUUCACCACAACCUUUUUUUUUUUACUUAUUAUUUAUUCAUUAUUUCUUUACAGCUUGAUAUCAAAAUAUUUUUUUCAACAUUCCAAUUUUCAAGAUUUAAUCCUCGAAGUUUCCAUUUUUAAACAAUUUUUUUUUUCAAAAUUCCAAUUUUCCGACUUCCCAAAUUUAGAGCCCGUUUGAUAGUGAUUCUAGUGGAAGUGUUUUUAUUUGAAGUGUUUUCUGUUAUAGUGUUUCUGUGAAAAACACUUUUAUGAUAAUCAGAAAAAAUGAUUCUAAAGUGUUUUUGAUAAUAUAUUGUAUAAAUAUAAAAACACUUUUAAUAUUAAUAAAUUACCAAAAAGGACAUACAAUUUUAAUUAAAAAAAAUGGUAUGAUAAACAAAAAAAACUUUUUAUUAAUGAAAAAACAUCUAAAUCACUAAAAAAAUAACAUUGAAUAAAAGAUAAUUUUAAAAUUAAAACAAUAUAUGAUUACCUAUUAAUUUCUAAAAAAAAAAAGAAUUUUCUAAUUAAAAAUAAUAAUUUUUUUAUCACUAUACUAAAAUUUUAAAAAAUAUUUACAAAAAACAUCUAAAUCAAUAAAAAAAAAAAGAUUGAAUAAAAGAUAAUUUUAAAAGUAAAACAAUAUAUGACCACAUAUUAAUUUCUAAAAAAAAAAAAAGAUUUUUCUAAUUGAUUUAUCACUGGGGGCAUUUUUGGAAUAUUUCAAAAAAAUUGAAGUGUUUUUUAAAAAAAAACACCUGUCAAGUGAUUCUCUAAAAAUCACUUCAAGUGUUUUUCCAGAUUUUCAAAAGUGUUUUUUUAAAUUUGCCAAACACUUUAUUUUCAUCCCAAAAACACUUAAAAGUGUUUUUAAAGGUAGAAACACUUUUAAAAAUCACUGUCAAACGGACUCUUAAUCUCCAAUUUCAAAAAUUCCACUAUUCACAUUUAUUUAUUUAAUUAAUUAUUAUUUUUAUUAUUAUUAUUAUUAUUAUUAUUCCAUUUAUUUAUUUAUUUAUUUUUAAAAUUUCAUUUUUAAACAAUUCUUUAAAAUUCCAAUUUUUAAAUUUAAUUCCAAUUUCUAAAAUUCCAAUUUUUAUAUCAAUUUAUUUAAUCAUUAUCACUUUAUUUAUUUGUUUAUUUGUUUAUUUUUAAAAAUUCAAUCUUCAAAUAACUCUUCAAAAUUCCGAUUUCUAAAUUUAAAUUUCAAUUUUCGAAAUUCUAAUUUUCACAUCAAUUUAUUUAAUCAUCAUUAUUUUAUUUCUUUGUUUUAAAAUUCCACCUUUAAACAAUUAUUCAAAAUUUUGAUUUUCAAAAUUUAUUUCCAAAAUUCCAAUUCAAAAAUUUAAUUCCCAAGACUCCAAUUAUCAGAUAAUCUUCAGGACUUCAAUUUUCAAAUAAAUUUCAAAAAACCAGUUUUCACUCGAACAGUUUUAAUUCCACUUUGGUUUUCAAAUAAUCUUCUUUUUCUCUUAAUUUUAUAUAAGCAUGAAUGUCAUUUUCAUAAUUGUGGAACAAUGGAAUUUGUGAGAUUAAUUCGUGCAAGAUCAAUCGGGCUUUGGUGGGGCCCCACAUACGUGAUUUUAUGAUUGAUUUAUUUAUUUGUUGAUUUGUUUGUCACGCGCGAUUGAUUUAUUCUGCUCUAUGACAUGCUAGAAAUUAUUCCUAAAUUGUGCACUAACCCCUCUAUUGAUAGCGCAUGGUGGAUCGUUGCCCAGGUAUGUACCCAUUUUCCCUCUAAUCAAUGUAUAUGCAUGUCCCGAUUCUCAUAUGUGCAUGAUCACUCCGAGUAUUCAUUGAUUCCAUCAUCAAUUGUCAUGAUUGCUUCAUUUUAUUAGUAGAGACCCGACUUUAGGGACUUAGAAGGGUGCUACGGUCUUUACCGUACCUUCCCGAUAAGUAACCUGACCCCCGAACCCGAUCUGCCCCGAACCCGAUCUGGUUUUUCGUAGACCACAUUUUCCAAAUAAGGAGUCACACUUAAGGUUUUUCUUUCUUAUUUUGUUUACCCUUUAAUAAAACAAAAAUAAGUGGCGACUCCAAGUCAUUUUUUUAACCAAUUAAAUCAUUUUUCAAAAUAAAAAUCGAGCUCGUCAUCGAGUGGGAAACGCAUCAGCACGAAAUGCGGGGUCCACAAGUACAUUCCAAAACUUAAAAUACUCUUAAUUUGUUUUUUUGUAUUUGGAAUUUUUUCUUAAAAAUAAUUUAAAUAGUUUUUAAAAAUAAUUAGAAUAUUCUUAUUUUCAAUCAUUCUCUAUAUUUUUCAAUUAUUUUUAAAAAUAAUCCAAAAUAAUUAAAUAUAUAUAUAUAUAUAUAUUUAAAAUACCUUAUUUUUGGAACUAGUUUUCAAAACACUAAUUUUUAUUAAAAAAAUUAUCAAACUUCUUUUUGAAUUUGAAAAAUAUUUUAUAUUUAAUAGAAUAAAAUAUUAAAAAUAGUUAUCAAAUUACUAACUUUUGUUUAUUUUUUUCAAUGUUUUUAGAUGUCAUUGAUAAUAUCGUAAAUAUAUAAUUUAUAUAUUUUUUAAAUUUUAAAAUAUAAAAGUUAGAAUUUUAAAUAUAUUUCAUCAUUUCAUCAUUAAUACUGAUAGAUUAAAUUAUGAUAAGGAUAACAUGCAUGAAGAUUUGUUAAAAUUUUAGUACUUCUAAUGUUAUUAAACAUAUUUAACUUAUAAUUAUUUUUUAAAAUAGUAUUUUAUUAUUUAAAGUUGUUUAAAUUUUAAUAGUUAUAUAUUUUAUUAUUUUCAAAACAAUUAGUUGUUUAUUUAUACUAUUUUGAUGUUUAUUAUCCUAUAAUAUUUGAUAAAUUACAAAUCUUUAUAUUUAUUUUUUAAGUUAUGAAAUUAUAUUACAUAUAUUUUAAAUACAUUUAUAUACAAAAAAGUUGAGACAUCACAGUGCGACACCCUUGUCUUUUUCCCAAUAAAGACCCAAUUAAAUCCUCAUUCCUCAUCCUUCCAUGCCUUUUAAGCAGGUUCGUCGAUUCACCCGAUUAGGUGAACCGAACCAGGUUAAGGUCCGGGAUUUAGGUUUGAUCCGAUUUUUAAAAUAUAGACUGAACAAAGAACCGUCCUUAUCCUCUUUUCCCUUUACAUACGGCAUAGACCUUUUAGGCGAAGACUUGAGUCCUUUGCCAGAUUUAAGUCGUGAAGGUCUACAGAUUCAGUCUCCUAAGAAAUUGGGCAUGAAUCGCAGCCACCAUUCUUGACUUUUUGCUUUGUUUCUCAUGAAUGCGCAUGUACUAUCUAAUCAGACUGGGGACAACACAUUUACUACCAAUUUGCCCGGGAGACUUGGAUUGUUGGGUCAACGUUGGAAUCCAAGUCUACUGCAAAAUAAUAUAAAUAUUAUAAAUAUAAAUCUGAACAAAAUAAGUACAUGGUGAUUUUUUUAUAUUUAAAAUAAAAUAUUAUAUUACAAUCAUUAAAUAAGUUUUAUUCAUUGGAUCGUUUUUAUAAGUAGAUAUAUUUUUAUAUUAAUAAGUAAUUCUUGUAUUACUUAUAAGCAUAUUAGACCGUGUUAUCGCACCAUUAUAAAAAAUAAAAAUAAAAAAUUAGACAAAAAAAAUGAAGGAAAAAAAAGGAUGAAAAAUGAAAAAAAAAAAAAAGGUGAUAUCACGUAGAAUAAAGGGUGUUUGUUAAAAUUUAAUAAGUUGACUUUAAGUUAAAUUAUAUUUAAAUUAUUAUUUAAUUCUUAUUUUAAGUAUUAAAAUUGUUUCAUAAAAUUAACUUAAAACUUAUUUUAAAUCAUCACAUUAAUAUAUUUACUCUCAUAAAUUAUAAUUAGAGUAAAGAAAAUUAAGUAACAGUGGAGAUCAUGAAAUGUUGAAGGAGAUCUUAAAGGUAAUUAAGAUAAAUGAGGGUAAAAAUAUCAAAUAAGAUGUGAAUUUAAGAAUAAGUUAAUUGUUUUUAUAUAUUAUUUGAAGUUGUGUUUUUUACUUAAAGUCAUACCAUUAAAUUAUUUUACCAAACACACUUAAUUUACUUAAUAAUUUAAAUUAAAUUAUUAAAUUACUUUAAUUAUUAAGUUGAUUUAUCAUACACCCUUUAAGUUACAAUAUGUUUAAAAUAUGACAUUAUAUAAAAUACAUUUUUAUUUUAUUUAUGAUAUCACAUGUAAAAACACUAUACAUAUAUCCUAAAAUAUAUUGUAAUAUUACCCCUUCAUACUAAUAUAUCUCAUAACAAAUGAGAUAUAUGUCAUAUAACUGUUGGUUAUAUUCUUUUUACAAAGUUUUUAAAUUUGACCAAAAACUCAAUAUCAAGCAAAUUUUUUUUAAAGAUUUUGGGUCUAUUUGGCAAUUGUUUUAUAUAACAGAAAUAUGUUCAUAAGAAUAGAAAAACAAAAAAACACAUUUGGUAAUAAAAAAUUAUUUUCUAUUUCGGAGAACAAAAACAAAAUGUUUUUAGAGAACAUCUUUUAAUUGUUUUCUAAGUGUUGUUUUUUUAAAAAAAAUUAUACAAGCAUAUAGAAUAAUUAAAAAUAAAAUAUUUGAUAUAAAAAUUAUUUUUAAAAAUAUUUAAAAAAAAGUUAAAAACAUUUUAAGUCUCAAAUAGACUUUUAUUUUACAAAACAUCUUAAAACAACUUUUAAAAAUAAUAUUUUAAAAUUAUUUGAAAAAACAAUUACCAGAACUUUAAUUUUUAAAAUAAUUUUUCUUUAACUAAAAUCUUUUUUAGGAGAGAAACUGAGGAAGAAAGGUAUGUGAUUGUAAUAAAGAGAUGAUUGAUCAUUUUGGUCAAUUAAAACACGGAAUUAUUUUGAAUAUUUGGAAAAUUGUGAUUUCUUCUAAGUUAAAAUCCCUACAUUCCUUCUCAGCAAAAACAACUGAAUGAUCAAAAACCAAUGUUAAAUCAACAUAAAUAUGAACACUUCUGUGGUAUAAAUAAAAUUUAUCUAAAAUAGUAUGAACAAAACAAAAGUUGGCAUGAGAUAUUUUUCUUCAAAAAAGAAAGAAAGAAAAAAGAAAAGUGCAUAAAAAUAAAUAUAUUACUUGUGAUGUCCACGAAUAGGGGAGAAAGUUUUUAACCAUGUAAACGUAUUACUCUCCUCAGUAAAUAGCAACUAUACAACUAUGACUGCUGUUAGAGUUCUCCGUAAAAGGACGUUGUCCAACGUAGUUGCCUGGAGGAUCAUAGUUGCAAGUGACAAACCACCCGCCACUGUUGCACUGAGCCCUAGCGCACCCAAGACGCAAUGAGUUGCGCCAAAUAACUUGAGUAUAGUGCCUGCAUUCCCCACCAACGCAGGAGUUGGAGUUGUAGUCAUAAUUAGUCUUCUCCCCCACCCACAAGUUCACUGCAUCGAUGCCUGUCAAUGAAGGGGAGCCCCAGGCAAGGUUCUCACCGUAAGGCCCACCUGAAUGCACUAGAUUGCAAUCGCCAAUCCUCUGGUUAGUAUAAUUUUGGGCGUAGGCAGCCACAGUGUUGUCCCAUGACAUAGGCCCAACACCAACUUCUGCACGCGCGACAUUGUGAGCAUCGAGGAAGUCUUGUGGAGAGUUUUGGGCAUAGGAGAUGUGAGCAAGGACUAACCCCAUGAAACCAACAACUAGUGAAGAUGAGAUCUUACACAACCCCAUCUUUUAGUUUCUUAAUCCGUGUAAUGCAAAGUGAGAGUUGAGAAAUGAGCAUAUAUGGUUUGAAGGGAAUGUGAAGAACUUGCAAUUUGGUCAGUCAAAAGCAUCAUUAAUAAAGCUUACAAGCAAUCUUUAGGCCACCAAAACUGGGCCCAUGGGCUGUUACGUGUGAAGGACGUUGAGAAAAGGAAAAUUCUACGAAGUGGGUACGUACCUCCAAAAUUCCUGGCCGUUGGAUCAAAAGAUUCCAAUCAAGACCAUCCAAAUGGAAAAUGGAUUAAAAUAAAAAAUGCAAAAGAAGGGUGCAAAAGGUUGCCAGUAGAUAUGCCCCCCUCUAUCUCCCCUCUCUCAAUUUUUGUCACACAUGUCAACAUCAAUUUCAAAAUUUUAAAUUAUUAAUUCUACAUUUGUUUUAUCUAUUUAUAACAAAUAUUACCUUAGAAAGUAAAUUUCAAUCAAUUAUUAUAUUUAAGUAAAAGUUAUUACUAUAUUUUGAUCUAUCUUACAAUGUUUCAAUAUAAUAGGAAAGUGCAAAUACAACUAUCCAAUUACAAAUGCCCUCCAAAAUUUAUUUAAAAUCUAUAGAUUUUUUUAUUUAUUUUAUUUUACUUUAAAUAUUAAUAAAAUUGUUAAUUCGUAUAAUUUCACUUAGAAUUCAUAAAAAAUAUGAGGAAAAAAUAAAAAUAAAAAAUAUUAAAAUUCUUACCCUCACUUAAUUUUAAGAAUUUUUUUUUUCAACUUCAAAUGCCAAUUAAAUUGUUUUUUCAUACUAAUUUCAAUUAGGAUUUUUGAUAAGUAGGAGGGUACAAAGAAGUGUUAUUCGUCAUUUUUAUCAAUUGUAAGUAUAAUUAAUAUUAAUAAGCACUACUAGUACUAUUUGAAGUGGACAAAAAUUGGUUAAAAUUAAAACAAAUGGAAAAUUUGGAGGUACAAAGAAUAUGGGGAAAAGUAUAGAGAAUGUGAGGAAUAAUAGUGUUUAUUCCUCCCAUUUUUUGUGCCUCUCCAAUUUUGUAAUUUUUCUACUUUUAAUUUUUUUUUUUUUUUUUUUUGUAGUAUUCAUACCCUCUCCAAUUUGGUAGUUUUUUACUUUUAAAAUUUUUUUAUUUAUAAUUUCGAUCAAAUUUAAGUAUAAUUAGUAUGAAUAAAUACUAAGAGAAAAAAAUUCUUAAAAUUAAAACAAGUGUAAAUUUGGAGGAUAUGAAGAAGGUGGGAAAAUAAUAUUCACAUUCUUCAUACCCUCCAAAAUUUUCACUUUUUUGAAUUUUAAGAUUUUUUUUCCACUUGAAAUAGUAAUGAUAUUGUAUAUUCAUACCAAUUACACUUUAAAUUUAUGGAAAUUAUACAUAGAAAUUUUAAAACUCAAAAUGCUUCAAAAUUAGGGAGGGUAUGAAGAAUAUGAGGCUCCAAAAUUUUCAAUUUUCUAAUUUUAAGAAUUUUUUCCACUUGAAAUAACAAUUAUAUUGUGUAUUCAUACUAAUUACACAAAUUUAAAACGAAAAAUACUAAAACAUUGGGGAAGGGACGAAGAAUAUGAGACCCUUUAGAUUUUUCAUUUUUUUGAAUUUUAAGAAUUUUUUUAAAAUUUAUUUUAUUUUUUAUAAUAGUUAUAAUUGUCAUUUUUUAUAUUAUUAGAAUAUAAUUCAAUUUUUCAUUAUUCAUAGCCUAAAGUUAUAUAAAAGAAAAAAGGGAUAGUAAAUUAAUAGAUGUCAAAACUCAUAUAGGUAGAAACUACAUAAUUAUUAUUCAUAACCAAAAGUUAUAUAAAUAAUAAUUGAGAAAAUAAAGGUUAAUCUUAAAUGAGAAAAACACCCAAGAGGGGGGUGAAUUGGGUUUUAAAUAUUUUUUUUUUAAACACAACAAAUUUAAACACAAGAGAAGCAAAUAAAAAGAGAUAGAGUUAAAGAGAUCAAAGUCAGAUUUUAUAGUGGUUCGACACUUCCUUGCCUACGUCCAGUCUCCUCAAGCUCCUAACUGAGUGAGGGUUCCACUAACUUGAAGCUUCAACCAAGUUUCUAAUCACCUUUACACUUGGAUUCCGGCUCUAAUGGGCUCUUACACAACCUCUUCAAGUUUCAACUCACUUGAAGGCUUUAACACUCAAUUUACAAGAAUGAAUCUCUCAACCUAUCUCAACAAUAACUGAAAUACAACUUAAGGCUAGGAUGAAUCACAAAGGUGCACUAAAAGAUAUGCAAGUGAAGAUUUAAUGCGCCAAGAAAGAAAUAAGAACUUUUAAGGCAAGAACAAGUGGGUAGAUAAAUAAAUGAAGGUGUUAUCUUGCUCAUAAAUGAAGUGGAGCUCUUUAUUUAUAGGUUUCUAACCUCGGGAGCCAAGAAAAUAAAAAAAGCAACCUCAAUCGAUUGAGCUAGGGGUCAACCAAUUCACUAGCCGUUGGAGCAUUAAAUGCUUUGGCAGGUUACCGUUGCUUCGACCGAAGGUCGACCGAGAAGGCAAAUACCUCGAUUGGAAAGGGGUGGCUAAUAGAAGAAAGAGAGUGCUUUCUGCACUCCUCGACUGGACCUCGACUAGGAAGAGGGAACCGGUCGACCGUUACCUUGGCCGAUUGAACCGGUUGGCCAAUGCCUCGACCGGUUCACCAUUUUUGGCCUGAAAACCUAUAUUUUUCUAGUCUUUUCUCUUCUAACACUUAAGCAAGGUCUUAAACUAGUAUGCCAAUUUUGAAGUAAUUUGCCUAAGGUUCAUUUGAUAAAACUUGAGUUUUAAUGAAACUGUAACUUUAAAUAAUAAAUCAAUUUUUUGAAAGAUUCAUGAAAUGAUAUGUAAAACUUAAGUGCAUCCAUACAUUCAUCUUACAUUUGUUUCCUAUGAUUAAAGGUCUUUCAAACAUCUUGAUCUUGCAUCCCUUAGGUCAUUUGAUGAAUUUCCAAAUUAAUACCUUAGAUUCUUAAUAAUUCAAACCAAUUAGUAACUUAACCAUAAUUUGUUAUCAUCAAAACUUGAUUAGGAGAGCCAUUGUGCUAACAAUAAUAUUAAUACUUUUUUUGUACAAAUUAAAAUUAUAUAUGGUCAAAAGUUAUGUAAUUAUUAUUCAUGAUUAAAAAUUAUGAAAAUAAUGAUAUUAAUAUAUUUUUGUUUUGUACUAGCCAAAAUCUCUGUCAAUUUUUUGUUCCUGAUUGAGAAGUAUUAAAUAUGAUCAUUGAUGUUUGUAACUUGAAUUAUUCUUAUUGUGAAUAUAAGUAUGGAUUUUUCAUUCGAAUUUCACAAUGCUAAAAAAUUCUAGCACAAUUGCAUCAUUAUAUGAAAUCUCUUUAUUUUUAAGAAUUUACAAUUUAUAGUUUUUAAGAUUUACUUAAAUUGUGCUUCCUUUUUAUUCUUUGUAGACACUAUAAUUCUUUUAGAGUGUGUUUGAUAGUGAUUUUACGAAACGUUUCUAAUAUUUUUAAUGCUUGAAAGAUCAAAAUUUUCAAAUGUUCAAAAAACUAAAAACACUUCCUAAAAUCCCUACCAAAAACACACUCUUAAUUAUUGAUAAAGUGAAGAGAGUGAAAAGAAAAUGUCUAUUUGAUGUUUUAAGUAUCCUUAAAAUAAAGAUAUACUAUUUAUAUAUUCUCUAUGCUAUUUACUAUUUAAUUCGAUUCUUUCUAUUUGAAACAUUGAAUUUUAUAUGUUUUAUUUACUAUUUAAUUCACUUCUUUCUAGUUGAAAUGAUGAAUUUUAUAUUUGGAUAAAAUAAUGAGAAUAAAUUAUUUUAUAAAGAUUAAAAAAACAAAAGAGAAGAAUUUGAAUAAGAUUGACUUUAGUUUUUAAACUCUACCAUAUUAUCCUUUUAUAAAAGGAAUUUAAUUCUAAUUAAACUCUUUCGAGUUAUUUCUUUUACUUUUUGAUAAUAAUUUAUUAAAAGACAUUAUUUUUCAAUUUUUUUUAAUCAACAUAUAAAAAGUGAAGGAGCCACUUCUAAUUAUAUCAAGGUUAAUAUUGUGGACCCCGCAUUUUUAAUGAUGCGUUCCCACUCGAUCGGCGAGACUCACUUUUCGUUUAUUUGGGUGAAAAAUAUGAUUUUUAGAAAAGACUUGGAGUCGCCACUUACUUUUAUUUAUUUUUAAAGGGGAAAACAAGUAAGAAUAAAACCCCUAAAUGGACUCCUGAUUUUUUUUUUGGAAAAGCUGUCUACGAAAAACCCGAGUCUGGGUUCGGGGAUCAGGUUACUUAUUGGGAAGGUACGGUAAAAACCAUAGCACCCUUCUAAGCCCCUAAAAAAUGGGUCUCUACUAAAUAAGGUGAACCAGACAUGGCAAUUAACUAGAAGAUCAAUAGAUACCAAAAUGAUCAUAGUUCAAAAAAUAAGUCAUGAUGACGAAAUGAUAAACGAAGUGAGAGUGAGAGUGUACUGUUAUGAAAAUAAGGUUAGUGUACAAUGACAAGUGUAAAAAAAUCUCAUACAAAACCAAAUCAAAAUCAAACAAAAUGGAGAGCACAACUUACUUGAAUUAUUUUUUGAAAAAAAUGUUAUGAAUGUCGGGCCCCCACCAAAGCCCAAUUAAUUUUGCUAUGAACUAAUUCUCAUAAACUCCAUCAUUUUGGAAUUAUGAAAAAUUAUUCAUUUUUAUAUAAAAAAAAAAUUUGAAAAGAGGAAUUUUGAAAAUUAAAUUUGAAAUUUCGGAAGCGUGGAAUUUUAUUUUAUAAAAAAAUGAGUUUGAAAAUUUUGGAAAUCUCUUUGAGAAUGGUAUUUCAAAAUAAAAAUAAAAAUAAAAAAAUAAAUAAUAACAAAAAAAAUAAUAAAAAUAAAUAAUUUUGGAAUUUUGGAAAAUGGGAAUUUUGAGACUGGAAUUUUGAAAAAUUAAAUUAAAAAAUUGAAAAUUUGGAAGGAUUAUUUUUGAAAAAUGAAAUUUCGGAAAAUUAAAUUUUAAAAGUUAUAAAUUUGGAAAAUUGGGACUUCGAGAAUGGAAUUUCGGAAAAUUAAACUAAAAAAAUGAAAUUUUGGAAAAUUAUUUCGAAAAUAGAAAUUUUUGGAAAAUUGGAAUUUUUGAAAAUCGAAACGUGAAGAUCAAAGUUUUGAAAAUUAUAUAUAUUUUUUUAUGUAUGAGAAUAAAAAUAAAAAUAAUAAAUAAACAGAUGGUACGUAGUCGGUGGGAAUGGGGGCCAAUCUUCACUAUUUUCCAAUAGCCUCCGAAAAUUGAAUUUGACAAAGGAUGACCAAAGUGAUAAACCGAAACCUUAGAUCUUACAAGCACUGAAACUUUAACAACAUUUAAUCUUAAGAUAAACUUAAUCAAGCACUAAAUAUUAUGUGACCUUUAAAAUAGUACAAACGAUACGUAUCAACUAAUAUUGACGAUUUGGAGUCAUAAAUUUAAUCGACUAACUAAACAAAUGAAUAAUAAAAAAACAAACACAUGAAUAAAAUUAAUCAAAAACUAAAAGGAACUAUUUUUUUAAGCACAAAAUGACAACAUCGAAUAGAUUAAACUAAUAGCAUACAAUUUGAAAGCAUAGAAUUAAUAGAAAAAUGGAAUUAAAAAAUCUUAACAUAAACUAAACAAUAUGAAACCAAUCGAAUUAAUUAAAACUCUAAAGAAUAUCAACUAAAGCAGGAUCAAUCAAAACUAAAAUAAUUCUUUUUCUUUAUUUAUUUUAAAACAUGAAUAUAUCAACGCGAAAUGGAAUAAAUUAGCCAACUUAAAUACUAAAAUUAAUAAACUAAAAGAAUGAAUCAUGAAUUAAAUUUAACAACCUUUAGAUAUGAAAAGAUGUGACAUGGAAUCAAUUGAACUAAUAAACUAAAUUUUAAUAACAUCUAAACUAAAAGAUAAAUUAAAAUUAAACUAAAAGAAAUUAUGAAUUUCCUAAUUGAGAACCAAAAUAGUGCCAAUCAAAAUUCUAAAUUUUUAACCAUUAUCACAAAUUAUCCAAACUCUAAAAAAUUCUAACUUUUCCAUUAUCAACAAAAUUGCCCAAACCAAUACUUGGAAAUAAUAAUAAUACUAAUAAUAAGUAAAUAAAUAAAAUAAAUCUAAUUUGUCGAACUAAGAAAAUAAAUUGUAACUACAUUAAACAUAAAUCAUAAUUUUCAAGCAAGAAUGAUAAAUCACUAAUAAUUAAUUUAGUUAGUUAAGAAAAAUUAAAAAUUAACAUCUAAGCUAAAUAUGAAUUUACAAUAAAAUAAAAUUUUAAAAUGCAUAGGCCGAAUGGGAAUAACACAAAACUAACUUUAACAAAUUAAAAACAUGAAUACAUUAACAUUGGGAAUGAGUACCUAAAUAUAUAUAAAAUUCUGAGAUAAUUAUGAAUGGCAUUGAAUAGUCAUGAAUCAAAAUUCAAACAGGAAGAAUUAAUUUACCUUUCUCAAAGACGCGUGGGCUACUCUCCAACAAAAGUGAUAGUAUGAUUUUUUUUUUUUUUUUUUUUUUAAAGUCAAUUCUAUGAUGUAUGUUGUGAUAGUUAUGGAUCAAUCAAGACUAAAAAAACUAAUAGUUUAAGGAACAAAAAUGAAUUAAUAUGGAUCAACCAAAAAUAAUACUAAUAAUUUUAAUGACAAUGCAAAUUAACCCGGAUCGAUCAAAAAUAAGAAUAAAAAUUUAAGGAGCAAUAUAAAUAACGUAUAUAUUUAAAUAUUAACAACAAAUGAUUUUAUGAAAAUGGAAAAAAAUACUAAUAAUAAUAAUAAUAAUAUUGAAAUAAAAUAAAAUAAACUAAAAAUAAACAAACAACAUUUCACGAAUAUUAUAAAGCUACAUGGAUAUUAGUUUUCAUUUGUUUCAUUUUAAAUUUAAAACAAUACAAACCAAAACACCAUGACCGACCACUUCCACUUUGAUUUUUAAUUAAAUGAAACAAACCACUAACAUACUUGAAACAUCUCAUGGCCGGCCAUAUAUUGUAUUCUCCUUGAUUUAUCAAUUUAAGAAAAAAUAGAAAACAUCAAAGCGCUAACUCAUGCACACAACCACAUAUCUAGAUUCCUUUGAUUUAUUCAAAAUUUAAAAACCUAAAACAUCAAAGCACUAACUCAUGCAUGCAGCCACACGUCUCAAAAUUUGAUGGUAUUCGGUGUGUCUAAAAGUGCCGUCUGUGCUUUCAAUAUGCAACAACCUGUGUGUGUAGGAGGAAUUACUAUGGUGCGUGCUGCUCGUGUAUAUAUAAAAAAAAACACCUUGCAGCCCUUACAUGUUCCUCCUGUAUUCCUAAAGGAACCCUUGCCGCCAUGCUUAAUACACCAAUAACACGCAUUUUGCAGGCAGAAAUCCGUGUUAGUGCUGUUCGGGCACCUGAAUUUCAUGCUAGGAGUGGGUUGAAGCGCCUCGGGAACAGUUGGGAUGAAAUGGCUCACAGCCCGGUGUGUCUUAGCAAUCGGGCAGUUUCCAGUUUCCACCAAUCGUUGCCCAUUGCUUCAUGUUUUGAAGCUUCAUCCAAACUAUUGCUAGCAACAUAACAGAGGCCAUGUAUCACCUCUUCGUGCCUAGGAAGUUUUGGGUUUCCCCCUUCACCUCAAACCCAAACAUAUCUCCCAGAAACAGAGAGAGGAACGAGGAUACAGUUAAUAAAACAAAACAAACCAAACCCUUCAAGCCAAGUACCAUUUCACGGAUUGUCUAUGUGCUUAAAGUGCAGGUGGAAAGAUUUAAGUGAGCUUAAUAGAAGAAUCAUAGUCAUGACUUUCAAGCACCAACAACAAAUAUGAGUCUUCUUUCAUAUUUUUUUUUUUUCAAAUUUCACUUAAAAAGAAAAGAGGAGUAACACAGUAACAAGUUUGUAACUAACUAAUGAUCAACAAAAUGAAAUGAGGCAUCCAGAAUCUAUACCAGAGCAUCAAAUAAUAUCCAUAGAUCAACAGAGAAGAAAAUAUAAACAAUAGAAAAUGAGAGGCUCGCUAACCAUACCUGUAAAACUUUCCUCAAGCACUGAUAUGCCUCUUCUAGCUCUUGGUGCUGUCACCCAAACCCAGUAGAAAUUCCCCCCUCCCUCCCCCCCCCCAACUCCCUUUUGCUUCCUAAUGCCCAGAAAAACCCUUCGAGAGCCUCAUUUUCUAGCCGAUCCUUUUCUUCUUCUUCAAGACUUCCCUUCUCUGCAUUUUCCCGUGCCAAACUCUUCGAAACUCCCCUUAACCUUUUUCCAAGCUCCUCUUCAUUCCAUGCAGCCUGCUGACCCUUCCAUUUUCUUUUCAAACCCUACUCCACCAUUUUAUUUUAUUUUUUUUAUGUGGCUACCCAACUCCCAUACCUUUCCAUUUGCUUAUUAUUAUUAUUAUUAUUAUUUCUCUUUUUUUAGUUAAUAAAAUAAGAAAAUAAAAAUAAAGAUAAAUAAAUAUAAAAAAAAUGAAGCUAAAAUAAGAUGAAUAACAUAAUGAUAAAAAGAACAUAUAAUAAAUGAAUACUAAAUAUAAUAAUUAUGAUAAUGAUACUAACAAUAAUAAUAAUAUUAAUAAUAACAAUAAUAAUACUAAUAAUACUAGUAAUAAUAAUAAUAAUAAUAUAAGAUCCCCAAUCACUUGCAAAUUUUUUUUUUUUUGAGAAUAAAUAAGUAGAUGGAUAAGUGAAUAAAGCAAGAAAAAUAAAUAAGUGCCCAAUGCACGUAACAAUAAUCUAAACAUUAAACUAUAACACAGAUAAAAAUAAAAAAUAAAAAUAGAAAUAGAAAUAGACAAGAUAUCAAAUUGACACAAUCAAAAUAAUUGAAAAUUCAUCUCAAGCAAUCAAAAAAAUAUAAAAAAUAAAAAUCAAGCCAAAUACUCGCCUAAUCUUAAAAAUAAAUCAAUCAAGAAAUUAGUCUUAAAGAAUUAAGCCUAAAGAAAACAUCUAAGUGACCCAGGUAACCUAAGUGGAAAGUGUCAAGGUGAAUUAGCUGCCCAAUGGGUCAUCAGAGAAUUAUCGUAAAGUAUCAAAUGGACACAUAAUAAAACAUGUGCUAGUAGGACAAAAUAGAGGGUCUACAAAUAUGCCUCUCUUCGGUAGAGAUCAUGAGUGUAAGGAAUAUGAGGGGAAACACAAGUAAUGAGUGGAACGAAAUGAACUAUACCGAAGAACUAAGAAAGACCAGAAAUUUUGUCCUAGCACAUGAUGCAAUAAAUCCCAAGAUAAACCAUAUGCAAGGAAAGAAAUACCCUGAAUAAGAGGUUUAUAGAAAGUGACUCUGAACGCCUAUGAAAGUGAUGGCUCUGAACGCCUAUGAAAAUGGUGGCUCUGAACGCCUAUGAAAAAAGAUGGUGGCUUUGAACGCCUAUGAAAAUGGUGGCUCUGAAUGCCUAUGAAAGUGGUGGUGGCUCUGAACGCCUAUGAAAAUGGUGGCUCUGAAUGCCCAUGAAAGUGAUGGCUCUGAACGCCUAUGAAAAUGGUGGCUCUGAACGCCUAUGAAAAUGGUGAUGGCUCUGAACGCCUAUGAAAAUGGUGAUGGCUCUGAACGCCUAUGAAAAUGGUGGCUCUGAACGCCUAUGAAAAUGGUGGCUCUGAACGCCUAUGAAAAUGGUGGCUCUGAACGCCUAUGAAAGUGAUGGCCCUGAAUGCCUAUGAAAAUGGUGGCUCUAAACGCCUAUGAAAAUGGUGAUGACUCUGAACGCUUAUGAAAGUGAUGGCUCUGAACGCCUAUGAAAAUGGUGAUGGCUCUGAACGCUUAUGAAAAUGGUGGCUCUGAACACCUAUGAAAAUGGUGAUGAAAAUUGGAUAACUUCUACUAAGGGGAUAUGCCCCAGUAUGACGACCUAAAACUAAACUAGGUAAUAACAGAUUCUAACCUAAGCUUGAUAUUUUCAAAGAAGGGGGUAUGCCCCAGUAUUACGGUUGUAUCAAGCUGGUAAAAUGUCCAAUGAAACAAGCGGCUGCAAACAUCGUAAUGAGAAAAAAACAACACCUCAUGACAAAGGUCUCGAGAAGUAUAAACAUAAAUUUCUUCAUAUUUCAAAUAAAUUCCUUGUCAACUGAUCUCACAGAUAAAGCUCAACAAAUGCGCAUCACAAAUUUACAAAAGAACGACUAUGGCGAAAAGAAAUCGUCUCAUAAACUCUUGACAAGGGAGUCCAUUGAUACUUUCUGGGUGAAAUCUGAUGGGGUCCAUCUCAGUCUCAAGCAAUGUCGUAUGUAGCCAAUCACAAUAUCACAAAUUAUAAAACUGAAGAAUGUGCUCAUAUAAGGAGAUAAACUGGCUACGAAAUCAAAAACUGAUCAUAGAGACAUCAAUCUCCCAUGUAGAGUAGAGAAUCAUAAAUACAAGGCACAAAGCCAUCAAUCUCAUCAAAACAAGAAAUAUGCUCCAGUGUAACAGAUGAUCCUCACGUGAAGUAAGUAAUUAAUGCAAACCAUCCACCCAUGCAUUACUACUCCAAUCAGUUCACCUCAGCAAGAGAGGGAUAUGCCCCAGUAUGGCAUCUGAUGAUCAAGUCUCAAGAUAAUCGAACAACAUUGAUUAUCCCCUUUAUGCACCCAACAUUCAAACAAAUCUUAGCAUCCCAAGAGAAAAAUAACACGCUCAUAUGAUGAUAACCCAAGGUACUGGGCCAAGGUGUACCAGAGUAGAUGCGUAACGUAUGACAAGGGUCUAUCAUUACCAGUUAAGCAAUCUCUACAAAUCCUGGAUGUGGGAGUCAUACAAACCAAUCACAACUAGAAAAAUCCCAUGAUAAGGGUAAUAUGCCCCAGUACAGGCAUCUGGUGUGUCAAAGAAACAAGACUGAUAUCACCAGUUAAACACUAUCUUCAUACUCAGGUUCUGCCAAACAUCAUCAGACUAAGCAUAAGAGGAACCAAAUGUCACUUGAAGCAUCUUCCAUAAGGGAAAGCAUAGCAACACCCAUAUUUCAACCAAUUGUUAAGACCUGCCCAACUGGAGACUGUCAAAGAUAACGUUUAAUCUCAUGGCCUCAGGGUGGUCUUACGACACGGACCGUAAUGUAGGCUUAGGUUAUAGGGUAAAAGAAAUGAAAGGAAACUAAGCUCAAGUAUCCAAUGAUCAAACCCAAUACCCUUAUGUGUAAGAUGUGAUGUGUAAGGUAAUCUCGUGAGCCAACUAACUCGAUAACAAACAAUGGAAGUGUCAAGGACGAACUAUAAGAGAAAAGGAAUUGGUCAGGUCUUCAAUGCGAUAUGUAAUGGCUAUGAAGAGGCUAACAAAACAAAGACAUGUAUCAAUGUAAGAAAAGAAUAAAUAUGGAAUAAUCACCACGAAAAGAGAUGAUCGAAAAUGAAUGAGAGAAGCGAGAAGAUACAAGGAUGAUGACUAACUCAAAUUAGUGCAGCCAAGGAAAAUCAUAUCACCAAAGAUGGAAUGGAAGUGAAGACAGUGAUCUGGAGAUCCUAGUGAUGGGUUACCCAAUCCUCACACCCAAUGUAUACCAACCCUGAUCCAUGAAGCGAAGGAUCUCACAAAACUCUCAUCAAACUAUUGUUACUUAGAAAACAUGAGUAACACAAGGAACAUGAUGCUCUCAGAUAGGCUCACAUACGAGCUCAAUGAUAGAUAACUCAAUGAACAACCCUCAAACAUCAAUGAAUGCCCAGUGGAAUAUGCUACCAUAAACAAACUUAUUGUCACAACUUUUUUUUUUUUUUUUUUUGGUUUUUUUUUUUUUUUUUUUUGCUUUUUGUGAACACUAGUAUCAAUAAACUGAAACCCCACUGAGCAAAGAAUAGAAAUGAAUAAACUCUCUUCAAUCCCCAAUGAAAAUAUGAAUCAUACACAAACCCCCAAAAGUAUGUCGACUCCAAUCACUGACAUGUAUAUAAAGCCCCAACCCUAAGGUCAUCUCUCAAGCUAAGGUAUCUAGAUCAAAGUCAACAGAUGGAAUGAAGGGUGUGACAUGACUAACUUGAUGCACCAAAAAAUGUGAAAAGUCAUCAACUAGAGAAAUAAAGAGAAUGAGACGAAGCAAGGAAAGACAAAACACGUAAGUAGAUGAAAAAUGAACAAUAAUGAAACAUAAUAGAAGUGGAAUAGUAAAGGAUGAUGGCAAGAAAAAUGAAAAUAGAUCAAAGAGUUGAAACUCACGAGACUAACCAAGUAAAACAUUCAUACACAACCAAGGGCCCCUACCCAGGUGAUGAAAGGUAAGCAGAGCUAUAAGAAUGAAAGGCUUUAAUGUACUCAUGGGGCUCAAGGGGCUAGCAACGGGAUGUAUGUGAAAUGGGCACGAUAAGGUAUAAGGCUAAUCGAAAUGAUGGCCACCCAUCCUUUGACCAUGAUCUUAAACGUAAUACUUCUUCAGUUGAUCCACAUUGGUUGGUUCCAAAAAUUGGUUUCCAUCUAAGUCAGUCAACCAUGCAGCCCCUUCUGGAGUCAGCUCUCGAAUAACGUAAGGUCCACUCCAAUUAGGUUUGAACUUCCUCCUAGGGUCUCCAAUCAAACCUCUGAGCAUCCUCAAAACCAAAUCCCCCUUAUAUAAUGGUCUAGGCUUGACCCUUUUCCUGAAGGCAUGAGCCAUUUUUCUUUGAUAGGCCUGAACAUGAUCCGCUGCUCUCAAUCUCCUCUCAUCUAAAAGGUUAAGCUGAUCAAAUCGAGCCUGGGCCCACUCUGUCUCUGAAAUCUGCUGCUCGAGAGCCACUCUUAAAGAACCCAUUUCUGUCUCGAUUGGCAAAACAGCCUCCAUACCAUACACCAAGGAGUAAGGUGUAGCUUCUGUAGGAGUGCGAAAAGAAGUACGAUAUGCCCAUAAGGCAAAAGGAAGCUUCUCUGACCAAUCUUGAGAAGUCUCGACCAUCUUUCUCAGAAUUCUCUUAAUGUUCUUAUUUGCAGCCUCUACAGCUCCAUUAGUUUGUGGCCUGUAUGCAGACGAUCUGUGGUGUUGGAUGCCAUACUUCUGUAACAAAGUUUCGACUUCAGCUCUAAAGUGUGCACCCCUAUCUAAAAUCAACUCGUGUGGAACUCCGUAGCGACAAAUGAUGUGUGACCUGAUGAAACUGGCAACUCUAGUAGAUGUCAACUUCGCAUAUGAUGUAGCCUCCACCCACUUGGUAAAAUAAUCAAUGGCUACUAAGAUGAACUCAUGGCCAUUGGAAGAUUUUGGCGAGAUCUUUCCAAUGAUAUCAAUACCCCAUACUGAGAAUGACCAUGGUGAUGUCAAAGCAUGCAACUCUGAGGGUGGUACAUGAAUAAGAUCCCCAUGCAUCUGACAUUCUGGGCAUCUCUGAACAAACUGGCAACAAUCUGGCAACAAACUGGCAAAUUAAUUGGGUCUUGGUAGACUUUAAGAAAAAUACAAAACAAAUUGAUCAAAUGGUUAUGUAGAAGUCUUGAGAGAGCCCAACUUGGGAAUUACGUAUCCAAUUAUAAUGCUUGGAAAAGUCAAAAUGAUGAAUUUCUUGGAUGAAUCUAGAUGAAGUUUGACCUACAUAUAAGGAAAAAUGACAUUAUGGUCACUGGUGGUAGGCGUCAAUCACGGGACAAACAUAAGCUUGUGAUGGAAAAUUCACUUGAUCGGAGAUUAAUGCUGUAGGAAUAAUAUCAUUGGACUAAGGAUUUUGCUAAAGAAUUUUCAGAGCUCGCAUGGUGUGGAGUAGUUUUCUAAUUUGUGACUCCGCUUGAUUGGACAUCUUAGAAAAAUUGUUUAGUUUUAGUUUCUAAUCUCUUCAAUCUAUUGUGUCAGCUUGGGAGUAGCUUAUAAGUUAUAACUUUGAAAUUUUGGGGUUAAACAGUAGUCAAUUUUGUCUUUUUUUGUCUUUUUUUUUUCCAUAUGUCAAAAAUAAAAAGGUAUUUCACUGUUCAAUAAAGAGUUUGUGUAGGAGUAAUUUUAGUAAAAUUAGAUGAGACUUUUAAGGUUUAAAAAUGUUUGUAUUGCAAUAAUUAAGAGUGUGUUUGGUACUUAUUUUAUAAAACGUUUCUAGUUUUUCUAAUACUUGGAUGAUAACAUUUUUCAAGUGUUAAAAAUAUUAGAAACGCUUUCUAAAAUCAUUGCCAAAUAAGCUUUAAAGAUUUGACAAUUCCUUGAAAUGAUUUUUGAAUGGAUGCUUGAGAAAUAUUUUUAUAAGGGGUAAAUAAUAGAUAAAGAAUAUUGGAUUGUGAAGUUUGAAUCAAUUUUUGUUAUUCUUUUUAUAGAAUCCUCACUAAGUUUGUAGAGAUUAAACUGCCCUGUCAGCUCACUGAGGUUGAAAGAGACAACACCUCCUAGACAAAUUUUUUUUAUGUGAUGAAUGACGAGUUUAUCUUUAUUGUAUAUUUAACCUUAUUAUGAUUUAGAGAUUUUUUAGACAAUGUGAUUACAAUUGAAAGGUGUGUGGAAGUUUUAUCAUUGUAAUUUUUCUUUUUUAUUUAAUUAGUGGAUUUUUUGAGUGUUGAUACAUUUUAUAAAUGUAGGAUCACAUUGAUCGUUGAAUCACAUUAAAACUCUAGUGUUUUUCAUUUAUUUUCUACUUAUUUGUAUGGUUUGAUUAAUAAAAAAUAACUCAAUAAAAUAGGAAUAGUUAACACAUAUGACCCCACCGAAAAAAUUUCUUUCACUUCAAUAAAAAAGAGUGAAGAGAUUUAGCAAUGAAACUUUCCCAAAAAGAUUGAUAAAGGAACUCUCACAUUCACAACCCUAGAAUAAUCCUAGAAAAACAACCCUUAUUGUUUUCUCCAUUUUUUUCCAUAUCAUCUGACACUUCUCAAUUUUUUGGGCAUCCACAAAAGAACCCUACUUGCACCUUAUAUUUUAGCUUAAAAAAAAGAGUCUAAAUAUGGGCUUGAAAAACUUUUCAUGACAAAAUAAACCUAACCUGUCAAUUUCUUCCAAAAAUAAUUACUUUUUAUUACGGAACACAUUAUCAAAACACUCUAGUUAGAGUUUUUGUAAUGUAGGCACCCUUUCUACUAUGAUUAAGGUUUAAAUUAUGAGGUGUUAGAUUAGUUUCAUUAGGAGAAUAUAGUACUUCAUUAUUGUUAAUGGUUUCGAUUUUACUUGUAAGUUACUCCAUUGUAAUAGUUCACAUAGAAAUGAGACUUUUUUUCUUACCCAUAAAGGAUUGUGCUCGGAUCAAUUAAGACCCUUUUACAAAUAUCAACCAGCAAUUGGUUGGGUUGUGUUGGGUUUUCUAUUAAUGGGUAUGCAUUCAAAUAAAACUCAUUCUGCUCGAGUUUUAGAAUGUGUUGAUUUUAAAUACAGUUUCUAGCAUUUUUAACACUUGAAAAACAAAAUUUAAAAACUAAAAAUACUUCUUAAAAUGCUUUAUUUAAGCUUCAUACUGCCUUAUUUUUUGUAAAGAUCAAAUUUGAAUUAAGUGACAUUAGAUUGAAUUCAAACCAUCUAUAACCGUUUCUCUUACUUCAAUUUUUAUAGAUUUGUAAGAGGAUCUAAAUAAUAAAUGUGAUGAUAUUUUUAAAAUAUUAAUAGUCUCUUUUGGACAAAAUGAAAUAGUACAUAGUAUAACAAUUAUAAUAUGAAGCCAUUUUUCUUAAAAUUGUUUUAGAAAUAUAUAAAUUAAAUUAAUUAAAUUGGGUUUGAAUUAAAUUUCCUAAAAAUCAUCAAAACUUUAGCUUGAGGCCAAUUUAAACUUAAUUUAUAUUAUAAAUUACAUAAUAAUAUGAAUUAUAAAUAUUAAUUUAGGUUUGGAUUAAGUUUUUGGACAAUUACCAAAACAAGGUAAGGUGAACUCCAACUUAAUUCAUGUUAAAAAAAAAAACUCAAUCAAUUAACUAGAAAACAAAACAAUGAAUGCAUAGCGAAAGAACUGAACUCAACCCCUCCUAACUAGGGUCAAGGCUUGGUUUAAUAGGUGUGAAGAAAAAUAAAACAUUUUUAUCCUUUACUAAUUAUAUAAACAUAUAUUAUGUAUAAAAUAUGGAUGAAUUUAAAACUCAAAAAAGUCAUUUUCAUGCAUUAAAGUAUUAACUUUUGCGCAUGUUUUAAAUACUACCCUCCACCCAAGUAAACCCUCCAUAUGUAUGGAAGGAAAUUAGCUUCCCUCCAAAUAUCUCUCGAAAAUCCCAACAAAUCCGAAAUUAUUAGAAAAAAAUUCAACAAAUUUCACCGAAUUUUUCAGAUAUUUUAGGAAACUUUCAUUAUUGCUUAAAACAAAACUCUUGUGGCUGAGCCCAAACAAGAAAAAAAGUAUUUAUAUUAAUACUUAAUUUACAAAUCCACCGAGAUCUUAGGUUGGUAUUCACUGUGAUUAUGGACAUUAAUUUUUUUCCUCGUAUGUACCAAAAGAAAUUUUAGAAAAAUAAAAUUUCAUAUUGCAAUUGUCACUUUGCACGUGUAAGUUUCAAUAGAAAUACGAAGACAUGGUACAUUUUCUCCAUAGGUGGACAAAAGAUAUGAAGUAAAAACUUGUGGUUGCUUGGGUGGGGCUUGUUACACAACUCAAACAAAAUGAUCUACCGUAUAAAAGCAUAAACAUUUCACUUUAUUUCAUUAUAAUCUUCUAAUACAGAAGUGAUUUUAUUAGGGACCACUCCAACAAGUCUUUAAUCAAAGUUCAUGUAGAACCUUUCUUAAUAUAAGGACGUUCUCCAAAAUAGUUGCCUGGUGGGUCGUAGUUGCAGCUAACAAUCCACCAUUCCCCAUUCUUGCACAACACUCUUGCACACCCCACAUUCACUGAAGUGUUCCACACAACCUGAGUGUAGUGUCCACACUCUCCUCCAACGCAUGAGUUAGAGUCGUAGUUAUAAUAAGGCUUCUCAGACACCCACAUCUUCACUGCAUCAGCGCCAUCAAAGUCAGUAGCACCCCUUGCAGCCAGGUUCUCACCAUAAGGCCCUCCUGAGUGUUCAAGAUUGCAGUCACCAAUCAGCUUCUCACUAACAUAUUGCGAUGCGUAGUUAGCUAACUUUUUGUCCCAUGUCAUGGGCUGGACUCCAACCUCUGCCCGCGCGGCGUUGUGGGCGGUAAGGUAGUCUUGUGGGGUGUUUUGGGCAUGGGAGAGAUGCGCUAGGGCUAAGCCAAGGAGGCAUAGAAGGGCCAGUGAUGUCUUGCCCAUUUUGGCUUGGAUUCUAUGAUGGAGGACAAGAGCCUUUGAUGGUUAAGAGUAUUGACUUGUUGCAGAGAAUUUAAUGGUGCAAGGUGUUCUUUCUUGAUAUAACUAUUAAUCAUUAUGAUAGAUAAUCCAAAGAAAUCAAUAAAAAGUGCUCAGCAAUUAAUUGUAGUGCAAUUAUAAAAUAUUAACUUAAUAGAAAAAAAAAAAAAAAAAAGGUGGGGUGGGGGGGAAUUUACACGAGUAGGAGAUAAGGAUUGAUAUUAAUUCUCUUGAAGAUGACUACAGCAUGUUAAGAAGGGAUGAUAGUCAUCUUUACAUCUAUUUUAUUCCUUAGGCACGAUUUUAUUUUAUUUUUUUAAUACUGUGGUUGAUGAAUUUUGAGGAGCUCUUCAAUUUGUGAAGUUCUCAUACCCGAAUUAAUGCAUAAAUAUUUUGCUUUGAUUGUUGAUGUAAGAGAACUGGCAACAUCAACCACAAAAUAAAUUUUCAGCUAUAAUUAAUAGUUACAUUAUGUUUGUUUCCUAAGGGAAGAAAAAAAUGUUUAUUAUUCUUGUAUCCUUGAAAUAACUAAAAAUAAAAAAUAAAAAAUAAAAAUAAUUUUCUCAUCAUUUGUUUGUAAAAAAUAAAAAAUAAAUAAAAAAUGGUUAAACUUAUUUAUUUUCAAAUUAUUUAAUUUUUAUAUAAAAUAAAAAAAAUAAGUGAAAUGAGUUUGAAGAAAUAUACAAAAUUAAUUUAUUAACUUCAAUUUUUUUUUCUUUUUUUUUUCUUCCUAUUUUUCACCUUAUUUUAUUUUUAUAUUUUUCUUACUACAAACCAAACAAAACCUUAAGCUGAAUCCAAUCGUGAUGGUUUGUAACUACUUAAUGCGAUUGAAAAAGGUCAAAAAAAUUGCAAAAUUUUUUCUUGGUUGUUCAUGGGAAAUUUGAGAGAGAAGAAAAUUAAAAUGUAAGGAAUAUCCACGAUAAGAUAAUAGGUUUAUAGUCACUGCCAAACCACAUUUAUUCUGCAACUAAAAGGAUUAGUAGUUGAGGUUGGUAAGUGAUGAGCAGGUUGGUAAGGGUUUAUAGUCGUGGAUUUUUCCUCACUAGGUGCAUUGAAUAUUAAGUUAAUUAGACUUAAAACUAACUAGGCAAAAAUACUAAAAUUAAAUGAAAUGAUCAUUCCAAAAUUAGUUAAGUAUAGACCAAUGCUAGCUAAGAAGAUCAAGAAUCCCAUGAAUAGCAUGUAUAAUCCAUGAGAAUCAUAUAUAAGCCAUAUAUGCAUAUAUCAAGUAGUAGUAAAUGGAGUACAUGGAAAUGGUAAAAACAAAACACAUCCAACAUAGUAGCAAAAUAAGAUGUCUAAAAUACAUCAUCUAGAGUAACAUCAAACAUGUCCAAAAUGCCUAUAUGAGAAUAUCUCCCCAUUUGGUAACAUAAAGUAUAAAGGAGAAAUCACUGCAACUCAAAAUCAAGGCUAGGGAUGUGGAGGUGGAAAGACCAAACGAAGAUAGUUCAUCAUCUUAUUGUAUUAAGCCUAAAGUUGAGUAGUAAAUGGUACCUGACACUAAUCUAACUAAAUAGUUAGGGUCGUCUCAUACUGAUCCAUAUGGUCCUCAAUCAAAUAGAAACAAGUACAAUUCAUGAGUAGCUCCUCUACCUAAGCACCGAGCGAACUAAUUUGUACUGAUAUAUCUACCUAGAGUCACUAAUCAACUAAUGGAGAUGAGUGUCGUGUAGUAAACAUAACAAUUGAAGCUAGACACAUCUUAGUGAAGACAAGAUUAGAAUGGAAUGUCUUCUUAGUAAGUAUUGUUGGCUCAUGUUGAAAGGUCUUAAAGGUUGUUUUUGGCUACUCGGUAUGCAAAGGCUCCUCAAUCUACAUCUUCUUAGUCCCAUUGCCCUAUGAUAACUCUCUACCCUCCAUAUCAAGGUCUUUGAUUUUCUUCUCAGCUCAGUCCUUACAAACCUUCUGUCCACCCCUCUUGUGAAUCUAGGACCCAUCAAUAAGGUGCUCAAAGUGCAUACGACCUAUGGACUUCUAUCAUAUGCUCUAAGAGGUUGAAUGUCCUUCUUAGUCCUUAAAUCCACAUUGAAUGCCUUCAAAAUCUAAGUUAGUAGGCAUUCAUAGUAAAGUAUCUUGGACUUAAUCUCACAACACUUUAUUAUGUGCUAAAAAAUAAUGAAUCCAAGAUUGAUUCUCUUAUCGUCUAGGAUGAAAUCAAUUAGAAAAGCUCAUAAUAGGAUACCUCAUCUUGAUGUCCUCCUUUAAGAAUAAAUAUAUGACUAAUCAUGUGAUACAUGACUCGACUAAUCAAUAUGAGAGCAUGAACAUGAGGCUUGGUAGUUGUGGUGUCAAACAAAAGAUUACAUAACCUUUUUUUGGCAGAUCGGAGGGUUGGCCGAGUCCAUCAACUCCUCUUGUAUUUGAAUGUUGUGGUCGCUUAAGUGAAUGUACUAUAAGGCUAGGAUAUGCACCUUUCCUGACAGCAAUUGCUUUUAGGAAAGCUUGUGGCACCUAAGGUCCUACAAGUGGUAUCAAAGUUAGGCCUCCUGUUUAAGACUUAACCGUCUAAGAGGAAACGACUGAUCCAUCAAGUUCAUCUCAUAUUGAAAGUUUUGCAACCAAUAGACCUCCAUUUUUUACAGGAACCAAUUAUUCCUAUUGGAAAAAAAAUGAGUUGGUUUUAAAAAUCUACUAAUCUUGAUCUAUGGGAUGUCAUUGAAGAUGGUUCUCACAUUCCUUCAAAAUUAGAAAAUUGAGUGAUGGUUCCAAAACCUAAGCAAGAAUUGGGUGAACUUGAUAAAAAAAAAAAAAAGUUCAAUUAAAUGCCAAAUCUGUUUAUAUCUUACAUUAUGCUAUUGAUAUAAAUGAAUUUAAUUGUGUUUAACAAUGUAAGUCGACUAAAUAAAUUUGGAAACUAUUAAAAAUCACUCAUGAGGGAACUAACCAAGUUAAACAGUUUAUAAUCAACAUCAUUGUGCAUUAUUAUGAAUUAUUUUCUAUGAAGGAUUUUGAAUCUAUUAUAGAGAUGUUUUAUAGGUUCAUGGUGAUUGUGAAUGGACUUUAAGCCUUGAAAAAGACCUACACCAAAGUAGAGAAAGUCAUGAAGAACUUAAGGUCUUUACCAAAGAAAUGGAAAACAAAAGUGAUGGCUAUUCAAGUAGCAAAGAAGCAGCAAGAAGGGGAAGAUAUAUAUAAAUAUAGAACAUAGCUCUCAAAGCUACAACCAAGGAAGAAAAAGAAGUUGAAGAAGAAAAACAAAGUGAAGAAGAUGAAGAGUUAGCCCUCAUCACAAGAAAGUCUAACAAGUUCAUGAGGGGUGAAAAGUUUAGAAGAAGAAGGUUCGCUUCCAGAAGAGACUUCUCUAAAAAGGAAUCUUCAUCCCAUCGUGACAAGAAGAGAUGAGAGGAGAAAAGAGACUUGGUAUUCUUCAUGUGCAAGAAACCGGAACACUUUAAAUAUGAUUGUCUUUUCUACAAAAGCGAAGCCAAGAGGAGAAAGAAGAAGGCAAUGAUGACCACUUAGAGUGAAAGUGAAGAUGAAUCAUUCAAAGAAAGGAGAAAAAAGUGGCAAACAUGUGCUUCAUGGCAAUAGAUGAACUUGAUGAGGUAAACUUUAACAUUAGCUAUGAAAGUAUACAUGAUGCUUUUGAAGAAUUGUAUGAGGAUUUUAAAAAACUUGGUUUGAAAAAUGCUUCUUUAAAAAACAAAGUUCAACAACUUGAAAAGGAACUUGGAGAAGUAAAAGAAAAAUUUUCAAAUGUUGAAGAUUCUAAAACUUGUCUUGAAAAAGAGAAUGAGAUUUUAAGAAAGAAAAAUGAAUGGUUGACCUCCUCUCUUUCAAUUUUUCUCGUGGACAAAAAUCUUUUGAAAUGAUCCUAGCUAACCAAAAAUGUAUUUUGACAAACAAGAGUUAUGAUUCAAAUCUUCAAAAAAUCAAAAGUAUUUUAAGAACUAUUUUGUAAAGGAAUCCACAAGUGUAAGUCUUUCCACUACUUGCAACUUUUGUGAAAAAGAAUGACACAUUAGUAGCACAUGCCCUUUAAGAAAUGGUUCUCAAAAGAAUUCAAAUGCAAAAGAUAAAAAGAAUUGGGUUGAAAAAUUCAAGGUCACUAACCCUUAAGGACCCAAAAAGAUAUGGGUACCUAAAUCAACUUGAGUUGUGUUGUAGAGUUCAAAGAAGCAUAAGUGGUUCUUGGAUAGUGGAUGCUCAAGACACAUGACAGGAAAUGAAUCCAAGUUUGCUUUUCUUUCAAAGAAAAAAGGAGGAUAUGUUACCUUUGGUGACAAUGAAAAAGAAAAAAUCAUUGGUCAAGGCAACAUUGGUAAUGACAUAUCCUCAUUGAAAAUGUUUUACUAGUAGAUGAUUUAAAACAUAAUCUUUUAAGCAUUAGUCAACUUUGUGACAAAGGUUUUAAAGUGAUUUUUGAAGCAUCUCAUUGCAUUACAAAGGAUAUUCAAAAUGAAAAUAAUCUUCAUGAGCCAUAGAUGUGAUAAUGUUUACACUAUAAAUAUUUCAAAAUAUGAUGGUCAUGAUAGAUGUUUUUCAAGUAUGCAUGAUCAAAGUUGGUUGUGGCAUAGGAGAUUGGGAUAUACUAACAUGGACCUCAUUUCCCAACUCAAUAAAAAUGAAUUUGUUAGAGGCCAUCUCAAAAUAAAUUUUCAAAAAGAUAAAAGUUUGUGAAGCUUGUCAAGUGGGAAAACAAAUAAAAAAACUCUUUUAAAAACAAAAACUUCAUUUCCAUAACUAGGCCACUUGAGUUAUUGCAUAUGGAUUUAUUUGGUCCCUCUAGGAUACCAAGUCUUGGAGGAAAGUCUUAUACUUAUGUUAUUGUGGAUGACUUCUCUAGAUACACGUGGGUCUUGUUUUUAAGUCAAAAGACUAAAACAUUUUAUAAGUUUUCAAAGUUUUGCAAUAAAGUUCAAAAUGAAAAAGGUUUUGCAAUUACCUGCAUAAGAAGUGAUCAUGGAGAGAAUUUUAAAAUGUUGAUUUUGAAAAUAAUGAGCAUGGAAUUGACCACAAUUUUUUGGCUCCUAGAACUCCUCAACAAAAUGGGGUAGUUGAAAGGAAAAAUAGAACCAUUCCAGAUAUGACAAAAACAAUGCUAAAUGAAAACAACCUACCAAAUAUUUUGGGUCAAAAUGGUUAACACCUCUUGAUAUGUUUUAAAUAAAGUUUUAUUAAGGCUCAUACUUAAGAAAACUUCCUAUGAGCUUUGGAAAAACAAGAAACCCAACAUUAACUAUUUCAAAGUUUUUGAAUGCAAAUGUAUUAUAUUAAACACCAAAGAAAAUCUUGGAAAAUUUGAUGCAAAAUCGAAUGUUGAAAUUUUUCUUGGUUACUCAACUUCAAGUAAAACUUUUAAUGUUUUCAACAAAAGAACCAUGGUUGUCGAGGAGUCCAUCCAUGUUAUUUUUUAUGAAUCUAACAAUUCUCUCCAAGAAAGAGAGAGUGUUGAUGAUGAUUUAGAUUUGGAGACUUACAUGGAAAGAUUGCAAAUUGAAGAUAGAAGAAAAUGAAGUGGAUCCUAAGGAAGAAAGAUCACCAUUGGCACUACCACCUCCUCAACAAGUGCAAGGGGAAUCAAGCCAAGACCUUUCUAAAGAAUGGAAGUUUGUCAUCAAUUACCAAUAAGAUUAAAUCAUAAGUAAUCCAUCUAGUGGGGUAAGAACUAGAUCCUCUCUUAGAAAUAUUUGCAAUAAUCUAGCUUUUAUCUUUCAAAUUGAACCUAGUAAUAUAAAUAAUGCUUUAAAUGAUGAAAAUUGGAUGAUUGCUAUACAAGAAGAAUUAAAUCAAUUUGAAAGAAUUAAAGUAAGAGAAUUAGUACCAAGACCUUCAAAUCAAAGUGCUAUCAGAACUAGAUGAGUCUUUACAAAUAAAAUUGAUGAAAAUGGCAUAAUUGUUAGAAACAAAGCAAGGUUAGUAGCCCAAGUUUGUAAUCAAGAAGAAAGAAUAGGUUAUGAAGAAACCUUUUCCCUCGUAUCUAGGUUGGAAGCCAUUAGGAUGCUACUUGUCUUUGCAUGUUUUAAAGACUUUGUUUUAUAUCAAAUAGAUGUGAAAAGUGCAUUUUUAAAUGGUUUUAUAAAUGAAGAAGUGUAUAUUGAACAACCCCUCGGAUUUGAAAGUUUUAAUUUUCCUAACCAUGUUUUUAAACUUAAAAAGACACUUUAUGGUUUGAAACAAGCACUUAGAGCAUGGUAUGAAAGAUUGAGCAAAUUUCUUUUUAAAAAAAUGAUUUUAAAAUGGGUAAAAUUGACAACUCUUUUCAUAAAAACCAAAGAAAAUAAUAUGCUUUUAGUUCAAAUAUAUGUUGAUGAUGUUAGUUUUGGUUCUACUAAUGUCUCUCUUUGUGAAGAAUUUGCUAAGUGCAUGCAUAGUGAGUUUCAAAUGAGCAUGAUAGGAAAACUCAACUUCUUUCUUGAACUUCAAAUCAAGCAACUAAAGGAAAGAAACUUCAUCAAUCAAGCAAAGUAUAUAAGAGAUCUUCUCAAAAGAUUCAACAUGGAGGAAGCCAAGAUAAUGAAGACUCUAAUGAGUUUAUCCAUCAAGCUUGAUAAGGAUGAGAAAAGUAAAUCCAUUGACUCUACUAUGUAUAGAGGCAUGAUGGGUUCUUUUCUAUACUUGAUCGCUAGUAGACCUGAUAUUAUGUAUAGUGUAUGCUUGUGUGCUAAAUUUCAAUCUUGUCUUAAAGAAUCUCACUUGAGUGUUGUAAAAAGAAUUCUUAAAUAUUUGAAAGGAACAAUGGACAUAGGCUUAUGGUAUCCUAAGGAUAAUAACUUUGAAUUAAUUGGUUUUUCAGAUACUGAUUUUUCUGGUUGUAAGGUUGAAAGAAAAAUCACUAGUGUCACAUGUCAUUUUUUAGAAAACUCACUUGUUUCAUGAUAUAGUAAGAAACAAAAUUCAAUAGCUUUGUCAACGGCGAAAGUUGAAUACAUAGUUGUCGAUUUAUGUUGUGCACAAAUUCUUUGGAUGAAACAAACACUUAGUGAUUUGGGUUUAUCUUUUGAGCAUGUAUCUAUUAAAUGUGAUAAUAUUAGUGUCAUAAGAAUAUCAAAAAAUCUCAUGCAACACUCUAGGACUAAGCAUAUAGAGAUUAGACAUCAUUUUCUUAGAGAUCAUGCACAAAAGGGUGACAUAACACUUGAAAUUGUAAGCACUAAAGAUCAACUUGCUGAUAUUUUUACAAAACCUCUAAGUGAAAAACAAUUUGUUGAGAUUAGAAGACAAUUAGGGGUGAUUUCAUUAUGAUUUAAUGUUUGCUUAUGAAUGCUUGAUGUAUAUGCCUAUUGAUUACUUGAAUUUCAUGACAUAUGCAUCAUAUAAAACAUCAUAUAGACAUAUACUUAAAAAAUGGUCAAUUUUUGACCAAAAAUCAAAAUUCCAUUAGCAUUGGGCAUAAAAAAUUGGGGAACCCAACUAAAAAAGGCAGAGAGAGGAUUAAAAAAUGAAAAAGUGUGCAAAAGUGGAAAGUCAAAUAGCAUUGACCUUUGGUGCAUUUUGAACCGAUUGACCUGAUUUUGGGGAAAAUUUGAGGGCUUUAAAGGCUAGGGUUUCGAAUUUGGGCCAUUUUUCUCUUCUUUCCAUGCGUCACAACCAGUUUCGGCAUCGAUUCCUCUCCAUUUUUAUUCGUCAAGGUUUCAAGUGUGAGCUUCUACCAGUUCCUCAUCUUCACCUUGCGCUAGCUCCAUUUUCCAUGGCUCCCAGACGAGAGUUCGUAUCUUCCAAAGCUCAAGGCAAGCGCCCAACUGAUCCGUCUUAGCCAGAGACAUGCCGAAAGGCGUGUUUUGAGACCGCCUUGUUCAGUACCGUGGAGGAGUACCAACGGUACAAGCAGCAUUUUGCUUAGAGACGAGUAGUUCCGAGGAGAAACAUCAACUUUCUACAGCUUCAACACUUUGGAUUUGAGGGAUUGUUCACUAGGAUAGGCUGGUUGUUAGCUGUUACAAUUUAUGAGCCAGUUUUUUCGACAUUGGUAUGAGCAUUCUACUCAAGGGUGACUUACAGCAUGGGUGGCCCGAUCAUAUCCACUGUUAGAGGAGUUGAGAUUCGUUUGGACUCGGAGAACAUUUGUAGUAUUUUUUAUAUUACUCAUGUUGAACUCAGAGUAUAUGAGUCCAAGAUGUGGCCCACUGUGCUAGGAUUUGAGCCUAGAAAGGUUAUUUAGAGGACUUGUGGACUGUCAGAUGCCCAUGGGAUGGGCAAGACAUCGACACACAGCUUGAUGGUCAUUAGUAGAGUGCUACAUCAUAUGCUAUGUUUCAUUUUCCUACCAUGGGGUGGACACCGAGAUGAGGUCUCCUAUUACAAGGCAUUCCUUAUAGAUUCUAUUCUAACUAGGAGAAGAAUCCAUGUGAGAUAUCUGAUGAUGAUGCACAUGAUUGCAUGUUGCGAGAACACGACUCGAGUAUUCCCCUAUGGUCGCUUCCUUUCUUGAGUAUUCAAGAAUAGAGGCCUUGACCUUAGUAGACAGACAGACUUUGAGGUCCCCAAUACAUAUGAGACAUUGAUGAUCAAUCUAUGGGGUGGAUGACAUUUGAGAAGGCUCCAAAUGGUUCUUGGAUUAGAAAAGCAGAAAGAACACAACCACAGGGAUAGAGAUAGGCACACUCUGGAGUUAAGGAAGAGACAGAGAUUAGAUAGAUGGAGGGUGGAGUAAACCCUCAAGAUGGCAUAGACCUUCAGAGUGGCCACCAGUAGAGAGGACUUGAGCUUGGUAUUCCCCCACUUUAAACAAAGAUUCUUUCACAGACCGAGGAUUUUCAAUUUGAGUCCACUUUCUUUGAGUCGAUGAUGACAUAGCCUGCUUUUAUAAAGAGAACAUCUACUCAGUCAUCAUACACUGAGCCCUCCUUAUUUGGACCAGUAUUCACCGAGCCCACCUAUAUUAAGAUACCACCUCCUCAGGCACCUCCUACUCCUGACCAUGCUUCUUGGAUGGAUUUAUCGGCUCAGAUUGACUCCCUUAGUACUCGUAUGGAGGAACUUGCAAUGGUCAAUGACACACAAUUUUACUUUAUGAAGGAUACAAUGGACUAGUAUUAGACUAGGUUCACUACUCAAUUUGAGUAUCUUUAGUAGAGGAUUGAUCGCAUGGAGUAGAGGAUUGAUCACAUUGAGGAUCACAUAGAGCGUCAACAUAAGGAGAUGAUGACCUACUUGCAUUUCGUGUUUCCAUAUCCACCUCCUCAACCUUGAUGACUAGUUGGGAACCCCUUUAUUCUUUUUUUAUGUUGCCAAAGAGUGAGAUAUUUUAGGAUCUAGGAAUAUCUAUGAGGGUAGAUAUAGAAGACUCAUACUGAUAGAUGUAUAUCAUUUUUUGUUUGGAUCAUAUAUUGCUUAUCUCUAAUUACUUUAGUUUGUUGGACAUAUGAUGCACUGACUGAUACAUUUGACAUGAUAUAUGAUAUGCUUAUAUAUUUGAUGACUUACAUUGGAUGUUCCUUGUUGCAAUACUUUCUAACAUGUCUUGAUCAUCGUGUUUUUAAUUUCUUAAAUAUUGAUUGUUGAUACAUGAUUGGUUUGAGGGGAGAUUUUUUUUUCCUAGAUAACCAAGGUUUUUUAUCAUAAAAAAUGGGAGAUUGUUAGCCCAAGGAUUCUCAUAAUCAUGUUUUGAUGAUAACAAACCAUGGUUAAGUUUCUAAUUGGUUUGAAUUAUAAAGAAUUUUAGGUAUUAGUUUGAAAAUUCAUCAAAUGACCCAAUGGAUGCAAGAUCAAGGAAAUUGGAAGACCUUUAAUCAUAAGAAACAUAUGUAAGAUGAAUGCAUGGGUGCACUUAGGAUUUUCAUAUCUUUUCAUGCAUCUUUAAAAACUCAGUUUAUGCAUUAAAGUUAUAUUUCCAUCAAAACCCGAGUUUUACCAAACGAACCUUAGGCAAAUCAUUUCAAAAUUGACACAAUAAUUUAUCUAAAGACCUUGACUAAGUGUUAGAAGAGAAAAUAAUAGAAAAAGAUAGGUUUUUCAGCCAAAAAUGGUGAACCGAUCGAGACACUAGCCAAUCAACUCAACUGACUAGGGUAUCAGUAGACCGGUUACACUAUCCGGUCGAUGUCCAGUCAAGAGAUACAAAGAAUCUUCUCUCUAUUCCAGAAUGCUUGUUUAACCAGUCAAAGUUAAACCUCAAUCGAUCGAGGUUGAACCUCAACCUAUCGAGAGGCGGUCAAGGGGCGAUCGAGGUCCAACGGUCACCUACCAAGCAUUAAAUGCUAACGACUAGUCAACCGGUGAAAUCGAAACUCGACCAGAUGAACCCCUAAUGACUAGUUUGGCAUUUUUACUAUAUAAAAAGGCUCAAAUCUUCAUUAUUUCAAGAGUUUAACCUUCCUAAAAAUUUCUUGAAUAUAUUUGAGCUUUUGUGAGAGUGUUUUUGAGUGCACAUUGUUCUAAAACUUGCAUAUCAUUAGUGCACCAUUCAAUCCUAAUUUUUCUUGUACAUUUGAGCCUAAAGUUUUGUAUUGGGAUUUUGUGAGAUUAUUUCUUCAUUUGUAAAUAUUUGAAAGGAAGAAUCUAAGUGUGAGGUAUCACUUGAGGGGUUAUUCAAGAAUGAGGUAUCUCUUGAAGAUUAUAAAGGGUGUUUGGAGCUUAAAGUUCAAGAGGGUGGAUUGAAACCAUAAUCCAAUCGUAUUGCUUGAAAGCUUGGUUUGGAAGCCUUGAAUUAGUGGAACCUCAAGCUUAAGAUUGAAGGUAGAGGAGAGUGGACGUAGGUCGGGUUGCAUCGAACCACUAUAAAAUCUUGUGUUUGCAUUCUCUUUUCCCUACUUUUUUUUACUUUAUAUGCAAUUUGUCUUUAUAUUAUUUUAUUAUAUAUUUGCAUAUAAUUAUCUUUUGCAUUUACAUAAUUUAAAUUUGUAAAAAAAAGACCAUCAACCUAUUCACCUCCCUCUAAGGUGAUUACUUUAAGUUAGAUUAGCCCGAUUUUUCUAACACCUUUGUAUAGCUCUACCAACAUCAAAGUCAUCUGGGCUUAACCACCCAUUCAUCUUAAAAAGACAAAGGCCUAUCCACUAGAUAUCUAGAAUCUAAUAAAGGUUGGAAGAAUGUAGCUCCAUAUGAACUCCUUUGACUAGUGAAAUGAUUGGGCCACCCAUCUCAUACCGCAUGUUUGAAUAUAACAUGUGUACCAAGGUUAGGCAAAAAAACUCUGAGCAAUUCACCAUAGAUAGCUAUCACAUCUUGGCGAAUAACUCCUCAAAUUGAAAAUAUGAUAAUUAGCCAAAAUAAAUAUUACAACUCGGAACCACUAUCUAGGCUGCAAACAAAUAAGUGUAUCACUGGUAGUACUCCUCCAUGGAUGCUAAGCUCUAGAUGUUAAAUCAAGCUUUUCUCUUAGCCUCAACUUUAAAACUCUCUAUAUAUAGGAUAGUUGCCUUAGACCUUUGAUGUUGUAGUAACUUUAUGGGGAGCCAUGACACUUUAGUACAUUCAUAGGAAUAAAGGGAAAAGUCCAAGAAAUUGAUAAAAUAAAAAAAAACAAAGGAAAAAGUGGAAAACGGCCACAGUUCAAGAAAUGAAAGGCAAAAACAUAGAGUUCCAAGGAAAAAUAUCUCAAAAUGGCCUACAUAAGAGUUUUGGAGAAACCCUAAAGAGAGAAAUUGGUUUAGACCCUAGGGUUCAAACCCUCUGCUGGUUGAGCAAUUGGUUCAACUAGUCCUCAAUCGGUUGAGGCUCUACCUCAACCAGCUACACCACAACUAUUGUAUGUUAAGGGUGCACAAAGUGCGUCAUGAUUAGUCAAUGCCCAAUUGGCUCAACUAGUUCCUUGGGCCCUCAAUUGGUUGCAAUGUGAAGUGCUUAAGAGACUUGAUUUGAGGUAUGGAACCUUUAGAAACUUGUGUAAACCUUCUUAAAGAUAAGUUUAAAAUAAAUUUGGCUUAAGGUUUUAAUUUAAAACAAAAAUUUAUUCAAUGCUUUGGUAAAAAUGAUCGUUUUAAGUCUAAGGAAUGAUGAAAUUGAAUUUUUAAGUGCAUGAAAAUGAUUUAGACAUUUGAAAGUUGAGUUUAGGUUUGGAUAUUGAUCUUCACGGUAUUGAUCUUCUUCCAUUAUUCUUUGGGUUUUCUUUGAAUUUUUGUAAGUAAACCUGAAAACUUAAUUUGAUCUAAAUCAUUAGUAACUUAGUCUUAUUUUGUAAUCACCAAAAUUCAAUUAGAAGAACCUUUGAGCUAACACCUAUGGUGAUAGCAAAGACAAAGUUAUCUUGCUUAUGGAUAUAUAAAUGACCUUGAUAAAAGGGCAUUUGCAUGUUGUAAAAACGUAGUAGGAACCAAGAGUCUCUGAAUGAGUCAAGGGACAAGUGACAAAUGAUUGAAACUUUCGGAUAUGCUAAAGCCAUUUGAAACUAAAACUUGAGUUUCAAUUUAAAAGAGUUUGAAUUUGAAUUGAACAUUUGUUAUGAACAAAUGGACAUUGUCACCAAGGUUUUGUUGAAAUAGGCUUUCACUCACCCUUGAGGCAAGAUGGGUCUCCAUGCACUAGCAUUCCCACUUAGCUUGAGCGAGGUGUUAAUGAAGAUAAUCUUAGUAUUCACGAAAGAACGUGAUUGACAAAUCAAACCAACUCAAUAACCACAAUAUUUAUCGACAAUUCAACCCAGAUUAUAAAAAACAAUUCAAUGCAGCAUGUGCUGAUUCUAUUCUCUUUACUGUUGUUAUCAUGAUAUGUAUUUUCAUAAUUUUCCUUUUAGUACAAGAACUUGUUUGUUUAUACAAAUAAGAUUGUAUAUUCUUGAUAAUAUAAUUUAGAUCUUCCAUAACCAAAUUCUGAAAAAACUUUUCAUUAUUUCGUGUCAUGAUCGAUUACUGCAAAACUAACUUAUAUUUUAAUAUUUUUUUCCUUUUUUUUUUUUUUAAUAAUUUGGUCCAUUAUGUUUUAUAAUUUAAAAUUUUCAUUUUAAAAAUUGUAUUGUAACUUGUUUGAUUUAAUUUAACCAAAAAGUUAAAUUCUUUAACCUCUUUACAAACAAUGUAUGUAUGAAUUUUUUUUUUUUCCUAUUUAGUAUGUAAGAGCAUUUAAAUAUUAAUUCAUCUUUUUAAGAGCACUUAACAAAAGUAAGUUUUUUCAACUUGAAUAAAGCUUUGAUAUUCCAAUCAACUACUAUAACAUUUUAAGAUUGGCCAAAAGGAACAUAGUGUUCUAGGUAAGUUGAUUGUGUGAAAGGGUUGAAUGCAUAUGAGACUUUAAUUUCGUAUUGAAGAUUUUUUUUAAAAAAAAAUCUAAUUUAGGUUUAUUUUGAAAUAUUUUUCGAAACAAUUUUGAAAAAAAUGAUUAUUGAAAAUAGUUUUCAGAAAAUGCUUAUGAUAUUUUUUAGAAUAAAAGUCUAUUUCAAAACUUAAAAUAUUCUUAAUUUGUUUUUUGUAUUUCAAAUUUUUUCUUAAAAAUAAUUAAAAUAUAUUUUAAAAAAUAAUUAGAUUAUUCUUAUUUUCAAUCAUUCUCCAUAUUUUUUCAAUUAUUUUUAAAAAUAAUCCAAAAUUAUUAAUAUAUAUAUAUAUAUAUAUAUAUAUAUAUAUAUAUAUAUAAUACCUUAUUUUUGGAACUAGUUUUCAAAACACUAAUUUUUAUUAAAAAAUUAUCAAACUUCUUUUUGAAUUUGAAAAAUAUUUUCUAUUUAAUAGAAUAAAAAAAUUAGAAAUAGUUAUCAAACUAUAAAGUUUUGUUUCUUUUUUUCAAUGUUUUUAGGUGGCAUUGAAUAAAAAUAUCAUUUUAAAUUUUAAAAUAUAAAAAUUAAAAUUUUAAACAUAUUUCAUCAUUUCAUCAUUAAUACUGAUAAAUUAAAUUAUGAUAAGGAUAACAGAAGAUUUAUUAAAAUUUCUAAUGUUAUUAAACAUGUUUAACUUAUAAUUAUUUUUUAAAAUAAUAUUUUAUUAUUUAAAGCUGUUUAAAUUUUAAUAGUUAUAUAUUUUAUCAUUUUCAAAAUUAUUAGUUGUUUAUUUAUACUAUUUUGAUGUUUAUUAUCCUAUAAUAUUUGAUAAAUUACAAAUCUUUAUAUUUAUUUUUAAGUUAUGAAAUUAUAUUACAUAUAUUUUAAAUACAUUUAUAUACACCCUUGUCUUUUUCCCAAUAAAGACCCAAUUAAAUCCUCAUUCCUCAUCCUUCCAUGCCUUUUAAGCAGGUUCGUCGAUUCACCUGAUUAGGUGAACCGAACCAGGUUAAGGUCCGGGAUUCGGGUUUGAUCCGAUUUUUAAAAUAUAGACUGAACAAAGAAUUGUCCUUAUCCUCUUUCCCCUUUUCGGCGAAGACUUGAGUCAUUUGCCAGAUUUAAGUCGUGAAGGUCUACAGAUUCAGUCUCCUAAGAAAUUGGGCAUGAAUCGCAGCCACCAUUCUUGACUUUUGCUUUGUUUCGCAUGAAUGCGCAUGUACUAUCUAAUCAGACUGGGGACAACACAUUUACCACCAUUUUUGCCCGGGAGACUCGGUUUGUUGGGUCAACGGUGGAAUCCAAGUCUACUGAGAAAUAAUAUAAAUAUUAUAAAUAUAAUCUGAACAAAAUAAGUACAUGGUGAUUUUUUAUAUUUAAAAUAAAAUAUUAUAUUACAAGCAUUAAAUAAGUUUUAUGUAUGGGAUCGUUUUUAUAAAUAGAUAUAUUUUUAAAUUUUUAUAAUAUAAAUAUUAGUUAUUUUUUAUUGUUUUUAUUUGUUUUCUAAGUAUUAUUUAAAAAAAUAUACAAAUAUAUAAAAUAAUUAAAAAUAAAAUAUUAGAUAUAAAAAUAAUUUUUAAAACAUAUCUAAAAAUAUUAAAAAUAGGUUAAAAAUAUUUUAGGUUUCAAAUAGAUUUUUAUUUUUUAAAACAUCUUACAACAAUUUUUAAAAAUUAUUUUUUAGAAUUAUUUUAAAAAACAAUUAUUAGAGAGAAACUUUAUUUUUUAAAAUAAUUUUUCUUUAAUCAAAAUCUUUUUAAGGAGAGAAACUGAGGAAGAAAGGUAGGACUUUUCUCAAUAGUACAGCAAUUUAAAAAAGUUAUGCUUAAAUUACUGUACUGGCAGAAGUUAUUACAAAUAUAGGGUAGUUUUUGCCACAUAGGAGAGAGGAGAGAGGAAAGAGGAGAGAGGAGAGAGGAGAGAGGAGAGAGGGUGAGAGAAGAGAGGAAAGAGGAGAGAGGAGAGAGGAGAGAGGGUGAGAGAGAGGAGAUAGGAGAGAGGAGAGAGGAGAGAGGGUGACUUAAAAAAAAAGCAAACUCGUCUCUUGAAGAGACGAGUUCCAUGAAAGAAGAGAGGAAAGAGGAGAGAGGAGAGAGGAGAGAGGGUGAGAGAGAGGAGAGAGGAGAGAGGAGAGAGGAGAGAGGGUGUGUAAAAAAAAGCAAACUCGUCUCUUGAAGAGACGAGUUCCAUGAAAAAAAAAAAUAUAUAAUUUUAAAAAAAUUCUAAACAAUUAUUCAAGGGAACUCGUCUCUUGAAGAGACGAGUUCCAUGUAAAAAAAUCCAAGAGACGAGUUCCAUGUAAAAAAAAAAAUAUUUUUUAUUUUAAAAAAUCCCAAAUUUAAAAAAAAAAAUUCCAAAAAAAAAAAAAUUCCAAAGGGAACUCGUCUCUUGAAGAGACGAGUUCCAUGUAAAAAAAAAUAUAUUUUUUAAAAAAUAUAAUUUUUAUUUUAAAAAAUCCCAAAUUAAAAAAAAAAAAAAUCCAAAGGGAACUCGUCUCUUCAAGAGACGAGUUCCAUGUAAAAAAAAAUANNNNNNNNNNNNNNNNNNNNNNNNNNNNNNNNNNNNNNNNNNNNNNNNNNNNNNNNNNNNNNNNNNNNNNNNNNNNNNNNNNNNNNNNNNNNNNNNNNNNNNNNNNNNNNNNNNNNNNNNNNNNNNNNNNNNNNNNNNNNNNNNNNNNNNNNNNNNNNNNNNNNNNNNNNNNNNNNNNNNNNNNNNNNNNNNNNNNNNNNNNNNNNNNNNNNNNNNNNNNNNNNNNNNNNNNNNNNNNNNNNNNNNNNNNNNNNNNNNNNNNNNNNNNNNNNNNNNNNNNNNNNNNNNNNNNNNNNNNNNNNNNNNNNNNNNNNNNNNNNNNNNNNNNNNNNNNNNNNNNNNNNNNNNNNNNNNNNNNNNNNNNNNNNNNNNNNNNNNNNNNNNNNNNNNNNNNNNNNNNNNNNNNNNNNNNNNNNNNNNNNNNNNNNNNNNNNNNNNNNNNNNNNNNNNNNNNNNNNNNNNNNNNNNNNNNNNNNNNNNNNNNNNNNNNNNNNNNNNNNNNNNNNNNNNNNNNNNNNNNNNNNNNNNNNNNNNNNNNNNNNNNNNNNNNNNNNNNNNNNNNNNNNNNNNNNNNNNNNNNNNNNNNNNNNNNNNNNNNNNNNNNNNNNNNNNNNNNNNNNNNNNNNNNNNNNNNNNNNNNNNNNNNNNNNNNNNNNNNNNNNNNNNNNNNNNNNNNNNNNNNNNNNNNNNNNNNNNNNNNNNNNNNNNNNNNNNNNNNNNNNNNNNNNNNNNNNNNNNNNNNNNNNNNNNNNNNNNNNNNNNNNNNNNNNNNNNNNNNNNNNNNNNNNNNNNNNNNNNNNNNNNNNNNNNNNNNNNNNNNNNNNNNNNNNNNNNNNNNNNNNNNNNNNNNNNNNNNNNNNNNNNNNNNNNNNNNNNNNNNNNNNNNNNNNNNNNNNNNNNNNNNNNNNNNNNNNNNNNNNNNNNNNNNNNNNNNNNNNNNNNNNNNNNNNNNNNNNNNNNNNNNNNNNNNNNNNNNNNNNNNNNNNNNNNNNNNNUCUCUUCAAGAGACGAGUUCCCUUUGGAAUUGUGUUUUUUUUUUUUUUUUUUUAAUUUGGGAUUUUUUUUUUUAAUAUAUAUAUUUUUAAAAAAAUAUUUUUUUUUUUACAUGGAACUCGUCUCUUCAAGAGACGAGUUCCCUUUGGAAUUUAUUUUUGUUUUUUUUAAAUUUGGGAUUUUUUAAAAUAAAAAAUAUAUUUUUUUAAAAAUAUUUUUUUUUUUACAUGGAACUCGUCUCUUCAAGAGACGAGUUCCUUUUGCAAUUUUUUUUUUUUUUUUUUUAAAUUUGGGAUUUUUUAAAAUAAAAAAUAUAUUUUUUAAAAAAUAUAUUUUUUUUUACAUGGAACUCGUCUCUUCAAGAGACGAGUUCCCUUUGGAAAUUUUUUUUUUUUUUUUAAAUUUGGGAUUUUUUAAUAAAAAAUAUAUUUUUUAAAAAAUAUUUUUUUUUUCCUAAAGGAACUCGUCUCUUGAAAUUUUAUAUUUAAAAAAAAAUAUUUUUUUUUAGAUGAGAACUCGUCUGUUAGGAAUUUUGAGGAAUUGUUUUUUUUUUUUAAUAUAUAUAUAUUUAAAAAAAUAUUUUUUUUUUUACAAGGGAACUCGUCUCUUCAAGAGACGAGUUCCCUUUGGAAUUAAAUUUUUUUUUUUUUUUUUUUUAAUUUGGGAUUUUUUUUUAAUAUAUAUAUAUUUUUAAAAAAAUAAUUUUUUUUUUACAUGGAACUCGUCUCUUCAAGAGACGAGUUCCCUUUGGAAUUUUUUUUUUUUUUUUUUAAUUUGGGAUUUUUUAAAAUAAAAAAUAUAUUUUUAAAAAAAUAUAUUUUUUUUUACAUGGAACUCGUCUCUUGAAGAGACGAGUUCCCUUUGGAAUUGUGGUUUUUUUUUUUUUUUUUUUUUUAAUUGGGGAUUUUUUUUUUUUAAUAUAAAAGANNNNNNNNNNNNNNNNNNNNNNNNNNNNNNNNNNNNNNNNNNNNNNNNNNNNNNNNNNNNNNNNNNNNNNNNNNNNNNNNNNNNNNNNNNNNNNNNNNNNUUUUAAAAAAAAAAAAGAUAUUUUUAAAAAAUAUAUUUUUUUUAAAAAGGAACUUGUUUUUUGAAAAGACGGGUUCCCUUUGGAAAUGGGUUUUUUUUUUUUUUUUUUUUUUUAAUUUGGGAUUUUUUUUUUUUAAAAUAAAGAGACGAGUUCCCUUUGGAAUUUAUUUAUUUUUUUUUUAAAUUUGGGAUUUUUUAAAAUAAAAAAUAUAUUUUUUUUUACAUGGAACUCGUCUCUUCACUUUGGAAUUGUGUGUGUGUUUUUUUUUUUUUUUUUAAAUUUGGGAUUUUUUAAAAUAAAAAAUAUAUUUUUUUUUACAUGGAACUCGUCUCUUCAAGAGACGAGUUCCCUUUGGAAUUGUGUGUGUGUUUUUUUUUUUUUUUAAUUUGAGAUUUUUUUUUUAAUAUAUAUAUUUUUAAAAAAAUAUUUUUUUUUUUACAUGUAACUCGUCUCUUCAAGAGACGAGUUCCCUUUGGAUUUUUUUUUUUUUUAAUUUAGGAUUUUUUUAAAAAAAAUAUUCUUUUUUACCUGGAACUCGUCUCUUGAAGAGACGAGUUCCCUUUGGAAUUUUUUUUUUUUUUAAUUUGGGAUUUUUUAAAAUAAAAAAUAUAUUUUUUAAAAAAUAUUUUUUUUUUUACAUGGAACUCGUCUCUUCAAGAGACGAGUUACCUUUGGAAUUUUUUUUUUUUUUUAAAAAAAAAUUUGGGAUUUUUUAAAAUAAAAAAUAUAUUUUUUUUUACAUGGAACUCGUCUCUUCAAGAGACGAGUUCCCUUUUUGGAAAUUUUUUUUUUUUUUUUUAAAUUUGGGUUUUUUUAAAUUAAAAAAUAUAUUUUUAAAAAAAUAUAUAUUUUUUUUACAUGGAACUCGUCUCUUCAAGAGACGAGUUCCCUUGAAUAAUUGUUUAGAAUUUUUUUAAAAUUAUAUAUAUAUUUUUUUUCAUGUAACUCGUCUCUUCAAGAGACGAGUUUGCUUUUUUUUACACACCCUCUCUCCUCUCUCCUCUCUCCUCUCUCCUCUCUCCUCUUUCCUCUCUUCUUUCAUGGAACUCGUCUCUUCAAGAGACGAGUUUGCUUUUUUUUUUACAGUCACCUUCUCUCCUCUUUCCUCUCUUCUCUCACCCUCUCUCCUCUCUCCUCUCUCCUCUUUCCUCUCUCCUCUCUCCUAUGUGGCAAAAACUACCCUAUAUUUGUAAUAACUUCUGCCAGUACAGUAAUUUAAGCAUAACUUUUUUAAAUUGCUGUACUAUUGAGAAAAGUCCAAGGUAGGUAUAUGAUUGUAAUAAAGAGAUGAUUGAUCAUUUUGGACAAUUAAAACACGGAAUUAUUUUGAAUUGGAAAAUUGUGAUUUCUUCUAAGUUAAAAUCCAUACAUUCCCUCGUAGCAAAAACAACUUAAUGAUCUCUGUGGUAUAAAUAAAAUUUAUCUAAACGAGAGCGAACAAAAGUUGGCAUGAGAUAUUUUUCUUCAUAAAAAAGAAAAAUGCAUCAAAAUAAAUAUAUUACUUGUCAUGUCCAUGUCAAAUAGCGGAGAAAGUUUUUAGUCGUAUAAAUGUACGUUUUGAUUUGUUUAGGUAGGGCCGUUACAUUACUCAUAUGGCAUUUUCAGCAACUAUUCUAAAGAAAUUUUAGGAGAAAACUCUACUCAGUAAAUAGCAACUAUACAACUAUGACUGCUGUUAGAGUUCUCCAGAAAAGGACGCUGUCCAACGUAGUUGCCUGGAGGAUCAUAGUUGCAAGUGACAAACCACCCACCCGUGUUGCACUGAACCCUAGCGCACCCAAGGUGCAAUGAGUUGCGCCAAAUAACUUUAAUAUACUGCAGGCAUUCCCCACCAACGCAUGAGUUGGAGUUGUAGUCAUAAUAAGGCUUCUCCCCCACCCACAUGUUCACUGCAUCGGUGCCUGUCAAUGAAGGGGUGCCCCAGGCAAUGUUCUCACCGUAAGGCCCACUUGAAUGCACUAAAUUGCAAUCGCCAAUCCUCUGGUUAGCAUAGUUCUGGGCGUAGGCAGCUACAGUGUCAUUCCAUGUCAUAGAUUCAACACCAACUUCUGCACGCGCGGCAUUGUGAGCAUCGAGGAAGUCUUGUGGAGAGUUUUGGGCAUAGGAGAUGUGAGCAAGGACUAACCCCAUGAAACCAACAACUAGUGAAGAUGAGAUCUUACACAACCCCAUCUUUUAGUUUCUUAAUCUGUGUAUGCAAAGUGAGAGUUGAGAAAUGAGCAUAUAUGGUUUGAAGGGAAUGAGAAGAACUUGCAAUUUGGUCAGUCAAAAGCAUCAUUAAUAAAGCUUACAAGCAAUCUUUAGGCCACCAAAACUGGGCGCCCAUGGGCUGUUACGUGUGAAGGACGUUGAGAAAAGGAAAAUUCUACGAAGUGGGUACGUACCUCCAAAAUUCCUGGCCGUUGGAUCAAAAGAUUCCAAUCAAGACCAUCCAAAUGAAAAAUAGAUUAAAAUAAAAAAUGCAAAAGAAGGGUGCAAAAGGUUGCCAGUAGAUAUGCCCCCCUUUAUCUCCCCUCUCUCAAUUUUUGUCACACAUGUCAACAUCAAUUUCAAAAUUUUAAAUUAUUAAUUCUACAUUUGUUUUAUCUAUUUAUAACAAAUAUUAUCUUAGAAAGUAAAUUUCAAUCAAUUAUUAUAUUUAAGUAAAAGUUAUUACUAUAUUUUGAUCUAUCUUACAAUGUUUUUCAAUAUAAUAGGAAAGUGUAAAUACAACUAUCCAAUUACAAAUGCCCUCCAAAAUUUAUUUAAAAUCUAUAGAUUUUUUUUAUUUUUUUAUUUUACUUUAAAUAUUAAUAAAAUUGUUAAUUCGUAUAAUUUCACUUAGAAUUCAUAAAAAAAAAUAUGAGGAAAAAAUAAAAAAUAAAAAUAUUAAAAUUCUUACCCUCACUUAAUUUUAAGAAAUUUUUUUUUCAACUUCAAAUGCCAAUUAAAUUGUUUUUUCAUACUAAUUUCAAUUAGGAUUUUUGAUAAGUAGGAGGGUACGAAGAAGUGUUAUUCGUCAUUUUUAUCAAUUGUAAGUAUAAUUAAUAUUAAUAAGCACUAUUAGUACUAUUUGAAGUAGACAAAAAUUGGUUAAAAUUAAAACAAAUAGAAAAUUUGGAGGUACAAAGAAUAUGGGGAAAAGUAUAGAGAAUGUGAGGAAUAAUAGUGUUUAUUCCUCCCAUUUUUGUACCUCUCCAAUUUUGUAAUUUUUCUACUUUUAAAUUUUUAUUUUUUUAUUUUUUUUUUGUAGUAUUCAUACCCUCUCCAAUUUGGUAGUUUUUUACUUUUAAUUUUUUUUAUUUAUAAUUUCGAUCAAAUUUAAGUAUAAUUAGUAUGAAUAAAUGCUAAGAAAAAAAAAAUCUUAAAAUUAAAACAAGCGUAAAUUUGGAGGAUACGAAGAAUGUGGGAAAAUAAUAUUCACAUUCUUCACACCCUCCAAAAUUUUCAAUUUUCUAAUUUUAAGAAUUUUUUCCACUUGAAAUAACAAUUAUAUUGUGUAUACAUACUAAUUACAUUUAAUGAUGAUAAAAAUUAUGUGCAAACAAAUUUAAAACGAAAAAUACUAAAACAUUGGGAAGGGACGUAGAAUAUGAGACCCUUUAGAUUUUUCAUUUUUUUGAAUUUUAAGAAUUUUUUAAAAAUUUAUUUUAUUUUUUAUAAUAGUUAUAAUUGUCAUUUUUUAUAUUAUUAGAAUAUAAUUCAAAUUUUUAUUAUUCAUAGCCUAAAGUUAUAUAAAAGAAAAAAGGGAUAGUAAAUUAAUAAAUGUCAAAACUCGUAUAGGUAGAAACUAUAUAAUUAAAAUUUUAAACAUAUUUCAUCAUUAAUACUGAUAGAUUACAUUAUGAUAGGAUAACAUGAAGAUUUAUUAAAAUUUUAGUAUUUCUAAUGUUAUUAAACAUAUUUAACUUAUAGUUAUUUUUUUAAAUGAGAUUUUAUUAUUUAAAGUUGUUUAAAUUUUAAUAGUUAUAUAUUUUAUCAUUUUCAAAUUUAUUAAUUGUUUAUUUAUACUAUUUUGAUGUUUAUUAUCCUAUAAUAUUUGAUAAAUUAUAAAUCUUUAUAUUUAUUUUUAAGUUAUGAAAUUAUAUUACAUAUAUUUUAAAUACAUUUAUAUACACCUGUGGACCCCGCAUUUCGGCUCAUGCGUUUCCCACUCGAUGGCGAGCUCGAUUUUAAUUUGAAAAAUUGAUCUUUAUUGAUUAAGAAAAAUUGACUUGGAGUCGCCACUUAUUUUUAUUUUAUUUUUAAAGGGUAAACAAAAUAAGAAAGAAAAACCCUAAGUGUGACUCCUUGUUUUGGAAAAGGUGGUCUGUGAAAAACCGGAUCGGGUUCGGGGGUCAGGUUACUUAUCGGGAAGGUACGGUAGAGACCGUAGCACCCCUCUAAGUCCCUAAAUUCGGGUCUCUACUAAUAAAGUGAAACUGACGUGGCAAUCGAAUAAGAAAGUCAAUGGAUACUCACAUCAAUCAUGCAUAUAUGAGAAUCAGAAUAUGUAUACUGAAUGAUCAGAAUGAGUGAAUGCGUACCUGGGCAGCAAAUAGCAAACAGCAACGCGCUAUCAUGGAAUGAGGUUAGUGAAUAAACGCAAAAUGAUUAUAUGUAUAUCAAGGAACAAAGUAAAUCGAUCACACAUGGCAAAUGAAUCGAUCAAUCAGUCAAUCAAUCAUGGAAUCUCAUAUGUGGGACCCCCACCAAAGCCCAUUCUAUUUUGCACGAAUUAGUCCCACAAAUUCCAUUAUUCUGGAAUUAUGAAAAUAGCAUUCGUGCUUAUAUAAAAUCAAGAGAAACCGAAGAUUAUUUGAAACCCGAAGAGAAUUAAAACUGUUAGAGAGAAAAUUGGAUUUUUGAAAUUUAUUUGAAAAUUGGAGUAUUGGGAAUUAAAUUUAAGAGUUGGAAUUUUAGGAUGUCAAACUUGAAAGAAAUUAGAAUUUUAGAAAUCGAAAAUUAAGUUUGGAAAUUGGGAUUCAAAAAAAUGUUUAAAAAUGGAAUUUUGAAAUAAAUAAAUGGAAUAAUAAUAAUAAUAAGGACGAAAAUAAUGAUUAAAUAAAUGAAUGGGAAUGCUGGAAUUUUUGAAAUUGGAAAUUAGAUUUGAAGGUCGGAAUUGUUUAAAGAAUGAAUUUUUGAAAUAAAAUAAAUAGAAUAAUAAUAAUGACGAAAGUGAUGAUUAAAUGAAUGAACGGAAUUUUCGGAAUUUCUUCGUAUUGGAAAUUAGAUUCGGAAGUCGGAAAAUUGGAACUGCUUCAUGAUAGAAUUUUAAAAUAAGCAAAUAAAUAAAUGGAAUAAUAAUAAUAACGAAAAAAUAAUGAUUAAAUAAAUAAACCUGAAUUUUGGAAAUUUUGAAAUUGGAAAUUAAAUUCGGAAGUCGGAAAUUUUAAAGAAAUGUUUAAAAUAGAAUUUUAGAAUGAAUAAAUAAACUAUUAGUGAUAAAUUAAUGUGAAUGUGAGAAUUUUUCGAGAUUAGGAAUUUAAUUCGAAAAUCAAAAGUUUUAAAGAAUUGAUUUAAAAUGGAGUUUUAAAAUAAAUGAAUAAAAUACUAAUGAUUACAUAAAUUAAUGGGAGUACGAGAAUUUUCGGGAUUAAGAAUUUAAUUCGGAAAUUAGAAGUUUUAAAGAAUUGAUUUAAAAUGGAAUUUUGAAAUAAAUGAAUGAAAUAUUAGUGAUUAAAUAAAUUAAUGUGAAUAUAGGAAAUUUUGGGAUUAGGAAUUUAAUGCGGAAAUCAGAAGUUUGAAAAAAAUUUGUUUAAAGAUAGAAUUUUUAAAAUAAAUAAAUAAAUGGGAUAAUAAUAAUAAUGACGAAAAUAAUAAUUAAAUAAAUGAACGUGAAUAGUGGAAUUUUUUUAAAUCGAAGAUUAAAUUUGAAAGUUGGAAUUGUUUGACGGUGGAAUUUUAAAAUAAAUGAAUGAAUAAAUAGAAUAAGAAUAAUCGCAAAAAUAAUAAUUAUUAAAUAUGUAAAUACGGGAAGACCUAAAAAGAAUCUAAAGAUGAAAUAUUAGAGAGUUGAAUUACUUAAAAACUAGAUUUUAAAAAAAAAACAAUUUUUAAAAUUGGUGGGCUUUGGAAGUGGGCCAAGCAAGGUGGCCAUGCAAAGGUGGAGGAAAUAGGGUUGAUGGGUAUUUGGAAAAUGGGUAUGUGGUGGGCUUUGGAAGUGGGCCAAGAAAGGUGGCCAUGCAAAGGUGGGUUGAUGGGUAUUUGGAAAAUGGGUAUGUGGUGUAGAGAGAUAACCGGGUAGGGAGUAGAAAAUGAAUGAGUUAGUGAGAAAAUGAGGGCUUGGUGGUAGUGGGUAUGAAGAUGGGAGGAUGAAAGACGGGUUUAAUAGGUAUGCAUGGAGAUGACUUAGAGAGAGAAAAGGGUAUGAAGAUGGGUAUGGGGGGGAUGAGAAUGGUGGUGAGUAAAAAAAAAGAUGGGUAUGGAGAUGGUUGGCAUGAUGGAUGGAUAUGAGUUGUAGGGAAGAUGGGUAUGGGGGGUGAGUGUGUUUAUGCAUGCAUGAGGGUUGGUGGUAUGGAGAAAUGAGAAGAAUGAAAGCGGGUAGCGAGAGAAACGGGAAAUGGGUUUAUAUUCUUGUACAUGGGUGGCAUGGGUGAUGAGAUAUGAGUAUGAAGGUGAUAGGAAGAUGUAUGCACGAGAUUGGUGGUAUGGAUAUAAGGGAGAAAUGGGCAUGGCAUGGCCAUGCAAGAGUGGGGAGAAAUGGGUUUGGCUGGUAUUUGGGAAAUGUCAUGAAGGGUGCAUGGUGUGGUGAUGAGAGAGAAAAGGUGGUGAGAAAAAAAAUGAAGGCUUAGAGAGAGGAAUGGGUUUAAGGGGGGUGUAGUUAAAUGAGGAUAUGUAUGGGAUGAAAAAUGAAGUAUGGAUGAUGGGCUUGGGAGGCCCGUGGUGUAGAGAGAGAGAGUGUGUGGUGAUGGGUAUAUGAAGGUUUAGGUGGGCUAUAGUGAGGGUGAACACGUUAAUGAAUGGAUAUGGAAGACAUGGGAUGAGAUAAGUGGAAUGGGUAGUGGGAUGAUGACCUUGUGCAUGAAAGAGAGGUUGAAGGGAUGGGUGAGUGACUAUGCAUGUGCAAGGAUAGGCUGCGGGUUGGUGGAGUGAGUAGGGUGGUGCAUUUCAAUGACGGUGAGCAUGGGCACGGGUAUGAAGGGCAGUGUUGACUUGUAGGAUGAGGACUCCCUUUCUAACAGCUUCCUGCAGCUUUUCAGCUAUUCCGGUUGGAGCAGAGACACUAGGGAGUUUACUUGAUGACAUAACCCAAUAAAUUGCCUUACAACAUUCAGCAUACCCACAAACAACCAUGAGCCUUCAUUAACCAACACAAGUAACUUCUCCACCAAGAUUAAUUACACCAAUGCACUGAAAAGUUUGACAAUCUCGCAUCCUCAUAGUCUCAUCUUCACUUCCAGUAUAAGGCUUAUCCAACCCAGACGGCAAAGUAAUCCCAAAUACAAAACUUCUAUUCAACUCCAUGGCCAAUAUUUUGGACUAAUAAGCUAGAGCACAUAUAUAAUCACAGAAGCCCUCCAUUGAGUUCAUGUCUCUUCACAAACUCACUUCUUCAGUCUCGGCAAUUUGGCCAUUGGUCACCUCAGUCCCACCACCAACAAGAAACAGAGCAAUACAUAGAAAGGAGAAUCAACAGGAAACGAAACAUGAUCUUUAUAUAAUCGGGUUCAGGGAUGAAACUAUACAUCAGAUACUUAAUGAGGGAGUCGAGGAAACCAAGAUAAAGUCAAACAAAGCAUAUAUGCACACAAACAGAUUCAGGAAAACAGGCCAGUAAUCCUAGAUGCCCAAACCUAUCAAUGAAUCACACCCAGGAAUAUGCAGAAAGAUUUAGCAGAAUAGUGUGAUAACAGGAAAAAGUGAAAAUCAUAGGGACGUUACCUGGAAGUUUCUUCCUCGAGCAGAGUAUGCUUGUCCUCAAGCACUCUCUCUCCCUCCAAAAUAUCUCACCCGGCCAUCCCCAGCAUCACACUUCUCCCGCUCCAAAAAAUCAUUGUAUAGAAACCUCCGAAACGUUUUUUUUUCACCCCUCUCCGGCUCGCUCUCGUCUGAAUAUCUCCCACACGGACGUCCUCUGCCUCCAGAAAAGCCCCCCGUCUCCUCUGCAGAUCUCCCCUUCUUUUCUUCCUAUCUAGCCUCUUUUUUCUUUUUUUUUUUCUCUGUUCCUGUCUUCCUGCGCAAGCCAGCCAUCCUACUGCUACACAUCCCAUCUGCCGCCCCCCAGAGCAGCCCACUCGAGAGCCGUCAGAGAAAACCGCAAAAAAAUAAUCAUAAUCCCCCGAAAGCUCUGCUCUUCGGGUGGGGGGGUCUACAACACCCUUGUCUUUUUCCCAAUAAAGACCCAAUUAAAUCCUCAUUCCUCGUCCUUCCAUGCCUUUUAAGCAGGUUCGUCGAUUGACCCUAUUAGGUGAACCGAACUAGGUUAAGGUCCGGGAUUCGGGUUUGAUCCGAUUUUUAAAAUAUAGACUGAACAAAGAAUCAAUGUUUUAAAAACCGGACCGGUCAUUGAACCGAAAAAGUUACCGGUUCACGGUUCACUGGUCGGACCGCCGGUCGAACCGCUAUCGAACCGGUGACGUCAUAAAUAUAUAUUUUAUUAUUUUUUAUAAUAUAAAAAUUAAAAAAUUAAUAAAUUCUAUGUAAAUUUUGAUAGCAUCUACUUUGUUUAUUGAGUAACUUGAGUUUUGUCACAAAAUUUUUUACCUGUAGAAGUCAUCAAUUAUCAUAUAUGAUAUUUAUAACACAAUAUAAGAUAUUAUACAUUCAUAAUGUCAAUAAACUCAAUAUUUAUCAAAUAAUCAAACCAUUACUAUCCUAUAAUAACCAAAUUAUCAAAGAGUUGUUAACUUAACACAUUGUCCAUAACAAAUAAUACAAAUGUCAAUCAUAGGUCCACAACACUUAAAUAAUUACUCAAAAUAAAAACAUAACAUGUCAAUGUUUGAAUAUUCAUGAAGAUUUUUGCAUACUAAUAAAUAUAAAAUUCAUGUCUUCAUUUAUUUUGGAAAUUGGAAUAUGGAGAUUGAAAAUGAGCAUUUGGAAAACCAAAAAAAAAAUUAAAAUAAUUUGAACCGGUUUUUUCCCUCAGAACCGGCCGGUUCGUCCGGUUCACCGGUUGGACCGCCGGUUCAAACGGUCCAAUCCCGGUUCGGUCUCCAUCCGGUCUAAUGACCGGACCGAACCGGAACGAUGACCGGUUGGCGGUCCAACCGGUCGGACCGGCCGGUCCGGUCCGGUUUUUAAAACCAUGCAAAGAAUUGUCCUUAUCCUCUUUUCCCUUUUCGGCGAAGACUUGAGUCAUUUGCCAGAUUUAAGUCGUGAAGGUCUACAGAUUCAGUCUCCUAAGAAAUUGGGCAUGAAUCGCAGCCACCAUUCUUGACUUUUUGCUUUGUUUCGCAUGAAUGCGCAUGUACUAUCUAAUCAGACUGGGGACAACACAUUUACCACCAUUUUUGCCCGGGAGACUCGGUUUGUUGGGUCAACGGUGGAAUCCAAGUCUACUGAGAAAUAAUAUAAAUAUUAUAAAUAUAAUCUGAACAAAAUAAGUACAUGGUGAUUUUUUUAUAUUUAAAAUAAAAUAUUAUAUUACAAGCAUUAAAUAAGUUUUAUUUAUUGGAUCGUUAUUAUAAGUAAAUAUAUUUUUAUAUUAAUAAGUAAUUCUGGUAUUACUUAUAAGCAUAUUAGACCGUGUUAUCACACCAUCAUAAAAAAAUAAAAAUGAAAAAUUAGACAAAGAAAAUGAAGGAAAAAAGAAGAAGAUGAAAAAUAGAAAAUAAGGGUAAUGUCACGUUGAAUAAGGGGUGUUUGUUAAAAUUUAAUAGUUAUUAAAUAAUGAUUUAAGUUGAUUUUAAGUUAAAUUAUAUUUAAAUUAUUGACUUAAAACUUAUUAUUUAAUUAUUAUUUUAAGUAUUAAGACUGUUUCAUAAAAUUAACUUAAAAUUUAUUUUAAAUCAUCAAAUUUACUCUUAUAAAUUAUAAUGAGAGCAAAGAAGAUUGAGUAACAGUGGAGAUCAUUAAGGCAAUUAAGACAAAUAAAGGUAAAAAAAUUAAAUAAAUAUGUGAACUUAAAAAUAAGUUAAUUAUUUUUAUUUAUUACUUGAAGUGGUUUUUUUACUUAAAGUCAUACCAUUAAAUUAUUUUACCAAACAUACUUAAUGAUUUAAAUUAAGUUAUUAAGUUACUUUAAGUUAUUAAGUUGAUUUAUCAUAUACCCUUUAAGUUACCGUAUGUUUAACAUUAUAUAAAAUACAUUUUUAUUUUAUGUAUGAUAUCACAUGUAAAAACACUAUACAUGUAUCCUAAAAUAUAUUGUAAUAUUACCCCUUCAUACUAAUAUAUCUCAUAACAAAUGAGGUAAAUGUCAUAUAACUUUUGGUUAUAUUCAUUUUACAAUGUUUUUUAAUUUAACCAAAAACUCAAUAUCGAGUAAUUUUUUUUAAAGAUUUUGGAUUUAUUUGGCAAUUGUUUUAUAGAUCAGAAAUCUAUUUUUGAGAAUAAAAAAAUAAGAAAACAUAUUCGAUAAUUAAAAAUUAUUUUCUAUUUUCUAUUAUGGAGAAUAAAAACAAAAUGUUUUAAGAGAACAUCUUUUAGUUAUUUUCUUUUGUUUUCAUUUGUUUUCUAAGUGUUAUUUUUUAAAAAAAAAAAUUAACAACCAUAUAAAAUGAUUAAAAAUAAAGUAUUGGAUAUAAAAAUUAUUUUUAAAACAUAUUUAAAAAUAUUAAAAAUAGGUUAAAAACAUUUUAGGUUUCCAAAAAAAAUUUUAUUUUACAAAACAUCUUAAAAUAGCUUUUAAAACCUGUUUUUUGGAACUAUUUUAAAAAACAAUUAUCAUACAAAACUUUUAUUUUUUAAAAUAGUUUUUCUUUAACCAAAAUUUUUUUAAGGAGAGAAACUGAGGAAGAAAGGUAUGUGAUUCUAACAAAGAGAUGAUUGAUCAUUUUGGACAAUUAAAACACGGAAUUAUUCUGAAUUGGAAAAUUGUGAUUUCUUCUAAGUUAAAACCCAUACAUUCCCUCUCAGCAAAAACAACUGAAUGAUCAAAAACCAAUGUUAAAUCAACAUAAAUAUGAACACUUCUGUGGUAUAAAUAAAAUUUAUCUAAACUAGUAUGAAUAAAAGUUGGCAUGAGAUAUUUUUCUUCAUAAAAAAGAAAGAAAAAAGAAAAGUGCAUAAAAAUAAAUAUAUUACUUGUGAUGUCCACGAAUAGGGGAGAAAGUUUUUAACUAUGUAAACGUAUUACUCUCCUCAGUAAAUAGCAACUAUACAACUAUGACCGUUGUUAGAGUUCUCCGUAAAAGGACGCUGUCCAACGUAGUUGCCUGGAGGAUCAUAGUUGCAAGUGACAAACCACCCGCCACUGUUGCACUGAGCCCUAGCGCACCCAAGACACAAUGAGUUGCGCCAAAUAACUUGAGUAUAGUGCCCGCAUUCCCCACCAACGCAGGAGUUGGAGUUGUAGUCAUAAUUGUUCAAAUUGAUAAAUGAUAGUUUUUUCAUUCAUAUUUUCAUUCAUUCAUGUACAGAGUAUAUAUAGAGGGUAUCACCAUUCUAAGAAUGGGGAAGAAUUAUACAAGGAAAGAAUGACAUAAGGAAAUAACAAUUAAUAUCUUAAUAUCUCAACUUUCCUAAUAUCUCAAUAUUCAUAAUAUCUCAACUUUCCUAAUAUCUAAACAUUCCUAAUAUCUCAACACUAAAUGAUAUAAGGAAAGCAUUACUAAUAUCUCAACACUCCCCCUCAAGUUGGUGCAUAGAUGUCACACAUGCCCAACUUGUCUAAAAAUUUUGAGAACACUUGACUUGAGACAACUUUGGUAAGGAUAUCGAUCAAUUGAUCUUCUGAUUGAAUCUUAGGCAAUUCCACAAUCUUAUCAUCCAACUUUUCCUUAAUGAAGAAUCUAUCCACCUCGACAUGCUUUGUACGAUCAUGUUGUAUUGGAUUAUGAGCAAUGUCACACGCGGCUUUAUUGUCACAAAACAAUCGGAUUGGUUGCCUAGAUAGGUAACCUAAAUCCUGUAAGAGGAGUCUUAGUCAUAAUGCCUCACAAAGUCCUAGAGUCAUACCUCUAAAUUCCGUUUCUACACUUGAACGAGCGACGACAUUUUGCUUCUUACUUUUCCAUGUUACAAGAUUACCACCUACAAAGGUAAAGUAACCAGAUGUAGAUCGCCUAUCAUCCACUGCACCGGCCCAAUCAGCAUCAAUAUAUACUUCUAUACUUUGAUGAUCAACAUUUUUAGCGAACAAAAUUCCCUUCCCAGGAGCAUUCUUCAAAUACCUCAAAAUACGCAUGAUUGCAUUCAUAUGUUGCUCUCCAGGAUUAUGCAUGUAUUGACUCACUACACUCAAUGCAUAAGUAAGAUCUGGUCUUGUAUGAGCUAAGUACAUUAAUCUCCCCACAAGUCUCUGGUAUCUUCCCAUAUCAGUUGAUACUUGAUUAGGCUCAACACACAAUUUCAAACCUUCUUCUAUUGGUGUAUUAACAGGUUGACAUCCCGACAUUCCAGUCUCCUGUAAAAGAUCUAAGGUAUACUUUCUUUGAGACAGAAAAAUUCCUUCACUUGAUCAAGAAACUUCAAUCCCAAGAAAGUAUUUUAGAGGACCUAGAUCUUUCAUUUCGAAUUCUCUAAAUAGAUAAUUUUGCAGAGCUUUUCUUUCUUCAGGAUCAUUUCCUGUAACUACCAUGUCAUCCACAUAUACGAUGAGUGUCGUAAUCUUACCAUGUUGCUUUUUCAGAAACAAAGUGUGAUCUGAAUUUGCUUUGACGAUAGCCAAAAGCUCUCAUUGACUUUGUGAACCUUCCAAACCAUGCUCUCGGGGAUUGCUUCAACCCAUACAAUGACUUCUUCAAUUUGCACACCUUCUGACAUUGCUUUUCUAACACCAUGCAUCCUGGUGGAAGAUCCAUAUAUACUUCUUCAGAUAACUCACCAUGCAGAAAGGCAUUUUUCACAUCAAAUUUUUGUAAUGGCCAAUCUAGGUUUGCAGCUAAAGACAGUAAUACUCGAACUGUGUUGAUCUUAGCUACAGGUGCAAAUGUCUCUGUGUAGUCAAUUCCAUAAGUUUGAGUGUACCCUUUUGCUACCAGUCUUGCUUUAAAUCGUUCAAUACUACCAUCUGCCUUGUACUUCACAGUAUAGAUCCAACGACACCCAACUGGCUUCUUUCCUGGUGGACAUUCUACGAGUUCCCAUGUUUCAUUCUUCUACAAUGAUUUCAUCUCUUCAUUCAUAGCUGUUUUCCACCUUGGAUCAGCUAAGGCUUCUUGCACACUAUUAGGAAUAGCUACAGUAGAUAAUUGAUUUACAAAUGACUUGUUUGAUUCAGACAAACGAUGGUUAGACACAUAGUUGCUUAUGGGAUAUUUGACUUUGGUAGACAAUUCAGGUUCAUAUAUGGGUUUAGGAAUACCUCUAUUAUGACGGUGUGGUAACCGUUUCAUGAAUGAAUCGGGUUCCAAAUUAAGAACACCCUCAACAGACGACGAUUGGUUUGGUAUUUCAGUGAAGACAUUUUCGGACCCAAAUUGUUGACCACUCAUAUCCAACUCACCCACUUCCUGGUUCACUAGUUCAGAUUGUCCAUAUUCAUCUUCCUCAAAUAUAUGAUAAUCAUAAUCGAGAGUCUGAAUUUCCUUAUGGUACUCCCCCUGAAGUUCAGACUCAGAUGAAAAAUACAUCGAAUCUUCAUGAAACACCACAUCCAUUGUAAUAUACAUUUGUCGAGUUGGAGGAUGGUAACAUCGAUAUCCCUUUUUGUGCAAUGCAUAUCCAACAAACACACAUUGUAAUGCAUGAGAAGUUAACUUGGUGCGUUGGUGCUUGUGUAGAUGCACAAAUGCCACGCAACCAAAAACACGAGGAGGUAGAUUUGGGACAGUUGGGGCAACUACGACAUUAGUAAGAGCUUGGAGUGGUGUUUGAAAGUUAAUUGAGCUAGAAGGUACCCGAUUGAUCAAGUAUGCAGCAGAUGUGAUUGCUUCUCCCCAAUAAGAUAUCGGUGUUUUUGCUGCUAUCAAGGAAGCACGAACAACCUCUAACAAGUGCCGAUUUUUUCGUUCAGCGACUCCAUUUUGCUGGGGUGUAUUGGAACAAGUAGUUUGAUGAAUGAUGUCAUGUCAUUCCAAAUACUUUUGAAGAUCAGAACUUUGAUAUUCUCCACCAUUAUCACUACGCAAAACCUGAACCUUUGCAUUGUACUGAGUUUCAAUCACUUUAUGAAAUUUUUGAAACAAUAAGUUCACUUCAUCUUUGGUCUUCAUCAAGCAUAACCAUGUCAUUCUAGUACAAUCAUCAAUAAAAGUAACAAACCAACGUGAGCCACUCAAAGUUGGGACUUUGGAUUGGCCCCAAACAUUAGAAUGUAUAACCAUAAAAGGAAACGAACUUUUAUUUAAAAUUAACGAAACGAAGCACAAUGACUUUUAACCAAUUCACAAAUAUCACAACGGAAACCAGAAAUAUCACUCUUUGCAAACAAACUAGGAAACAAUUUUUUUAAAUAACCAAAGGAAGCAUGUCCCAAACGUCGAUGCCAUAACCAAAUUUCAGAUUUUUUCUUCUCUCCCUCAAAUUCAUCUGCCAUCAAGGCUUGUUGCAACUUAUUUGAAUCCUUUGACUGCAAGUCUAAGUAAUAGAGUUUUCCCCGCUUAAUACCACAACCAAUCGUUUGUCUUGUUUGGAUGUCCUUAAUCACACAAAAUUCAAGCCAAAAAAUGACAAUACAAGAUAAGGUUGCAGUGAUUUGAGAAACUGACAAAAGAUUGUAAUCUAAAGAUGGAACAACUAAAACAGAAUUCAAAUUCAAAGUAUCAGUAAGAGUUAAUGAUCCUUCCCCAAUGACUGGGGUUAUGUUACCAUUGGCUGUGGAAACAAUUUUUUGUAAGGAAGGUCUAAGGGUUGAAAUGUCUAGAAUCAAAAGUCAUAUGAUCUGUAGCACCAAAAUCAAUUAUCCAUGCACUAUUAAUAACAGGUGUAAAAGUAUUUAAAAACUUACCACCAUGAUCUGUAGCGGCUACCAAUGUAGAGGCUUUCUCAGCAACAUUAACCUCUGUUUUUAUUUCGGCAAUAGUUGCAGUCGAGGUUUUCUUGGAAUCCUUCUUCCGUUGAUCACAAUUAUUAUCAUUAAUAACAAAGUGUUGAUAACCUAAACAUGAUUUAAAGGUCCAUGGUUCAAACCCUCGGUUCCUUAUUUUUUUCUUGAUUAUACCAAGAGUCGUUGCUUUGAAAUUGUGGGAUAUCCAGAUUGGUGGGAUCAGUCUUAUUGCAGUGAGUGCCUUUGAAGGUUGACUUAUCAAUAUUAGGGCUUGUCUUAGGAUGGUUGAUCGCUGUCGGACUACCAUAGUGACAAAAUAUCCAGGAUUUCAGUUUCAUGGCUCUGAUACCAUGUUCAAAUUGAUAAAUGAUAGUUUUUUCAUUCAUAUUUUCAUUCAUUCAUGUACAGAGUAUAUAUAGAGGGUAUCGCCAUUCUAAGAAUGGGAAAGAAUUAUACAAGGAAAGAAUGACAUAAGGAAAUAACAAUUAAUAUCCUAAUAUCUCAACUUUCCUAAUAUCUCAAUAUUCCUAAUAUAUCAAUAUUCAUAAUAUCUCAACUUUCCUAAUAUCUAAACAUUCCUAAUAUCUCAGCACUAAAUGAUAUAAGGAAAUAAUGAUAUAAGGAAAGCAUUCCUAAUAUCUCAACAAUAAUUAGUCUUCUCCCUCACCCACAAGUUCACUGCAUCGAUGCUUGUCGAUGAAGGGGAGCCCUAGGCAAGGUUCUCACCGUAAGGCCCACCUGAAUGCACUAGAUUGCAAUCGCCAAUCCUC